This 107899-nucleotide long non-coding RNA is filed under the name Prunus persica (peach). RNAcentral describes it as "long non-coding RNA (PPER_LNC001936)". Lineage: Eukaryota; Viridiplantae; Streptophyta; Magnoliopsida; Rosales; Rosaceae. The record is from RNAcentral.
AAAAUCAGCCUUCAAGUGUCUGUUGAGCCAAUAAACCUUUCUAGAUAUAUCAAGUGCAAUGGAAAUUCAUGAGUUACAUAGAGAUUUGUAAACAUUUUGAAGAUUGCAACACCUGCAAGUGAGAUAGGCGGUGACGAAAUCAGAGCUGAUUUUGAAGCCUCUGAUGCCCCUGUUGUUGCAAGUUGCACCUGAGAACAUGUUUUUUUUUUCUUUGGGGUAAAAAAACUGGCAACAUGUUCGGAGCUGACAAUUCAAUCCCUGAUGAACUAGAGAAGCGAAGCUCCGGUAAGGAAUUGGUCAAGGUUGUGACAGGGAUGAUUGAUGGUGAAAUGGAUGCUAUUUCUUAUUGCAGCCUGUUCUCAAAGUUCUUGUUGGCAAAUGCAAGAGAUGGAGUAUUUUGAUUGGGAGGAGAUAUAAUGACAUGGCUUGACAAUUCUAGAACAGCCCAUCAUUAAUCCCAGAAAAAAUCCAGUUUCUGCUAAACAAUCACUUAUGGCAAGGCCAACUCUGUAAAUGGAAUUUGUGAUCCCUUGAAAUUGUACACAUUUUUUCUUUUUGAGGAAUUUAAUCAAACAGUAUUCUAAUGUAUUAUGAUAGCACUACACGCUUUUGUUGUAACAAAUUACAAGGAGGAAUUUGGAUUGAGUUUCUUGUAUAAGCACACCUUACACAAAUUUGGUAUAUUUUCUUCCAGCAAGUCUGUUUAUUAACCCCCUUAUCUGAAAUUAAUUGUUAAAAGUUUUGAUUCAUCUUUAAUCAGUGUCUAACCCUUGUUGAAUAACACUCCUCUUUCUAAUUUAUAUUUGAAGUUUGAGGUUUCAAUUUCAAUUGUGGGCUUUGAUUUUACAGAUUUUGUUUGUCAAUUUCAGUUUGGACAAAGCAUAUGCAAACAAAAUAAGCAUUUUAUGUUAUACUUUUGAAAUAGGUGUUGAUUUGAUUUAAUCAUAAGUUUUGCUGGUGCAUUUACUAGGCUAUCAUUCAAUACUUUUGAUCAUAGAACUUCUUUGGUCGAUAUUAUCUUUGUUAAGUUUAACCAUAAAUUUAGAGAGGGGACUUCAACAGAUUUAUAAUCUCAUCAUUAUAGUAUUAAAAAUUAGAGAUUAAGGCAUUGUCUAUUAUCUGAAUUCUGCUUACUUUUAGUUCAUAUGUUUACAUCUUAGCAUAUUCAUGCGAUUAGUGCGGCUCAUACCACAAAGGCAACUUUAGGCUCAUCAAGUGCUAAGCAAUGUCAAGCUUCCAAGUGACAAGUUCUCUACAUAGUUUGAGACCUACACUUACUAGAUAUUAGAUCAUUUCGAUCAUUUCCAUAUGUUUAUAUGUAAUUGACAUGUUAUAACAAUUUUUGUAGCGUUAUAUAAUUAUUUAGCAAUUUAAUUAUUUCUUUGCAUCAAGAAAUAGUUCUUAAGUUAUUAAAAAAAAAAAAAAAGAUUUAAAAAAAAAGAUUUGUUGAUGCUUAAAAAGCAUCAAGAACAGGUAGUUUCUUGACGGUUUAGUGACGUUUCAUAACUGUAGGAGGCUUUUUCUUCCGACAGCUGUAAAUGGGCUGGGUUGCCGUAAAGGGCAGACUGAUGAAAUUGUCCCCUUUUGUCUGAGCUAGAAAAUUAAGCCCCAAAAUACUUCGAAAGGGCAGCAGAGCCUUAGGAAGUAUUUUGGUUACCCUCACCAACUAAAACAACAACAACUUACAGGUAAUUUCUUAAUGCUUACAGAUGAACUCUUGAGCUUGGCAUGAGAGACAUGUGGCAUGGAAGCAAAAUCAACAUGAGUUUAGCACUGAGGGGAAAUUUAGGCUCUCUUGGGGGAAAAAGGGAAGUGUUAAGGUGAGAGAGGAGAAGUUUGUAGGAGAUUUAGCUAAGAAAGGAGAAAUAUAGAACAAUGCUCUUCUGGCAGCUUGACAGAUGCUCUGUCUGCCAGAAAAGGAAGAUGGAGAAGAAAUGUGAAUAGUGCACGAGUUUGCUAGAUUUUUGCAGGUAAGAGAGGAAGCUUGCUCUCUGGGUCUGAGUUGAGUUUUGUUAGGUGGAAGAGACCUCAUUUUAUAGCUCCUGGAAACCAUCACUUCCCAAGAAACCCUAAUGGCUUCUACCCAUUUUGGCCAAGCUUUUCCAUUCCUUUCUCAUUUCCUUCCUUGACUUUACCCCUCUUGAUGAAAUCCUCUCUACCUAUUUGCACCAGAUCAGAGUUUUUUGAAGCUUAAGGCCCCCUUUUCCCGCAGUUGUCUCAAUGGGAGACUUUCAUUCCUAGUCAUUUCCUUUAUUGCUUUCCUUUCUUUUUUUCAUGGCCAAGUCUGGUGGGGAAAGGAGUUGGGAUAAAUAUGCUAGUUUGAAGGGUGCUUCUCUUCUUGGCAUCUUACACACUAAUACCCCUUGGUUCCUUGAAUGUUUUGGCUUUGAAACUUGCUCCCCUCCAUGUAUUGGAACCUCCCAGCAGCCCUGGUCAAUGAAUCUUCAGACCUUCUCUUCGUGGCUUUUAUUUUUUUAUCAACUGGCUAGGGCUUUUGUGGCUCAUUGGGGCAAUUGUAUGGGCUAAGGUGGUUCAUUAAGUAAGUGGGCUAUUUUUAUUAAACAUUGAGCUUUUUGGUUGAGUCACUAGGCUAUUUUGAUUGGGCUAUUGGGCUAUUGUUUCCUCUCUUGUGCUCACCCACAUGUUUGGACCAAAGAAAUGAGCUUGAGUCCUGAGGCUCCCAAGCGACCCGAGACUUUCCAUUUAUCGGUCCAUCAAUGGGCCUCAUGUUGAUUUAUUACCAUCCAUACCACACCCCACUCAAGCAAGCCCCGGGCAUUUGAGUGGCUUGGGCCCACUUAGGCUUGUAGUGUGGUUGGGUGCAAAAUAACGAUUUCGUGCUUGGCAUGUUUUAAUUUUAUCAUCCAUGGGAAAGGCUGCGAUGUUUGAUUUCGGCAUGGGCUUGUAGAGCUGGUAUGCUUUAUUUCAACUCCUAGCAUGACGAAUUAUUUAUUUAGCAUGGCACGUGAAUUACAACUCGCAUGUGGUGGGUUUUUGUGUACUACACCUUACGCCUCUUCUUAAUAGAACAUCGUUUCUGAUAAUUUAUUUGGGCCCAACCGUGAAUUUUUUGGAUCUCAAUAAUAACCAUCAUGAAACAUUACAUUUUGACUGACAUCAAGAAAUGGGGUAUCCCUUUCUUGAUAGUGGCAUCCAUGAUGCCUUCCAAGCCGUCAAUUAAGGGCUAUCGCGAUGCAUUUUAGUUGUCAGCAAAAGGUGUUUUUCUUGUACUAUAUUCACUCAAAAUCGUGUUUCAUUUAAGAUUAGUAGUAUGGUUGAAUACCAUUUGUUUUGUUAAAGAAUAUUAUACAUUAGGGAUUUUUGUAGAAAUGUCAUUUGAACUUAUACCUUAGUUUCAAUUUGUCACCUUGAAGAAAAAUUUAAGAGAAAUAUCACCUUAAUUUUUUAAAAUCCAUGAUUUGUCAUAUGACUUUAAGAUCAUCCAAUUUUCCAUCCAUUUUAAGGGUAUUUUAGACUUUUCAUUUUCAAGGAAAAAAAAGAGAUGAAAAAAGAGACCUCUCUCUUACUUUGUCCCCCAACCCAACCCCACCCGCCCCCAAAAACACAUCACAUAGGAUUGCCUCCCCCUUCCCCACUUUUCUUUUUUCUUUUUGUCAUACUUUUCCACUGUGUUUAUGUUGAAGGAUCUAAAGUUUGCUUGGUCACCAUCUUUUACGUAGGCUUCCUAAUUGUUGGUUUGGGUGGGUUGUGGGAAUUUGUGUGUGGAGGGCAAGGCUCUAUCUGACAGGACCCACCUCGAAUUCCUCGAAACCCGAGACGAAUCUUGUAGAAUUUCCGACAUCACACCGAUGCCGGGUCCACUUCUGAACUAAAUCCUCUUUUCCAAAAUUAAGGAAAAAUAGUACGAGGCUUUCUGCCAAAAUUUCGGCAGUCUUCCCUAUAAAUUUAACGUUUCAGCUUUGGAGGCCGUUCUUUCAUUUCUGCUUUGGUGGCCGGAUGAGAGAACGGCCGGCUAAAACGUGGCCAGCUGGCACUGCCGUCACGAGAGAGAGAGAGAGAGAGAGAGAGAGAGAGAGAGAGAGAGAGAGAGAGAGAGAGAGAGAGAGAGAGAGAGAGAUGUUUAUCAAACCAUUUUUGCCAAAAUUACGAUUAUGCAACUGAGGGUAUUUUGAUCGUAUCUUUUUCGUUAUAACUCCGAUUCAAGCCCACUACAUAUCUACGGACUCAUCUCGCCGUGCUCUAUGCAAUUGUAUAGUUGAAAUUCCCAAAUUCCAUCCCAGUCAAAAAGUCAACUUUAAACCUUAUAAAAUAUUCUAAGGGCAAAAUGGUCUUUUAUCUAAUUAAAUUAAUAAUUGAAAAUUUAUUUAGGACCGGGUCGUUACACUGUCGUUGAUGGACUGUGCGAUGGCACUCACACAAAGUCCUUAAGAAUAAAACACACACACACCAUGAAGAGAGUAAAACAAAUGCACAAAGAUUUAUAAAGGUUUGGCCUCCUGCCUACAUCCUCUUGGUGAUCCACCCGAGAAAUUCACUUGUACGUAAGAACAACUUUGGUUACAACUAAACCCCCUUAGCUUUCAUAAGAACCCUAGAUCUCUUUUCUCCCACCCUUGCUCCAACCCUUUGAUGCCCUUGUAAACACUCAAGAAUUCAUCCUUGAAUUCUAUCAUGUGUUACAUCUUCUCUUCUCCCCUUUGCCAACCUAACCCUACAAGUUAUAUUUAAAAUUCAUUGGACUUUAAGUACAAGUUAACUAGGAAUAGGAAACAUAAAAGACCCCAAAAAUUGGAGAAAAUAUGUCUAGAUCUCAUUAGGAAAUUGCACAACACGUGCGAUCCUCUCGAGCGCCUGCAAAAUCAUCCCUUUGCCGCUCGAGCUGCCGAUAGCUCAUGGGAUGGGGGAAUUAGAAAUUUUUUUUUUUCAAUUUUAAUUGUUUAAAAGAUAUACAAUUUAUUAAUAAUAAUUUUUCCAUUUUUAAAAUACCCUUGAAAAUAGAAAGAUUAAAAUGCCCUUAAAAAUGGAUGGAAAAUUGGAUGGUGUUAAGGUCAGAUGACAAAUCAUGGAUUUUGAAAAAUUAAGGUAACGUUUCUCUUAAAUUUUUCUUUACAGUGACAAAUUGAAAUUGAGGUAUAAGUUCAAGUUACAUUUCUGCAAAAAUUCUUAUACAUUAUGAUAUUCUAACAAUAAUUGGCUAAAAUUGAUAUGUUCCCUCUUUUAUUUUCUUUUUCUCUUUUCCUUUUCAUUUUAUGAUCCAAUCCUUUUCAUAUAUUUUUGUUCAAGACUUUGUUUUAUAAUGCUCUAUUACUAAUUUGGUACAGGUCCCUAAAAUCUCGGAGCCGCCUUAGUACAUUCAUAACGUACAUGUUCAGAGUUCAAGAAUAAUGUAUAGAAUGUGAAAUUGACGAUGCCGGCCUUUAUGAGGCAACAUCUUUAUUUCUUUGGUUAUUCCAGUUUAGAAUAUUUGCACAAAUGAGAUGACUCCAAGCAUAAAGUCACAUUCGACCAAAAAGCAUAAAGUCACACACAAAAAGAACACGGACAAUUGCUAAGUUUAUCCUUGUACCCUUAUUUUAUUGAUCCGACCCAAUUGAAAAAUAAAAAAAGAUGAUAAAAAAUAUUGUUCACUGCUUUAAAAUCUAUGAGUAGAGUCCUCCAUUUGAAAUUUGGUCAUUAUACAAAAUUGGAAUGAAAAAAGAAAAUCCUAAAGCUAUAUUUGAUAUAUUUCAUUUUCAUUUUUUGCUGGGUGUUAGGGCUCGUCAAUGGGCCGGGCCUGGCUAGCCCGGCCCGAAUUUAAUGGGCUUGGGCCAGGCCGGCCCAGGCUUUAAAGAGGAGAGAGAAAAUAUCAGGUCGAGUUUUUUAAGAAAAUUCAAAGCCCAAGCCUGACCCAUGAGCCGGGCUUGAGAAAGCCCAUCGGGCCGGGCCGGGCCUAAACGGGCCCUACUUCAUUCAAAAAAAAUCAUUAACUUAAUCAUAAGGUCAUUUUAGUCCAAAUUUGAGAUUAAACUCACUUAAUUCUAAUAUUUUUACUUCAAACCAAAUUCAUAAAACACCCAAUAAAGUCACACAACUUGUAAGAUUUUCCACAAAAAUAAUAAAACCAAGUAUUAUUUUUGAGGUUAUUACAUAAUUAGAUCGUAAUACGUUUUAAAAAAUAAUUUUUAAAAAUAAUAUUAAUAAGUAUCAAAAAAAUAUUUUUUUAAAGGAUGGUAUGAAUAAAUAUGCAAAUAUUUGGUGAUGUGUUCAAGAAAAGGAUGAUUAUAUUUGGUGGUACGAUUAUGUUUCGUGAUACGAUUAUAUUUAGUGAUGUGAUAUGUUGUUCAUCUUAUAUAUAUAUAUAUAUAUAAUUGUUGAACUAAUAAUUGACACAAAUUAAUGUGUUAAUCAUCCAAUUAUAAACUAGGAGUGAAUAAAGAAAAGUAAAUGAAAUGAAACAAAUUAUAUGUGUGAUUUAAGUGAUAUAAUCCUAAACCUAAACUCUUAUUUAUACAUAAUUAUAUAUGUAUGCGGGCCUAACGGGCCGGACUUUUGUGGGCGUGUCGGGCCGGGCUUUCUUGGGCUUAAUCAGGCUGGACCUAUGGGUCAGGCCGGGCUUCAAACACCCCAACACGAGCCUAGCCUAGCCCGCCUUGGGCCGGGCCAUCUCAAAGCCCAUAACGAGCCGGAUCGGGCUUUUUUCGAUUGGCCGGGCGGGCCCCCUCGACCCAUGAGCCCGCGGGCCAAAUGAUGAGGCCUACUGGGUGUUCAAUUUUUCUUGUUUCUUGUUGAAAAGAAAAAUGAUAAUUAAUAAAAUCUGAUUUGGUGGUUGUGCUCGUCACAAAUCAAUGAAAUGACAGCAGUGAUUUUGCAAGACAGCAUACCUUCUCUUGGGGUGCUUUUCAUUUUGCAACAUUUCUUUACGUGUAAUUUCCAGAGGAGGGUUUAUCAUUGUAUAUAGCUCUUCGGGUGGUUUUUUCUGCAAAACAAAUGUCACAAGGAAGGAGGAGAAACGGAAAAGAUUUACUUGGAAUGUCUCAAGUCUCCUUUGAGAUAAAGGCAUCGAAUGCACAACAUUGUUUUUGUGCUAUUUCAUAAUUAAAGUGUGCUUCCCAAGUCUCCUUUGCGUUUUGUAACUUGUAAUGUUUGUUUUUUUGUUUCCCCUGUUUUGUCUUUUAUAAAAGAAAGAGGAAUGCUAGCAACCUUCUCUCUAAUCUUCUCUUUUGGACCUUCUCCCUUUUCUUUUUGACAAGUGUCAUUUUCCAUACACUUAAAACAAUGACAUUAAUGCAUCACACAAUUUAGUUUUUGUUUUCCAAGUUUACCAUUUUAAAAUGUAUUGGCUUUUAUAUUUCCUUCAAUUAUUCACAUUUUGUUAUAACUUGUUUAGCACAUUAUUUUUUUUAAUUUAAAAAAAGUCAUAUUUUUUAAAAAUAAAAAUAAAGUUUGUUUCAUGACAUUGUUAUCAUUUUUAUUUUGUUUUUAACAAAACACGCAUUCUCUUUGGAAAAAUUAAAAAUUAAAAAACAAUUCAGUUUUUAUUUUCUUAUUUAAUUUUUAACAAGCUAGUAAGAAAGUUAUAAAAAAAAAUUAGCUUGUUAUUAAAAAAAAAUUAAUACAUUUAAUAAGGGUAAAUUUGGAAAACAAAAACUAGUUUGUGUGAUGCAUUAAUGACAUUGUUUUUAGUUUAAGGAAAGUGACACUUGUCAUGAGAAGAAGGGAGAAGGUCCAAAAGAGAAGGUUAGAGAGAAGGUUGUUAGCACUCCCCAUAAAAGAAAUACAGGUCUGAACCACACGGAUCUACUUGCAUAAUAAUGGACCAAAUUUAUGAUUUUUAGAAAGAACCUUCUACUGGUGGAAUCUUGGGCUACUGUUGUGGCUCUCCUCUGUGUGCCUCCUUUUUAGAAUGGUAAAAUAUUCAAAAUACCAGAAAAUGUUCAUGAUUAAUGCAAAUAUUAAGAAUUGAAAUUAUUAAUUAAAUGAAGAUAAUAUGGUAAAUUCACACUUUUUCAUAUUAAAAAAAUUAAAAUUAAAAGAAAUAUCAGAUAAUUACUCUUAUUUUUAUGGAACACAGCUACCCAUUAUCUUUUUUAAUUAUAAAAUAAAUUUAAAUUAUAAAAAAAAAAUCCUCUCACAUGCACGGAAGCGCGUGCUCAGAGGCUAGUUAAAAAUAAUGAACUUUGCUUCUGAUGUCUAUACCAGACCCACUCAACCUGCUUUAUGAUUAUACAAAGAACAAACUCGUCCUUAGACUCAUUUGGUUAAACUUAGAAAAUAAUGAAACAAAAAUAUACACACCCACAAGUAACACAGCCAGGAUUGAAAACAACUGGACAAAGAAAGGCAUGUUAAAACAGAAUUUUCAACAACUCAUCACCAUUAGACAAGAAAAAGAAAAAUCAAUACAGAAACAGAAAGAACAGAGAAUAAAUGUGGUGGAAGAAAAACGUUGAAGCCAUUUGUGAAUCCAACAACACUACCACUCUGUUUCUCUCCUUUUGUUCAGGCGGAUCUGCAUAUAUCCUAAGGCGUAUUACGGAAACAACUUCUUGCCGUUAUACUUGAAUGUUGUGGAUGCUUCAACGUUGCCAUCUGGGUGGAGUGGAUUUGUCCAAUUCACCUUCACUAUGGUUAAUCAACUAGACAGACAUAAGUCAGAAACAAUAGGUAUAUAGGUCCAAAUUGUUGUUAUUUGAAAGGCUUCUAAAUUUUAACAUUUUGAUUUCUAAAUUUUGUUUUAAUAUUUCGGCCCACUUAGUUCUUCUCAAAAUAUGUCAUCAAUAUCGUUGAAAGGUUGAACUUAGUGAAUUAUUAUAGUGCAGUACGGUAAAAUAGGCACAUGAUAUAAUUUGUCCACAUGUUCUAAUAUAAGUGAAUAUUUAUUGAUAUUAUUUUCAAAAAUAAAAAAUAUCAACCAUUACAUCCUCCCAUAUUAUAAUACAUAUACAAAUUAUACCACAUUAUCAUACUCUAAUACCAUUUUAUAAUUUCUCGUACUUAGGAGGUAUAGAGCGAGUCAAUGACAUUACAUAAUAUAUAAUUGUUCAUAUAAUGGGGCAACUAACGUGAUCAACAAGUUGUGGUGAUUAAUUUAACAUAAUAAAAAACAUACCAUUUACUAUGUAACAAUUUGUUCUUUUAAAUUGGAUUGUCAUCACUUUAAUAUGUUAUGUUUCUUAUUCUAGUCUCCCAUGUUAAGUGCUUCAGCAUUGUUUGUGGUGUGUACACAAAUUUUCUUAUAAAAUGUUUUAAUGCUUCUCACAUGUAUAUCAGAUAUAGACAGUUGAUGUGACUUAGAAAUCAAAUUGUCAAUAAAGAAAAAAAAUAUAAUUGGUGAUCGAGGUCCAAUUUAAUAGAAAAUAGUCUUAAUUUGUAUAUUAAAGGUUUCAGAUUCGAAUCCUCACUGCAUUAUUGUUGUAUGCGUACACGAGAAAUUCUAUUUCCCAAUAAUUUAGAUUAUCACUUAUACUAAAAAAAAUAUAUAUAAUAAGUUUUACGAAUGCAAACAUAAAAUUACACCAAACAAUAAUGGAAUAGAAAGAUGGAAGUUUUUUUUUUUUCCUACAUCUAAAGUAUACUUUAUAUAUAUAUUUAUUAUGGGAGUUAUAACCGUUUAAUUUUCAGUUUUUAUUUUCUAUUUAUUGUGUUAAUUUUUAUGGUUUAAUAUGUAUGGAGAUUACAAGUAUUGGAUGUCUAUAAAGGGCCACUCCUCCUUCACAUCUGAAACAAACCACCAUCUCAUUUCUGUAUUUUCAUACUUUCAUAUAUUUUCUACUUUCCAGAUUAUUAUUUUUGGGCAACGGUUUUGUGACUUGGAGAUUUCUAUCCGAUUGUUAACAUGCUCAUAACGGACCUUGAGCUUGCGUAUUGGGGAUCGUAUCUUGGAGCCUUGUAGACCUUUAUUACGUGCAUGUAGGGAGGCUACAAAUGCUUUAGGUCAGCGUCUUUGACGUACUUUUGCUUUCUUUUUUUACUUAUUUCUUCGUUUCUUUAUUUUUACUUUACUUUUAAAUCUUUAUUUUAUGUAUUAUUUAUAUUUAAAAGUUUUGAAUAAGAGUUUUACAGAAAAGGAAAAACACAAUUUCAAAUAACACAAAUUUCUCGUUUUUUGUUCUUAAAAAAGAAGAAGCAUUGAUUGGGGAGUUAUGGUAAACUCAGUUUCAAUGGUUGCGAUGAGAGGCGGUGGCGGCGAGGAGAGGACGAAGGCUUUGCUGCCGACGGGGUGGUGUGGCUGGCUGCUUGGUCCUGGGUUCUCCUUUAAUUCUCUGUUUUCUUUUUUCAUUUUCUUUUUCUCUUAGAGUUAUUGAUGUUAAGUGAAUGGACAGAUGCCAAAAUAGGGACAGAAGAUGUGAACCCAAUUAUAUACAGCUGCUGCUAUAGCUGAUUACAUAAAGUAACAAAUUAAUUAAUGCUUGAGUGGAGGACAGGCUUGAGUGGAAGAAUUGAUUAAGGCUUGAGUGGAAGACAAACUUCAGUGGAGGAAAGUAUAGAUAAGGAAAGCAUGCCUCGUUUAACGGCUUUAUCUAAUAAAGAUUACUUGUUGGCACUUGGAGUUUCUUAGGAAUGCUGGUUUUGUUUCCUUGGUGGACUUGAAAGGUGGUGCCUUGGCUCGGACAUCUCCCAAGACAUACAACUGCUCAUUAGCUGAAUAUCUCGCUCUCUUUAAAGAGAUCGAAGCAAACACAAUUUGCAAUUUGUGUGAUUCAAGCAUGAAUAUCUGAUAUAGUAACUAUACCAUUUGUUGGUUUGAUAAGAAAAGUUUGGUUAGCGAGGAUGAAACCAUAAAGUUCCCAAAACACACAAAGAACACGGACAAUUGCUAAGUUUAUUCUUGAGUUCACACAUAUUUGCACAAAUGAGAUUAUUCCAAGCAUGAUUAUACCAUUUGUUGGUUUGAUGUGAAAAGUAUGGGCAACGAGGGGUAAAACCAUACAAACACACACGAAGAACGUGGACAAUACUAAAUUUAUCUUUACGUUAUUGAUCCGACCUAACUGUAAAAUAAAAAAGAUGAAAAUAUAUAAUGUUCAGUACUUAGAUCUAUGAGCACUUGCACAAAACAUCACUUUUGGUCUUUGGUAAAUUUUUAAAAUAAAUGAAUUUUUUACUUAUUUGUGAACUGAAAUGCCUCUAAAAAAAUAAUGAUAGUUCGAAGAAUUUGAUAGAAAUUAAAAAAUAUCCUCAAAUUACUUGGAAUUGAAGACCACAUAGGCAAAAACACGAAAUUGAAACCUCACUUUAAUGAUAAAAAUGGUAAACUACAAAGACAAAAAUGACGUCUUGCCUUAUAAAUAAUUGGAAUUUGCUGGUGAUAAUAGUCGAUAUCAUCUUUUGUCGGUCCGACCUAAAAAGAAGAAAAAGUUAAAAGCAUCUUGUACCAAUUUUUGCCAAUGUGGGCCCAAACAAUUUGAAGAAGUCCACCGGCAAUUUCUCAAAAGCUAUUGUGUGAGUGUGAAGCUAAACCAAUAUUAUUUUGCAUAUCCGACCCCACAUCCCCAUGUGAUGUGAGGCUACAGAGGUGUUUCCAAAACGAAAUAUGAUAUUUCAAAACGUAGCUAUGUAUAGAGUCAUUUGUAUUUGCUUUCACAAUAACAUUUGAUUUUAUAUUUAUACAUUCUGAUAUUUUAACAAAUAAAUUGACUAAAUUUGGCCAACAGGAUUUAGCCGAAUAGAAAAGUUCUUAUUUAUGGACUAGUAAUUUUAAAUUUAAAAUUUAGACUAUCGCAUGUAUUUAAAAAAAACUAAACAAUUGGCUUAAUUUGAUAUAUUUCCUUUUUUUCCUUUUUGCAUUUUAUGCUGGUUGCCGUUAUUAAGUUUUAUCCUUAUUUUUUGUUGAAAAGAAAAUUGAAAAAAAUAAUAAUAAUUCCUACAGCUAGCAACUUCUCCACCUACAAAAAAUAAUAUUUUUUGUUUUAUCCUCAUGUGAGGCUACAGAAAAUUUUUGAAAACGAAACUGGAUAUUUUAUCUCUAACGACAGCUUUCAUACUUCGUUUACCCUGUGUUUCCAAGUUGUGCUAGCUAUUUGCAAACCUUGGAAUAUUACUUCAUCCAAAUCCCUUGCAGAGAAAAGAAAGAUAUGGCUUUGAUCGGAGAGGCCCUCAUCUCUGCUACCAUCCAGACGUUGUGUGACAAAAUUGCUUCGCCUGAGUUCACCGACUUAUUUCGGCAGAAAAAGCUCGAUGAACAACUCCUCAACAAGCUGAAGACGACGCUGUUGACCUUGUCCGUAGUGCUUAAUGAUGCAGAGGAGAAGCAAAUUGAGGAACCUUUAGUGAGAGACUGGCUUGACAAUCUCAGACAUAAUGUCUUGGCUGCGGAGGACUUACUGGAUGAAAUCGACACUGAAGCUUUGCGAUGCAAACUGGAAGAAGGUGAAGGUCAAACCCACAAUUUAACCAAGAAGGUACGUGAUUUUUAUCAACGCAUGAAUGUUGAGAUGAAAGAUUUAUUAGAAAGAUUAGAACAAUUUGUACAAGAGAAAAGUGCUCUUGGUUUGAGAGAAGGUGCUGGGAGGAAGGUUUCACGAAGAACAACAACUUCCUUGGUUCAUGAACCUUGUGUCUAUGGUAGAGAUGAAGUCAAAGAAAAUCUGUUGCCAAUUUUGUUAUCUGAUGAUGCAAGUAAGGAUGAUGUGUCUGUCCUCACCAUUGUUGGAAUGGGUGGGAUUGGCAAGACAACCCUUGCCCGACUGCUUUAUAAUGACGAUGAGGUGAAAGAACAUUUUCCACUUCACGCUUGGGUUUGUGUUACGGAAGACUAUGAUUCUAAUAGGAUAACUAAAACUCUUCUAGAGUCAGUCACCUCAAAGUCUUCUAAUAUGACAGAUCUAAAUUUACUUCAAGUUGAACUAAAAGAACAACUCAAGGGAAAGAAAUUCUUAUUUGUUUUGGAUGACCUAUGGAAUGAGAAAUAUGGUGAUUGGAAACGCCUCCAAACUCCUUUUACUUCUGGGGCAAGGGGAAGUAAAGUCAUUGUAACAACACGGAGCCAACAUGUAGUAUCUGUCCUGCAAAGUGUUCAUGUUCAUCACUUGGAACCCUUGUCGCACGAAGAUUGCUGGUUCUUACUUGCAAAACAUGCAUUUGGAAAUGAAAAUUGCAGUGAUCCAAACUUGGAAGAAAUUGGCAAGAAAAUUGCACACAAGUUCAAUGGGUUGCCUUUAGCUGCAGAAACACUUGGGGGUUUGUUACGUUGCAAUAUAGAUUCAGAGGAAUGGAAUACAAUACUAAAUAGCAGUAUUUGGGAGCUACCCUAUGAUAAAUGUGACAUUCUUCCGGCUCUUGGGUUGAGUUACCAUUAUCUCUCCUCCCAGUUAAAACGAUGCUUUGUUUAUUGUUCAAUUUUUCCAAAGGAUUAUGAGUUUAAAAAGGAAGAUAUAGUUCAAUUUUGGAUGGCAGAAGGUUUAAUUCCAAAAGCUGAGAAUGGAAAGAGCAUAGAAGCGGUAGCUAGAAAAUACUUUGAUGAGCUGUUGGCACGAUCGCUAUUUCAAAAGUCAAGCAAAUCCGGUUUCACAAUGCAUGAUCUCAUUAAUGACUUGGCCAUGUUCAUGUGUAAGGCAUUUUGCCUUAGGUUGGAAGGGGGGGAAUCACAUGUCGUAGAAAAAGUUCGGCAUUUUUCAUAUGCUAUGGAAAGAUUUGAUGCAGCUCCAAAAUUUGAGCCAUUACAUAGGGCUAAGUUUAUGCGGACCUUUCUACCCAUAUCAUUAAAUUUUGUUUCCACUUCUUAUGUAACUAAAAAGGUUCUACAAGAUUUGUUGCCGUCACUAAGAUGUUUACGGGUGUUAUCAUUGUCACAUUAUCAAAAUGUUACUGUGUUACCUGAUUCUAUUGCAAACCUCAUUCACUUGCGCUACUUGGAUCUUUCCGGUACCGCAAUUGAAAGGUUACCUGGGGUACUUUGCAAUCUCUACAACUUGCAGACAUUACUAUUGUCAAAAUGUUUCUCACUCCUUGAAUUGCCUGCAGACAUUAGAAAAUUGACUAAUUUACAGAAAUUGACAUUGCUCGGUUGUAGUUCUCUUAAUAAAUUGCCUGCAGGCAUGAAGGAGUUGACUAAUUUGCAUCAUCUUGAUGUCAGUGGAACUAAAAUUGAAGAGAUGCCGGUGCAAAUGGGUAGAUUGAAAAGUUUGAGAACAUUGACUGCAUUUGUUGUGGGCAAAUCUACUGGGUUAGGCAUAAGAGAACUGAGGCAGUUCCCGCAACUUCGAGGAAAACUAUCAAUUUUGAAGCUACAAAAUGUAGUUGAUGCGAGGGAUGCACUGCACGCCAAUAUGAAGCACAAGAAAGAUCUCAAGGAGUUAAAGUUUUCAUGGGGUGCGGAGGAUGCUGAUGAUUCCCAAAAGGAGAAAGAUGUACUCGACAAGCUCCAGCCUUGCGUGAAUUUGGAGAAAUUAUCCAUCAAAUUCUAUGGUGGAACCAAUUUUCCGAAUUGGUUAGGAGACUCGUCUUUUUCUAACAUACAAGUCAUGCAUCUCAGUGACUGUAGUUAUUGUUGGUUGCUCCCACCAGUUGGACGGCUACCGGCACUCAAAGAGCUCUGUAUAAAAAGAAUGAAGUCUUUGAGGACGAUUGGCGUUGAAUUCUAUGGCAGAAAUGGAGCUUAUCUGACUCAGCCAUUUCGAUCUCUGGAGAAGCUAGAGUUUAGGGGGAUGCCGGAGUGGGAGGAAUGGGUACCAAGUGGAAGUGCAAGUGGAGGUGAAUAUGGUCCAGACUUUCCUCGUCUCCAAAAGCUGAUUCUAAACGAGUGUCCGAAGCUAAGAGGAAGUUUGCCUUGUGAGUUGCCUUGCUUGAAGAAGCUUACGGUGUAUGGGUGUAAGGUUUUACAUGAUGGAAGGACCGCUACCGCAACUACCAAUAGUGUUAACUAUAAAUCUCUGGAAGAAUUGGAUAUAAGUGGUGGAUGCCAAACUCUGUUAUCAUUAUUAGAGACAAAGCUCCUGUCCCGACUUCGGAUUCGAAAUGUUGUUGACAUACAGUGCUUGCCCAACUGCAAUCGUCUUCAACGUUUGACUCUUUGCCUAACGCUGUCAUCGUUUCCCAAAGAUGGCCUACCCACUACAUUGACAUCACUUUAUAUAAACAAUUGUAGGAAAUUAGAAUUCCUACCUCAUGAGAUGUUGGCCAAAUUAACAUCGCUUGACUAUUUGUGCGUACAAAAUAGCUGUGAUUCAAUGAGGUCCUUCCCGUUGGGCAUUUUUCCCAAAUUGACGACGCUUCAAAUUCGUGGUUGUGAGAAUCUGGAAUCUUUUUCCUUGAUUGAAGAAGAAGGAGCUGUUGACAAUCUCAGCCAUCUCAAUUCCUUGCGUGUCUAUAACUGUCCAAAAAUGGUGUGUUUUCACGAGGGAGAAUUGCCCACUCCCAACCUGAGUCACUUUGUAGUCAUUGGUUGCGAGAAUUUGAAGUCAUUGCCCGAACGCCUUCACACCCUCACUGCCCUUCGAUCUUUGAAUAUAUGGAAUCUUCCGAAUCUGGAGUCAUUUGCAGAAGAUGGGGGUUUGCCUCCCAACCUCCGAUCUUUUAUCAUUAGGAAUUGUAAGAGACUGAGGGCACUUGACUCAGUGGGUUUGCAAGCACUUGUCUACCUUCAGAUCGAUGGAAGUGACCAUGUCUUGGAGACGUUGCUGCUCCCUACCACUCUUCACACUCUCUGCAUCUCUGAUCUAUCAACUCUGAAAUCUUUGGACGGAAAGGGUCUUGGACACCUCACUUCUCUUCAAACUCUAAAAAUUUACAGCUGUCCAAGUCUUCAAUGCCUGCCAGAAGAGGGUUUGCCGCCAUCUCUUUCUCAUCUGAGUAUCCGCUGUUGUCCUACCCUGGAGGAAAGGUAUAAGAAUAAAACGGGACAAGAUUGGGCAAAGAUAUCUCACAUUCCUUGCAUCGAGAUAGGGGAAGAAGUGAUCAUAUAAUAUGAGCUAUUCCAUAUUUCACGCUCAACCCUCAACUCUCAAAUCAAAGUCAGGUGAGGUAUGUGCCUUCUCUUACUUUAAAAAACUGCUUCUCUUCUUCUAAUUGAAUACAAAAACCAAAACACAUAUUCUCUUUCUCUUCCAAAAACCCAAAUACAUGUUGGACAUUGCCCAAAUUUGUCUCCAAAUUCCUAGUUUAAAUCAAAUUUAAUGCCUAUGGAUAGUUUGUUAAUAGGUUCAUGCCAUGAAUUAAUCUUUGGACUUUCCCAGGUACUGCAGGUUUGUUAUUAAUGUUGUGGCCUGAUAUUCGUCGUAUCAAUACGUUGAGGAGAGAGAUCGAUCAGCAAUUACAAAAUUGUUAGUGAAUUUAGCUUGUUUAUCAUCUCUCUCCUUUUGUUUGUUAAGUUUUGUUGUUCUAGGUUAAACCCUUGUCCCCGCAUUUCACAGCAACUCUGUGUUUUUCCACUCUGUUUAGAUUUCACUAGCAGGAGAGCCCGCGCGAUGCUGCGGGUUUUGAAAUUGUGUAGACAAAAUUAGAUUGUUUAUAUAUACAAUGAGAUUUAAUUUAUAACAUUAUGUUUAACUACAGGAGUGUAAGUUGCAAAAAAGUAUAUAAUAACAUAUUUUACAGGCUACUUGUUAUGGUAAAAUACUAUACUUGUUUGUAUAUACAUUGAGAUGUUUAUAGUAGGAAGUAGGCAUCAAAAUAGCAAAAGUUGGAUAGUUUUGUACAGAAUGUUAUUUAAUUGGGCAAGCUUUGUUUUGCACUUGCUUCAUGAUUUUUCUUCUCUUUCAUGGAAGUCUUGAUCCUGUUAUAAAAAAAAGUGAGAAAAUAGUAAAUGUUAAUAUUGAUGAAUGGGGGAAAUUGAGUUAGGACAAUAAUCAUAAACAUUUAAUUAUGUAUAAACAGGAAUAAUAUAAUUUAUUGAUUUAAUAAGAAAGUUAUAAAUAGUUUUUCAAUCUAGGAAAUACAAAGUUACAAAAUUAAGAGAACUAAUGAGCAAGUUGUAGAUGGUUUUCUAAUUGAAGUAAUACAAAGUAAACAUAUUUUAAAUUUUGUGUUUGUCUAAAAGAAAAGUUGAAGAGAGGCAAAAUAAUUAUGGUUGAAUAUAUGGAGAAAAGGAUGUCAAUAUAAUGUUUAGGUUUUUAUGUAUUAGGAAUAUAUGACUUUUUUGCUGUUAUUUAGAGCAAAAAUUAUUUAAGGGCUUGACAUUUCUGUUAAAAAACGGGUAGAAUCUACCCUGAAAAAUGGACAUUUUGCCAAAAAAUUCACCUGUAAACUAAUUAGUACUGAAUACCGAUUGGCGAAGGCAAGACAAUCAUAGUUGUGGAGUACAUAGUUAGAAAGAUGAAUGUGCAAACGUACAUCUAACCCCAUGAUAUACAUCUAACCCCAUGUGAACAUGAUUUAUUCUACAACAAUGAUUAUCAAUUUUCUAAUUGCUCAUUUUCCUAACCCUAAUCAUCACAAACCCAAAAUUAACUCUAAAAAUUUCAAAUAAGCAUGGUUCUAAACCAAUUUCUAACUUACUUAGCGAAGUCUUUUCUAUAAAUGAUAGUUGUUGAAGAAAAAGGGAAACGAAAAUAAGCUUUUAGUGUAUAAGUACAUUGAAGCAAAACAUGAAGAGAAUCCAAUAUAUAACUUCAAUAUAUAACUUUAAUUUUCUAUAAGUGUUGAUCUAAAUUUACAUCCCUUACCACUCUUCAAUUUAAAAAUAGUUUUAGCUACAACAAACAACUUCAGAGAGAAGAUUUGGCCCUGUUUUAUAAGGCAAAACCUCUCUAACCACAUGACAUACAUCUAACUCCAUGUGAACGUGAUUUAUUCUACAACAAUGAUUAUCAAUUUCCUAAUUGCUCAUUUCCCUAACCCUAAUCAUCACAAACCCAAAAUUAAUUCUAAAAAUUUCAAAUAAGCAUGGUACUAAACCAAUUUCCAACUUACUUAGUGAAGUCUUUUAUAUAAAUGAUAGUUGUUAAGGAAAAACGGAAACAAAAAUAAGCUUUUAGUGUAUAUGCACAGCACAGAAAUUGCAUGUAGCUUUCCGAUUUUUAUCCCAACUUCGUUUCUGUGGAAUCACAAAACUACAUACGCACAGCACAGGGAAGGGAAAAAAAAAAAAAGGCACAUUUAAGAGACACCUAUCUUCUCAUUCUACAUCACAUCCUCUUUUCCUAGCUUUCCAACCUUGCAACCAAAGCAAACAUCUUUCCUGAUAAAGGGUAGGAAAGAAAGUGGUUGUGUGAAUUGGGAUGAGAGAGACAGAGACAGAGACAGAGACAGAGAGACAAAGAGAGAGAGAGAAAAGAGAAAUCAAAGUAUAUAUAUAAAUAGUAAGUAUAGUUUAUAUCAUGCAAAGUUUUGAUGGUUUCGUUCAAAAAAAAAACAGGGAAAAAGUUUUGAUGGGUAAUUCUAGUAAUAAUGUUCUUAUAAUUCUAUAUAUAUAUAGAUAUCAAACUGUACUACCAUAUUCUUCCUAUAUAUACACUUGGUCGUCAACUACCUCUCUCUCUCUCUCUCUCUCUCUCUCUCUCUCUCUCUCUCUCUCUCUCUCUCUGUGACCUGCAUUUAUACAGAACCAAUUAUUCCAUCUUCACUAUACAUUUUCCUCAUCUUCCCAUUCAUAUUUUAUGGCUCUCUUGUUCUUCCUCCUAAUUCUUUUGGUCCCUGCAAGCAAUACUAAUUGGCCACCAUCACCUGGCUACUGGCCAAGUUCUAAAUUCAGGUCUAUGAGCUUUUAUAAAGGAUUUAAAACUCUCUGGGGUCCUCAGCAUCAAAGCUUAGACCAACAUGCAUUAACAAUCUGGGUUUAAUGAGGCCAGAAAAUUUUAAGAACUUAUCUACCAAGCAUACCAAACUGACAAAGCAAACCAUAUCUGUAUUUUAUCAUCAAUUUCAUCAAUUUUAUCACCAACAACAGAUAAAAAAAGGGAAUUUUUUCAAAAAAAAAAAAAAGGAAAAAACAUAAAUAAAAAAAGGGGCACAUUUAAGAGAGACCUAUCUUCUCAUUCUACAUCACAUCCUCUUUUCAUUUUGAAGCGGUCAUGUGUUGUGAGUUUCUUGUUUUAUAAAUUUUCAAAACUGUUGUUUAGAACUGCAAAAUUCUUCAUCAUAUAUCUUGCCUUCUAAUAUACAUUCUGUAUCAGGAAACUGGAAUGAGGCUUGCUCUUUGAGGAAGAGAAAUAAAAGAAAAAGUUGUGGCAAAGGUUCACGGAUGUAGUUGGAUUGUAGUGGGACAGAGAACAAAUUUAUUUGUUGCAGGGGAAAAGUCUCAUCCAAAUGCUAUGAAAUCAUGGCAACUUUAAAGUAUUGGACAGCAAUAAUGAAAGAAGAGGGCUAUGUUGGUGACACAGAUUCUUGCUUGCAUGAAUAAGAGGGAGAAAAGCCCCUAUGGUAUUGACUGUUGCCGCCAAGUGCAUAUUGUUAUUACUAUGCGUACUACAUCCCAAGGCCUCUCUCAGCAGGAUUACAAAGUAAACCAGAAUUACUAUCCCAGCAGUAUUCUGCAACUUUGCUCUGCACUUCCUUAUGUAAUCUCUCUCUCUCUCUCUCUCUCUCUCUCUCUCUAUAAAUAUAUAUAUACACACACACACACACACACACAUAUAUCUAGGCAUGCAUAUUUAUGAGUUCCCCAUUGAGGAGGGAUUCCCUUUUGAGGAUUUUAUAAUUAGAAUUAGACUGCCUUCUUAACCAAUAGUUGGGUUUGUGUGGUAAGGUAUGCUGGGUUUGUUGAUGUGGAUAUUUAUGCCUGGAGGUGCUUUGUUUUACUACUUCGUUGAAGUAGAAACAGACACUGACAAAGAAGCCCUUCAUUCUUUGUCUCAAUAGUGAUUGGUUUCUUUGAUCCUAUUCAUCAUAUCUGGUGGUGAGGUUGCCUAAUCAGCCAAAUGUUGGGUUCAACUACCUCUCUCUCUCUCUCUCUCUCUCUCUCUCUCUCUGUCUCUCUCUCUCUUUCUCUCUCUCUCUGUGACCUGCAUUUAUACAGAGCCAAUUAUUCCAUCUUCACUUUACAUUUUCCUCAUCUUCCCAUUCAUAUUUUAUGGCUUUCUUGCUCUUCCUCCUAAUUCUUUUGGUCCCUGCAAGCAAUACUAAUUGGCCACCAUCACCUGGCUACUGGCCAAGUUCUAAAUUGGCCAGAAAAUUUUAAGAACUUAUCUACCAAGCAUACCAAACUGACAAAGCAAACCAUAUCUGUAUUUUAUCAUCAAUUUUAUCGCCAACAACAGAUAAAAAAAGGGAAUUUUUUCAAAAAAAAAAAAAAAAAAGGAAAAAACAUGUUUAGUCUUUGCUUUCCAAUGUUUUAUCCAAAAACCUGAAAAUCAAAGUAACUAAAUAAAUGAACCCAAUCAUUCCUAAUUUCUAUUUUGUCAAAACCUAAUUAAGCUUCACUUCUUUUUUGCUUGUAUUUUAUCAUCAAUUUCAUCUAUUUUAUCACCAAUAGCAGAUAAAAAAAGGAAAUUUUUUCAAUUAAAAAAAAAAAAAACAUACUCAGUCUUUGCUUUCCAAUGUUUUAUCUAAAAACCUAAAAUCAAAGGAAUCAAAUAAAUAGGGUUUAGGGCUCAAGAACCUGAAAUCAAAAGAACCAAAAAAAUGAACACAACUCUACAUAGCACGAAAAAUCUCCCAGCCAACAAUCAAAUUCAUGAAAUAAAUACCAAAAGAUCUGUUAAAAAAUUGAUGAGAUGCAUACCUGAAAACAAAGGAUGCAACAAAGAUGGAAGCCUGAGUCGAAGCAAGAACGAUGGAAGCCUGAGUCGAAGCAAGAAAGAUGGAAGCCUGAGUCGAAGGUUGUAGAAAAGACGAAAUCUCCCGAUCCCAAAUCUGUGACACGAAGACUGAAAGCACGGCUGGAUUUGCAGCUCACCUCCCAAACAAAAAUCGACGGCCUUCAACGCAUCUCCAGCAACGAACACAACUCUUCCAUGGCUGCCCCCCAACCAGCUGGUUGGAAACGAACGGGAGAAAAUGGUUUCUCUCAGCGGACGAAACCAUCUCAACGAAGGGGGAGGGGCAAAAACGGGAACAAAAGAAACUGUUUAGUCAAGGGCAGUUUCGUCAUUUAACUGUGCUGCAGGAAAAAAAACGAAAACAGCAGAAAAAUGAGGGGCAUUUCCGUCAUUACACUGUGCUUAGCUACAGUGUUUAGUUGCAUUGGGUUUUAGUAUAUAUAUAAUUUAUGUUGUGAUUCGACUGCUGCUGUAUUUUAGAUUUAUAGGAACAGACCAAACAUGUUGAUUCUAUCACCAAAAUUAUAAAGUAUACUUCCAUUACAAUUAAUUUGUUGAUUCUAAUUUGGACUUGUAGGAACAGACCAAACAUGUUCAUACGUGGCAUUGCUCAAGUCAUCAUCAUUCGGGACAGAGAAUAAGCCUUCAAAUGUCUGCUGAGUCAAUGAACCUUUCUAGAUAUCUCAAGUGUAAUGGAAAUUGAUGAGUUACAAAGGAUUUGUAAACAUUUUCUACUGGAGGCUAGAAAUGCUUCAAAUAAAUGACUCUGUUGCAAUUAUUUUGUAGGAUCAAAGACUCUGCAAAGAGGUAAGAAAGUCAUCAUCAAGUAACUUCGCUCUUCAUACUUUUUAUUAGGGGUGGGCAUUGGAACCGCAAAACCGCAAAACCGAACCAACCCAAUCCGAAAAAAACCGAAAAAAACCGUGUUGACCGAAAAAGUCAAAAACCGAGACAAAUCCAAACCGAACCGGUUCAGACCGGUUCCGGUUCCGAUUUUCCACCUUAAGGAACCGGUCCAAUCCGAACCGGUCCAAUAUAAUUAAUUUUUAUAUUAUAUUUAUAUUUAUAUUUAAAAUAUCAAAUUUUGUAGGCCCAAACCCAACUAUUUCAUUAUACCAACAAAAAGCCCAAAUCUCCCAAGUCCAUUGCCCAAGUCCAACAAGCCAUAUUUUAAUAUCCUAAUCACAUCAAAUCUCACUUCACUCUCUCUCUCUGACGCACUCUCUCUUUUCCUCUCAGAUUUUUUUUACUCUCUUUUUCUUUCUUUCUUCUCUCUUCCGCCUCUUUUCCUCUAGGUUCUUUAACUUCUUUUUACUUCUUUCUUUCUUCACUCUUCUGCCUCUUUUCCUCAGUUUUUUCUUCUUCUUUCUCUCUUAUUCUUUCUCCUCUCAAUUCGUCUCCAUUUUUUUUCCCUCUCUUUCUCUGAUUUUCUGUUACUCUGAUUUUUUUCUUCUUGGUUUUAUGUUUCUCUCUCUCCCUCUAUAUCUCUUUCUUUGCAACUCUGUUUUUCAAUUUCUCCUUUUUUUUCUCUCUUCAUUUUUUGUUUCUCUGUACAUAUAUGUGUUCAUCUUGUAGAUCUGGGUGAAAUUCUUGUAGAUCUAGGUGAAGUUCUUGGAGAUCUGCGUUAAGUUCUUGUAGAUCUAGGUAAAGAGCCAAUUCAAAGCAGGUCAGCGUCUCUUAUCUCCCCAAUCCCUUGUGAAGAUAUGUAUUUUUUUUGUUGUCAACAAUCCAUUUUGGUGUUUUUAUAUGGUAUUGAUAUUUUCUAUGAUUUUGGGCUGAUUUGAGGUCUGAUUCUUUUUUUUUCUUUCAAUUUUUUCCUGUUGUGUUUUGAUAGACAUGUUCUCUAUUCCUGAUAUCAUUCCUCAGUGGCAAAAUCUUUGAGCGUUGUUGUAAAUUUUAGACGGGAAAGAAGCUCAUUCAUAAUUCAAAAAAAGAAAAUAAAGUUACAACAACUGACAAUUUGUUGCUCUUUGAAAUAGGUACUGAAGUAGCAUGGAUAAAAAGAAAGACUGAAGAUGUUGCAGAAGAUUGAAUAUGUUCUAUUUCUGUAAUUUGUUUGUAAUUAAAUUUGUUUAUUUUGUUUUGUUUUUAGGUUGUAAGUUUUAUUUUAAUGUUUGAUAUUUGUUGUUUUGUCAAAAAAUUGUAUUAAUGCUUGAUGGAUUCAUUCAAUUUGCAGUGCGUGGAUGUGAAUUGGGCCAAUCGGUAAUAAUUAGGCCCAAAAGGUUUUAAAUAUCAAUUGGGCUGAAACUUACAAAAAAAUUUAAGAACAAAAAAAAAAUCAAUUAAGCUGUGUGUCGGCCCAAACCGUAAAAACCGGAACCGAACCGGAUUCAAAUGGGUUCGGGUUGGUCCGGUUUUCUCAAGCAUUUUAGUAAAAAUCCGAACCGGACCGGACCGGUGAACAGUACCGGUUCCGGUUUUAAAUUGAUGCAAAAACCGGUCCAAACCGGACCGUGCCCACCCCUAUUUUUUAUUUUUAUUUUUAAAUAUCAGUAAUAACUGGGAAAGCUUGCAUCUCCUUAAAUUGCUCAUUCUUACAUCUUUUAUAGUUUGUUGAUCUUGGGCAAGUGGAGAGAGAGGCGUCAAGUGAUACGCAACAACCAUUUUCUGUGAGCUGAUUUGAUAAAGAGAAAUGGUAUGCUUUCUUGUCUUAAGCGGUGUGUUCUGCAAUUAUUUGAAACAAAGGAUGCCGCACUUCAAGUUCGAGAAAAUCAGGUAUUUUAGUAUUUUAUUCUUGAGAAAUUUGAUUUAUGUAGAAACUUGAACAUGUAAAUGAGAGAAAAAAAAAUAAAUAUAUAUAUAUAUUAUAUAUUGUAUAUGCUGUUAAUGAGUUAAUAUGGUGCUUGCUCCUAGUUGGAAAUUUAUGUAGUCAUCUACCUAUGAUCAAAUAAAGAUGAAAAAUAAAAUAAAAUUGAGAGCAUCUUCCUCUCCCCUGCUUUGCUCAUCCCUUGUUCUUCCACUUCAGCCCCACUAUUACACCAUUUUUUUCAGCCACAAUUAUAAUAGCUCCAUGAGCAUUAAGUCCCUUUCAAAUUCUGCUGACAUUCAAAAUUGGAAUCUGCUGGUGAUAUAUGAUAGCGUUAACAUAUUGUACCAUUUUGGCCAGUGUACGCAAUAUUAUUGCAUCCAACUUUGCAUAUUAACAUCAGUGGCCACAGUUACACGAUUUGAGUGCACAGAAAGGUUUCAAAAGUUGUCCCACAGAGAACAGUCGUUCAAAGUGAGAGAGUUUUGAAAGCUUAAUUACAAGUUCAUGUUGUUUACAACCUCAAAAAGCUUUCAUACUUGCUUACAAACCUGUAUUUCCAAGUUCUGCAAACCUUGGAAUAUCACUUCAUCCAAAUCCCCUUCCAAAGCAGGAAAAAAUGGCAGCAGCUUUGAUUGGAGAGGCUCUCAUCUCUGCUUCUAUCGAGGUGUUGUGUGACAGAGUUACUUCAGCCGAGUUCAUAGACUUAUUUCAGCAGAAGAAACUUGAUGAAACACUCCUCAUGAACCUGAAGACGACACUGUUGAUUUUGUUUGCGGCGCUCAAUGAUGCAGAGGAGAAGCAAAUUGUGAACCCUGCUGUGAUAGAGUGGCUUAACAGCUCAAGCAUGCUGUCUUUGAUGCAGAGGACUUACUUGAUGAGAUUGACACUGAAGCUUUGCGAUGCAAGCUGGAAGGUGAGGAUCAAACCCACAAUAAUUAACCAACAAGGAUCUUUUUGAUUGUUUGAAAGGAGGGUCUUUGAUGAUUUGAAAGGAGAGGGUUGCUUCAUUUCUGUUGGAUGCUUAAUUAAAUCUUAUCUGGACUUGAACAAGGAUUAGGUUAGCUGUAUAAUUCGUGGUAAACACCUUUUUCUAAGGUUCAUUUAGACUCCUAUUACGAUUAAUUUGUUGUUUCUAAUUUGGACUUGUAGGAACAGACCAAAUAUGUUCACACGUGGCAUCGUUCAAGUCAUCAUCAUUUCAGACAAAAUCAGCCUUCAAGUGUCUGCUGACUCAAUGAACCUUUCUAGAUAUAUCAAGUGCAAUGGAAAUUCAAGAGUUACAUAGAGAUUUGUAAACAUUUUGAAGAUUGCAACACCUGCAAGUGAGAUAGGUGGUGACGAAAUCAGAGCUGAUCUUGAAGCCUCUGAUGCCCCUGUCGUUGCAAGUUGCACCUGAGAACAUGGUUUUUUUUUGGGUAAAAAACCAGCAACAUGUUCGGGGCUGGCAAUUCAAUCCCUGAUGAACUUGAGAAGCAAAGCUCCAGUAAGGAAAUUGGUCGAGGUCACGACAGGGAUAAUUGAUGGUGAAAUGGAUGCUAUUUCUUAUUGCAGCCUGUUCUCAAAGUUCUUGUUGGCAAAAGCAAGAGAUGGAGUAUUUUGAUUGGGAGGAGAGAUAAUGACAUGUGUUGACAAUUCUAGAACAGCCCAUCUGAGUUCUUUUGUCAGGCUGCAUCAUUUAAUCCCAGCAAAAAUCCAGUUUUUGCUAAACAAUCAAAUUGUACACAUUUUUUCUUUUCGAGGAAUUUAACAUUACACAUUUUUUCAUUUUUUCAUCAAACAGUUUUCUAAUGCAUUUGUUGUCCCAAGUUACAAUGAGGAAUUUGGAUUGAGUUUCUUGUGUUAAUAACAUUAUACUUUCAUGGAAUGGUUUAUCUUCUUUUUCUGGACAAAAAUAUUUAGAUUAAUUUCUUGGAAUAAUUUUUUAAUAAUUUUUUAAUUGCAGUAGCGAAAAAAGGAAAAUUGUAUUUUUCAAAACCAAUCUUAAGUCCAGUUUCCUCUUCUUGGUCGUCACACUUGGAAAUUGCUAACCAUAUAUAACUUGGGGUAACAAUCUUAGUCCGAAUGUGUACGAUCUUAGUCCGAUCAAUGGCUACGCGUAUUGGCUCGGCCUUGGGGUCUACCAUUCCAGUGUACAAGCUUCCUGGGUCUUGGGGCAAUUCCUUCAAAUUGUACACAUGUUUUCUUUGAGAAGCAAGGCUCUAGUAAGGAAAUUGGUUAUGUAACAAAUUUUGGUCCCUUUGGAUGGAAUGAUUUACAAUGAGGAAUUUUAUUAUUAUUAUUUUGUUUUUGUUGUUAGUGUAAUGAAAAUGAUCUAGGUUCAUACACUGGGUAUAGCUCUAAUUUGGCCAAUUUCAUUAUUUUAGUUUCUUCAUAUUUUCAAUUAUUAUAAUUUGGUGCGUUGUUUUUUAAAAACAUUCAUGAGAAUCUCCAUUUUUUAGGUGUUUAAGUUAUUCAUCCACAACGGUUUUAUAAUACCGUCAUCUUUUCAAACACAACGAUGAUUUUUUAAUCUAUCGUCGUUGUUUUCUGAUCGUCUUUUUCACUUUUUGUAGUAGUGUCAAUAAGUAAGAUGAAAUAAUACAUUCACAAUCUGUUUAAAUUUUAAAUUAAAAAAAACACAAGAAAAUUUUAAAUAAGUAAGUAAUUUUAAAUAUAUAUUUCCAUUGUUUUGGUUUUCUUUUCAUAUUAGUUUUCUACUAGCUGCUAAUUUCAUUUAAAUUGUUUUUCUUACUUCAUUUAACUUUUAAGCAUGCAGAUGCAAUCAUGACUUCUUCUUUUUUUCAAUAGACUGAUUCUCUUCCCACAUAUAUAAUGCUCUCUAAGUAUUCGUAAUAUGAGUAGGAAUUUAUUUUCAUUUCACAAGAAUUGUCCAUCAAAUUCUGAUAGGUUUGUCGAUAGCACAAGCAUGCACAUAUAGACACUACAAGAACUUUGUUUCUUCAUUUUGUUUCCUAAAGAUUUGUUGGCUUCGUGCAGAUGAAUAACAAGUCUCUCUGUCCUCUAUUUCUUCUUUUUCUUUUUUAACAAUUCAUAUUCUACUUUCUGUUUUCACCCAGUAAAAAUUGAUUUUAGACAUGGGCUUCUAAAUUAUGUGCGGAUAAUGGUUGCAUUUAUAGAAUAUCCAUGGGCUUCUAGUCACCGUGGUUGUUGAUUCAGCAUGUCAUAUUACUCUUGGACUAGCUGUUGACACUACUACAUUUUACACUUUGCGCGACGAAGAACAAAACGUCGCGCAAAGUCGCAUUUAGUCGCCCCAAUUUCAGCGCGACAAAAACGUCGUCGCGCAUAUUCCGUCGCGCGAAGAUCGUGAAGAAAGCCUUUGCACGACGAGGUACAACCCUUCGUCGCGCAAAAGUGUGCGACGGGUAAACCAUCGUUGCACCAACGGUGUGGAGACGAAACAACCCUUCGUCGCAAAAAUAUUUGCGCGACGAUAAAUUAUGCGGCGCACGUAUAUUUGCGAGACGACGGGAAUUGCGCGACAAAACAUUAUUCGUCGCGCAAAAUAUGUAUGGGAGACGUAUAUGUUCGUCGCAGAACAAUUCGCGCGAUGAGAAAGUUUUCGUCGCACAUAUAAUUGCGCGACGAAAAAUUAUGUCGUCGGCCAAAUAUUUUGCGCGACGAAACAUUUCGUCGCGCAAAACGUGUUAUGUGUUCGUCGCGCAUGAAUUAAAAGUGAUAAAAAAAUAUUUGAUUUUUUUUUGUUACAUGUUGGUUUGCGCGACGAAAGAUUUUCCGUCGCGCAAAAAUAAUAUUACAAUUUUUUUUUUAUUUAUAUUUUUUAUUUGAUAUAAAAUUGGUUUCUUUUUAUUGAUUAAACAAUGAAAUUGCAAUAAAAAUAAAUUAGAAUAAAAUUUUGUUAUAAAAUAAAAUAAAAUAAAUGUAUUACAAAUAAAAUAAAUACACUAAUCAAAUAAUGAAUCAAAAUCAACCGAGUCGUCGCCAGUAUGCGGCUCGGAGGGCGGGGCGUUCACCGGGGCAGUGGUCUGGUGGGGAUGCCCGGGAUGGACGGGCUCAGAGGUCGGCGCAUCAAAAUGCGGGACUGGAAUGCCGGACUGUGCGAGGGACUGCAGAAUGACCGACAUCUGGCUCUGAAGAGUGGCCACCUGUGCUGUCAAAGCAGUGACCUGACUGUUUGACUGCGCCGAUGAACGAGGUCGAGGUUCCCUCCGCCGGGCAUUCCCCAUCCCUCGACAAUAUGUCCCCGGCCUCCUCCCGAGAGUCUGAUCCAACGUCUCCGUCAAUAUCUGAAAUCCAGCAUCCUGUGGAGGAGCCACAGACUCGAUCGGAGUCUCGGGAGGAAGCUGGGAGGCGGACUCCUGAAGAACAAGCUGGCUCCUCUCCACCAUCGUCGUCUGUUGAACAUAACAUAAAAUAUAAAUUAAAACAUGCAUAUAAAUUGAAUGCGUAACAUAAGAAUUAAAAUUAAAUAAUACUUACAUGAAGGGACUCGGCCAACUCAUUCCCGGGUCGAACAUAAACGUCACCAAAGACGUCGAUCUCUGGGAACUUGGACCCCUCCUAAAUUGAACAAGAGAAGAAAAAUAUUAGUAUGAAAAAAAUAAAUUAAUAAAAAUGACAUUAAAAAUGAAAUAAAAAUUUUGUGAUUAUUACCCGACGCCGUGCAUCCAUCCUAUAAGAAAAGGGUCUGGAGCCGGAAUGGUGGAGAAGGGUCUUCUUCUUCCUAUUACCCUUAUUCACUUGGGCUUUAUUCUGUUAUACAAAAAAUGAAACGUAUUAGUUAAAAUAUAAAAAAUUAAAUAAUAAUGAAAUAAAAAAAUAAAAUAAACAUUAAUAAGUAAUAAGUAAUAAUUAAACAAAUAUAAUUAAAAAAAUACCGCAAAUUCGGGCGCUUGAAAAUGAGCGCAGAGCCACUCCCAACUAUCCUCCCGCCCCUCAAGCUCCUUCGGGCAACCCUCCUGAAGAGCGACUUGCGGAUCAUCAUAGGCCUGAAAAUGGUGGUGCAAGUCGCUCUUCCACUGCUUGUACCUCUCAGCGAAGAGUCGGUUGACGUACGUCAACGACUCUUCGUCGAGAUCCUCCAAGUUAUAGUUCGUCUGCAAUCAAUUAAUUAGAUACGUUAAGUAAUAGAAAUAUACACAAUUUUAAAGAAAAAUAAUGAAAAUGUAAGGUACAUACCGACAACUGGCCGUGAAUCUCCGCCUGGAUCUCGUCAGGCAUGACCCUCCAAGACUUCCAUUGCAUCGGGCAAUGGGUCCGCACGACGUGGCCAAUGUCGUGGGCCAAGGAGCUAUGCAACUUCGCCGUCGGUGCAGCACGAUGGCGCUCGUCGUAUCCGAUGCUGAUACGACUGUUGGUCACCCGGGUGACCUUCGCCGUCUUCAGCUGACGACACGGUCCUCGGGUGUUCCUCUUCGCUGCAAAGAAAUAAGGUAUUAAUGUUAAAUAAAAAAACAUUGUCAAAUUUCAAUAUAAAAUUAACAAUACAAAAGUGUAGUUAUACCUGGCUGUGAUCCCGAGGCACCAGUACCGUCGGUCGAUGUCGUGUCGAUGGUGUCGGUGGGCCGGUGCCGCCGCCUAGCACUAGCUGGUUGCGCCACGGAUGACGCAGAUGACACAGGCGCCUGGGGCGCCCCGGGACCAACCACCACGUGGUCCAACAAAGCAGGAGCAGUGGCAGCAGAUGCCGACUGAGCCAGGGGAUCCGAACUCGGUGCAGUCGUCAUCGACCUACCACGUCUAAUCAAGUCUGACAUCUGCACAUAUAAUUUCAUUCAGAAUGUAAACUAAUUAAUUAAAAGCAUAGCCUGACCUAGGGUUUGGAAUUUCGGAGUAUCCGGGACUCCGAUCAACGAUCGGUCGAAUCCUAAACGAUCCUAGAAACACAAAGGUACAACUACGCGAGUUUCAGUUCGAUCCAACGGUCCGAACAUAUCAAACCUGGAAAUCGCACAAUAGGCGAAAUUCGAUCAAGACUCAAACGGUAACCAAAUUCAAAUCCGAGCAAACCUACGCGCUCGUGACAAACAGGGGAUCGCUCUGGGACACAAUGCCCCACUGCCACAGCAUCCCACGCGCCGGCAGCGCGUGGGUGUCCAAAGCGAUAACAUUCGCCGGAAAAUUCUAAAAACUAACGGCCAAGGUUCCUACCCUAGGUUGAAAACAAUAUUUGGCGCCACUUUUGUUCUCGGACCUACCCCGAAAAAUGGCCGGAAGUGGCCGGAUUUGAAAUUGCCAAACCGGCCAAAACCUAGGGUUUUAAUUCCUAUUUCCUAUACCCAUCAGCUAGAGCACAAAAAAUAGUCGAGAAAUCAUACCUCAGGCGUCGGAAAUGGUGGCCGGAGGAGAGAGAAAACGGCCGGCGAGGAAUCGGUGAAAAACCGACGAUGUGCGACGGCAGGCUCGACGGCGAAGGCAGGGGAGGCUAUGGCAGGAGCGGCGGUGGCUGAGGUGACGGCGGAGAGAGAGGGCUGAGGUGACGGCGGAGAGAGAGGCAAACGGAGGAAAAAACCAGAAAUGGGGAAGAAGGAGGCAUCGCGACGUUUCUGCAAAUUUUUACGACUUUGCGCGACGAAUCACAUCAUUCGUCGCGCAAAAUGCUAUUAAUGAAUCUUGCGCGACGCUAUAUCCGUCGCGCAAGAUCUGUCAGAACGCCAAAUUCUGAAAGUGGAUUAGGGUCUGUAAGUUUUGCGCGACGAAAUAGACAUACUUCGUCGCGCAAAAGGCUGUCUUUCCGCCAAAAUUUUGGGAUUUAGGGUUUAGCGGGAGGCUGAAACUGAAGGGUUUGCGCUUUUGCGCGACGAAGACGGUAAACGUCGCGCAAUGGUAACCUUGCGCGACGGAACGUAUUAUAUUCGUCGCGCAAAAGGCUAUCUUUCCGCCCAAAUUUUGGGAUUCAGGGUUUAGCGGGAGGCUGAAGGGUUUGCGCUUUUGCGCGACGAAGACACUAAACGUCGCACAAAAGGCUGUCUGCUGAAAUGAAUGGUUUCUGCUUUUGCGCGACGAAGACAAUAAACGUCGCGCAAAACGUUGUCGUUCCGCCAACAAUUUGGGGUUUAGGGUUUAGUGUGAAAACUGGCGCCCAGAUUGCGCGACGAAGAGUACAUAUUUCCUUCGCGCAAUCUAUUUCACUUUCACUUUGCGCGACGGAUAUGUUGGUUCGUCGCGCAAUCUUCAAGAUUUUCAUUGAAAUUUUCACUAAGUGUUCAAAGGGGAUGGAGGUGUGAAAACUGGCGCCCAGAUUGCGCGACGAAGAGUACAUAUUUCCGUCGCACAAUCUAAUUCACUUUCACUUUGCGCGACGGUUAAAUUGUUCGUCGCGCAAAAUGUAGACCCUAAACCCCCUUGUAAACCCUAAACCCUGAACCCUAAGCCAUAAACCCUAAACCCUAAAAUAGUUUCAAUGAUCCAACCGGCAAACUUAUUGUUUGAAACUUGGAGAUCAUAUACGCCAAAAAUCAAGAAGACCAAACAUUCAGAUAUCAGGGAACGGGACUAAAUAUUUCGACGGUUAUAAAUGAAAAGUCAUGAUUUAACGGUUAUUGUAACUCCGAUUUUGAUCAAUUUUGACAGCAGCAUUUGUUGACCCUAUAUGAAUACAAUGACUGAAUUUGAUCUUCAAUUUCAGAUUUUUACACUAGGGGAUACCACAUAAACGUGAAGUUACAUUUGCACAAAUGUAUAAACAAAUUUUAGGGUUUUUGGUGAAUAUAUGAUUUUGAUAGCACAUGCAGUCUACGAAACAAGUUUCAGUCAUCCAGCCGUCAAACUUGUUUUUUUAGACUUCGAGAUCAUAGACAGCAAAAAUCGGACAAAAAAAACAUUCAGAGAUUAAGCAACGGGGUAAAACUUUUCGACGGUUCUAAAUAAAAAGUGAUGAUUGAACGGUUAAUUUAACUCCGAUGUUGAUGAUUUUUUGCAGCUACAGUCCUACACUCCAUAUGAAUACAAUGAACUACUUCGAUCGCCAAUUUUAAAUAUAUAUGUGUGUAUAUAUUAUACUAUAACGUUACCUAAUAUAUAUUUGCGCGACGAAAGUUUGCUUAUCGUCGCGCAAAAAUGCCAUACGCGACGCAUGUAUAUAUGCGUCGCGGAAACUAUGCGCGACCAGUUGUAUUCGUUGCGCAAACAUUACGCGACGCUUAUGUAUGCGUCGCGUAUGGUAUGUUUGCGCGACGAUAUGGAGCCCUUCGUCGCGCAUGGAUUUGGCGCCAUAAAUCCUCAUUGAUUUCAAAUUGUGUAUGCUUUGUAUUUUUUAGAAAGGUUUUGUAUUCAUCAUUUUUUAUGCUUUGUAUUUUGUGGAAAGGCUUUGAAAUAUUCAUUUCUUUUGUUAUUUUUAUUGAAGCUUUAACUUGUUCUGUUCCGCAGAAAAUUCCAAUGAAGUUUGUGAUGAAAUAUGGAGAAUGAAUACACAACUACAUAUGGACAACUACACAUAUUCAAAGAUUUGUAUUACACAAAAUUAAUACACUAACAUAAUAAAUUUACAAAUAAAUUCAUUAUUCAUCAUCUGAACUAUAAUAACUUUCGUUAUCGUCGCUAGCUUUAACUUGUUCUGUUCCGCAGAAAAUUCCAAUGAAGUUUGUGAUGAAAUCUGGAGAAUGAAUACACAACUACAUAUAGACAACUACACAUAUUCAAAGAUUUGUAUUACACAAAAUUAAUACACUACAUAAUAAAUUACAAAUAAAUUCAUUAUUCAUCAUCUGAACUAUAAUAACUUUCGUAUCGUCGCUAUCAUCACUCUCGGUCUCCCAAUCUUCUUCCUCCUCCUCCUCUAUAACUGCAUCAUCGGCGUUGCUAGGGCCCACUGCAACAUCGUAUCGGGGAAGAUCACCGAGGUCAAUUGUAAUUGACUGAAUCGGUAUUUCGACUGAAGACACUCCUUCUAUUUGAAACGGUUCUUGUAUAACAUUUGUAUCUCGAAGUGUUUCCGCAUCAUUUUCCAUUGAAGAUUCUAAACGAUGGUCAGCCACAUUGUCGACGUCGUUGUCACUUGGGUCUAGUUCUGGUAUAUUAUACACGUUCCUAUGAUCCAUCUUCUGCACAACUUUCCACCCGUUCCCGGCUUUAGGGUCAUCUAGAUACACAAUUUGGGACGCCAUGUUUGCCAAAAUGUACGGGUCGUCAUCAUACCAAGUUCUGUUAAUAUUCACAGACAGUACUCCAUGGUCGAUUUUAACACUUCCCGCCCUAUUUGGGUUGGUAUCGAACCAUCGACACUUAAACAUGAUGACUUGGUAUCGAUCUUUGUAAAGCAAUUGCACGACAGUUGUCAGUUUGCCAUAGAAAUCAAUGUCUGUACUUUCGCCUCCACCUGGGACAUGAACACCGCUAUUUUGCGUACACAACUUGUCAUCUCGUGCGGCCCCUAAAAAUUUGACGCCGUUAACAUUACAACCCGAGAACAAUUCAGCGCGAAUUGGGCCGAACGCCAAGUUAUAUAACUCAUCACUGUAAGUGGGGGAAUUCGAUGAUUUCAAUUUAUUCACCUAAUAGUAUACAAAACCAUUUACAUGUUAGUCUGACAAAAUUAAAUACUAAAAUUUAUAUUUGUCAAUUACAAAACACUUAUAACUUACAGAAUCCAAAAACCAUUGUGGAAAUAAUUCACGGUGUUUCCGGGCAACCAAAUGUGAUGGAUGUUCUCGCUUCAUCAUCUGUUCAUGCUCAUCUAAGUAGGCCAUUAUCUCAUCACAAUUGUUCAGUACGAACCAAUGCGCUACCUCCAUGUCAUUUCUAGAAAACGACUCUCCUCGUCCAGGAUCUCCAAAUGGUCGUGCGCUUUGGGCAAAAACAGAAAGUUUUUCAUUUCUCAUACCUCCGUCAUUAUUGCGGUGAGGACGAUUGAAAACCGUCUCCACAUCUUUUAAAUACAUUCCACAGAAAGUAAGCGACUCAUAUUGAACCCAAGCCUCUAUAAUUGAUCCUUCGGGCUUUGCCCUGUUGCGUACACUUUUUUUCAGCUCUCCGAGAAGCCUGCCAAAAUAAAACGAUAUGAUACAAAUUAGCAAAGUGUCGAUAAUGAUGCAUACACAAAUGAUAAAGAUUAUAUACCUUUCUAUUGGAUACAUCCAGCGAUAGUUGACAGGACCAGCAAGCAAUGCCUCUUCUGGCAAGUGAACCAUCACGUGCAUCAUACUUAUAAAGAAAGCUGGAGGAAAUAUCAUCUCAAACUUGCAUAGGACUUGGACAAUGUCAUGGCGCAACUGAAACAUGUCUGUCCUUCGCAAUGUUUUUGCCGUCAGUUGGGAAAAAAAUCUGGAUAACAACAUGAUUGGCUUCACCACAUCUUCCGGCAGUAAGUGUCGAAUACCCACAGGAAGUAGGCGUUGCAUGAACACAUGGCAGUCAUGGCUCUUAAGUCCAGUAAAUUUACCCCCAUCGACAUUCACGCAACGUGCGAUAUUAGAAGCAUACCCAUCGGGAAAUUUGACAGACGAUACAAACUUUAGAAACUCCUUUUUGUCAUUCGGUUUCAUAGAAAAGAAUGCAAGAUCCCUUCUAGCUUUAUCACUGUCCCUAUUCAUCCAUAAACCCCUUCGUAUGCCCAUUCUUUCCAAAUCAAGACGAGCUUUGAUCGUGUCCUUCGUCUUCCCCUCGAUAUCUAGAAUCGUGCCCACCAAUGUGUCGAAAACAUUUUUCUCAACAUGCAUCACAUCUAGAUUGUGCCUCAAUUUCAGUUUCGACCAAUAUGGGCGCUCAAAAAACAUAGACUUGUGCGUCCAGUUCAAAUGUGUAGAAGGUCGGGUCCGACUAACUGUUUUCCCGAACGGAGCAAAAUCCAAACGGUUCAGCUGUUCCAAGAUCUCAUCACCGGACCAUUCUCUAGGUCUGAGGCGACGCUCUGUGUUCCCGUCGAACUCUUUAUCUUUUUCUCGCCACUCGUGGUCCCAUGGCAACCAUCUCCGAUGACCAAGGUAACAAACUUUUCCCGCGUGCCAACCAGAAGUUACAUCUUCCUUGCAUACAGGACAUGCCAUAUAACCCUUUGUGCUCCACCCAGAAACCAUUGCAUAUGCUGGAAAAUCAUUCACAGUCCACAUAACUGCUGCUCGCAAAGUGAACAUCCUCCCAGUUGAUUUAUCGUACGUGCGAACACCGUUUGUCCAUAAAUCCUUCAGCUCAUCAACCAGAGGCCUUAAGUACACAUCAAUUGACCUGCCAGGAUCCUCAGUUAUCAAAACAGUCAUCAUCAUGUAUUCUUUUUUCAUGCAUUUCCAAGGCGGCAAAUUAUAUGGGAAUGCGAAAAUCGGCCAAGUGCUGUGGUGUUGGUUUAGAACCCCAUACGGAUUGAAUCCGUCAGUGGCAAGUCCCAAUCUAACAUUUCGGGGAUCAGCAGCAAAUUCGGGGAACGUUCGAUCGAACUCUUUCCAUGCCUCCCCAUCUGCAGGAUGCCGCAUCACAUCAUCGUCUACCCGUUUUUCCUUAUGCCAUCUCAUGUCUGUGGCAGUAUGCGUUGACAUAUACAAUCGCUGCAACCUAGGUUUAAGGGGCAGAUAACGCAUGACUUUUUGUGGUAUCUUAGUCGUUCUAUUCUGGGAUGUCAGUUUGAACCUCGACUCAUUGCAUAUAGGGCAUGUAUCCAACGUUUCAUGCUCUUUGUAGAAUAACAUGCAAUUGUUUUUGCAAGCGUGGAUUUUUUCAUAACCCAAUCCAAGACCGUGCAACACCUUCUGUGCAUGUUUAUGGUCUUUCGGCAAACAAUUGUCCGUCGGAAGCAUUCUCUUGAAAACCCCCAAAAAGUAAUCAAAACACAAGUUCGACAUACGAUACUUUAUUUUUCCGUGCAUUAGCUCCACAAUGGCAGUGAGAACGGAAAACCUCUCGCACCCCGGGUAUAACUCUUGGUUGGCAUUUUUUAACAGUUUUUCAUACUGUUCAAACUCCGCACUGUCUAUUGGUGUAGGCACGUCAUCUUCCCCUUCCUGAUUGAUGUUGGUCGAUGCGAAUGGAAAAGCAUCCUGUAUAAUACCCAUGACUUGAUCAUUAGGAUCCACAAUAGGUUCAACAUUGUCCACUCUCGGGGCAUUUGAAGACGAAGCAUGGUCUACUUGUUCGCCGUGAAGGUUCCAAAUGCUAUAUGUUUCAAUCAUUCCAUUCCUUACUAAAUGAAAUCCAACAUUUUCAAUUGUCUCCCACAACGUGUUGUUACACCUCCUACAAGGACAACGGAUUCUAGUUGCACCCGGGUUGUGUCUACGUGCAAACUCAAUAAAAUCCUCGAUUCCAUCCAAGUAUUCGUCUGCGCAUCUAUUCGGGUUCUGUAUCCACCUUCUGCUCAUAAUUCCUGAAACCACAAUCACGACACAACAAUCACAACAACUUCAUACGAAGUUAUAAUGUCACCUUAUGCCUCCGGUAAGGGCCCUAUCCCAUUCGGGAAUGCAUAGUCCUGUCACGUAACCUACGGCUACAUGAGAUUAGAUUUCGACGUGGAUUAAUUUCAGCAGCAUCUCGACACAGUUCUUGAAGUGGGCAUAGGUAUAAAUACCUACGUACCACCCGAAGAACGUACCGAGAUGACACCGAAAUCUCCACAAUCGAAACCUAAUCCUGUAGCCGAAGAUUAUGUGACAACACUAUGCAUUACCAAACUGUCCAAAUAAUGGGACAAUUCAAGAAUUAAUUGGACCGCAGUCAUGCAUUACGCAUCCAUGCACGAAAUUCAACUAAUCUCGAACGGGAAACUACGUGUUACUAAACAUAAAAAUAAAAGUACGAAGUUAAUUUCAAUUAACUUCGUACAUCACAACACAUUGUGCUAUGUCACGCACAAUUUCACAACAUUAUACACAUAUAACUUCACAAAAAAAUUACAAACAUAACAAACAAACUUUUACAAUAACAUACCUUCUCAAUCGUUCUCCACCAAUCACAAAUAUCCCUAACGAUAACAAAAUUAAUAGCGUUACUACGAAUUUACAUUAAUACAUUUAAACUAACGACAAAAAAUACAUACCCAAUGAACGUACUGAAUUCACAGUAGAGCAACGGCAGAGAGAGUGAGAGAGAGGUAGAAUGCAGUGGGAGAGUGAGAGAGAGGCAGAAUGCAGAAACUGCAUUCUGCCUCUGCAAUGGAACUGGCUAAAAUGAAGAAGAAGGACUUUGCGCGACUAACAAUCCAAUCCGUCGCGCAAAAUGCCGUCGCGAAAACCCACUUUUCCGUCGCACAAAAAAACAUUUCCGUCGCGCAAUUACCUGCCGACAUCAGGUUUUUUGCGCGACGAAUACAAUUAUCCGUCGCACAAACAUCCGUCGCGCAAAUAACAUUAUUCGUCGCGCAAGGUUUAUAUUACGUCGCGCAAAUAACACUUAUUUCGUCGCGCAAGAAAUUACACUUUACGCGACGAAGGUAAUUCCGUCGCGCAAAAAAGUUUUUUCCACCCUGCAUUUUGCCGCCAAAAUUAAGUAACCCUCGUUUUCUUACGCGACGGUACAUAUUUCCGUCGCGCUAAGGCGUCUUUUGCGACGAAAAUGUUCGUCGCGCAAGAUUCUGGCGCCAAAAACAUAAACUGGGGAUUUUUCCCCGACCUUUGCUCGACGAAAUUAGUUUUGGUCGCGCAUAGAUUGUUUGCGCAACGAAGAUUGUUCGUCGCGCUAGUGUUCUGCUGUUUGCGCUACGGUAUUUUUUUUUCGUCGCAAUAGUGAUUUUUGCGCGACGAAAAUAUAUUCGUCGCGCAAACGUCCGUCGCGCAAAUAGUAAAUCGUAGUAGUGUGAUUUGGUUUAGACUUGGUUUAAUUAUCAUUGUUGUGGUUGGUUCACCAAAAAGAUUUGGCUUAGAAUUACCAGUUUUGUUGUUGGUUUAGUUAUGCUUGGCAUUUGAGGAUCCUAUGCUUACUUGUAUGGGUAAUACAUUUUAUUGAUCGUUUCAUAUACUAAUUAUGAACUUUUAGUUCCAUUGUGCAUUUAAGAGUACACAUAUUUCAUAUGUAAUUCGAAAGUUUGUCGCUGAAAUUUCUGAGAAUUUGAAACUAGAUAAGCACACCUUGCACAAAGUUCAUAUAUUUUCUUCCAGCAAGUCUGUCUAUUAACCCCCCUUAUCUGAAAUUAAUUGUUAAAAGUUCUGAUUCAUCUUUAAUCAUUGUCUUACCCUUGUUGAAUAACACUCCUCAUUCUAAUUUAUAUUCGAAGUUUGAGGUUUCAAUUUCAAUUGUGGGCUUUGAUUUUACAGAUUUUGUUUGUCAAUUUCAAUUUGGACAAAGCAUAUGCAAACAAAGUAAGGCAUUAUCUAUUAUUUGGAUCAUUUCCAUAUGUUUAUAUGUUUUUAAUAUCAUUUGCCUAUGUAGUUGACAUGUUAUAACAUUUUCGUAGUGUUGAAUAUAUAUAUAUAAUAAUUUUAUUUUAGUGGAUGUGAGAUCUCAGUUUGUUGCUUUAUAUAAUUAUUUCUUUGCAAUUUAAUUUUUUUUAUCAGUCAUACUAUUGUUGACGGCUAAAAACCAUCAAGAAACAACUCUUAAGUUUUUUAAAAAAUAAAUAAAUAAAUAAAGAUUUGUUGAUGCUUAAAAAGCAUCAAGAAAAGAUAGUUUCUUGACGGUUUUGUGACGUUUCAUAACCGUCAUGAAACAUUACAUUUUGACGAACGUCUUUCUGAUAGUGGCAUCCGUGACGCUUUCCGAGCCAUCAAUUAAGGGCUAUCGUGAUGCUUUUUAGUUGUCAGCAAAAGGUGUUUUUCUUGUACUGUAUUCACUCAAAAUCGUUUUUCAUUUAGGGUUGCUAGUGUGGUUGAAUGCCAUUUGUUUUGUUAAUGAAUAUUAUACAUUAUGGAUUUUUGUAGAAAUGUCGCUUGAAAUUAUACCUCAGUUUCAAUUUGUCACCUUAAAGAAAAAUUUAAGAGAAAUGUCACCUUAAUUUUUCAAAAUCCACGAUUUGUCAUCUCACUUUAACAUCAUCCAAUUUUCCAUCUAUUUUAAGGGUAUUUUAGUCUUUUCAUUUUCAAGGGAAAAAAAGAGAGGAAGAAAAAGACCUCUCUCUUACUUUCUCCCCCAACCCAACCCCACCCGCCCCCCAAAACACAUCGCAUAGGACCGCCUCCCCCUUCCCCACAUUUCUUUUUUCUUUUUGGCCUACUUUUCCACUAUGUUUAUGUUGAAGGAUCUAAAGUUUUCUUGGUCACCAUCUAUUACGUAGGCUACCGACUUGUUGGUUUGGGUGGGUUGAGGGAAUUUGUGUGUGGAGGGCAGGUGUUCAUGUUGUGUGCACCAAGACCUUAUCGUUGAUGAACUAUGUGACGGCACACACACAAACUCGUUGAGAAUAAAACAAACAUACCACCAAGAGAGUAAAACAAACACACAAGGACACAAAGAUUUAUAGAGGUUCGGCCUCCUGCCUACGUCUUUUUGGUGAUUCACUCGAGAAAUUCACUAGUAUGUAAAAAUAACUUUGGUUACAACUGAACCCCCUUAGCCCUCACAAGAACCUUAGAUCUCUUUUCUCUCACCCUUGCUCAAACCCUUUGAUGCCCUUGUAGACACUCAAGAAUUCACCCUUGAAUUCUAUCUUGUGUUACAUCUUCUCUUCUCCCUUUUGUUAACCUAACCCUAAAAGUCCUAUUUAUAAUGCAUAGGACUUAAGUUACAAGUUAACUUGGAAUAGGAAACAUAAAAUACCCCAAAAAUUGGAGAAAAUCUGUCCAAAUCUAGCCUGCAAAAUCAUCCUUCUGCCGCUCGAGCUGCCGGUGGCGCUCAUGGGAUGGGGGAAUUGGAGAUUUUCUUUUCAAUUUUAAUUGUUUAAAAGAUAUACAAUUUUUUAUUAUAAUAAUUUUUCCAUUUUUAAAAUACACUUGAAAAUAGAAAGCUUAAAAUGCCCUUAAAAAUAGAUGGAAAAUUGGAUGGUGUUAAAGUCAGAUGACAAAUCAUGGAUUUUGAAAAAUUAAGGUGACAUUUCUCUGAAAUUUUUCUUUUAAAAGUGACAAAUUGAAACUGAGGUAUAAGUUCAGGCGACAUUUCUACAAAAAUCCCUAUACAUUACAAUAUUAUAACAAUAAAAUUGGCUAAAAUUGAUAUGUUCCCUCUUUUCUUUUCUUUUUCUCUUUUCCUUUUCAUUUUAUGCUUUGUUGCUAUUGCUAUGUUUAUCCUACAAAUAUAGCAACUUCUCCACCAUUCAUUUGUUAGUGACUACGAUGCUUAGUAACUUCUUCAGCUCCCCUUAUUUCCAUGUACUAACCAGGGACACCAGGUCAGCAUCUUCGGUAAGAAUCCUAACUCAAUCAAACAAUGACAUCUGUAAAUAUUCAAAAUUGGAAUUUGCAUUGUGAUAGUUGAAAGCAUCCUUGUCCCAAAAAAAGCCAAAAAAUAAAAUAAAAUUGAGAGCAUUAAGUCCUUUUCAAAUUAUGCUAAUAUGCAAAAUUGGAAUUUUGAUGGAGUUGCUUCCUUGACUUUUCCACCUUUGUAUCCAGUCCACUUUGCACAAGGAGCCAAGUUUGAGAGAUAGUUUUCUGUAUUUACACCAUCCAGGAGAAAAUUAAAAAACUAUUUCAUGCCAAACUAACUACGGAUUCUUGCAAAGGACCCAUUAGUGUAGUGGUUUGGAGUAUUUACUCCCUCAGGCAAGGUCUUGGGUUCGAGUCCUAGCAUUCAUGUUGUGUGUGUGAGUUUAAUAUGCUAUCACCCCUUCCAAUAGGAAAGGACCUCAAAAAAAAAAAAAAAACUACAGAUUCUUUAAUUGAAAGAAACCCCAUAUUAAUCAUCCUUUGGCACAUAAAUGUUUGGUAAUUGGCAUUAAAGUAUCUAAAGGUUACGAAAUUAAAGAUUUUAAUGCAAACCUAAAAUUGGAAAAGAGGGCACCAAUUCAUGUAAAAUAUGGUGUACUUAGUAGAUCCAACAUAUUUUUUUAGCAACCAAGGACAAUCAUCAUUUUUUUUUUUAAGAACCAAGGAUAGCUUACAUUCUAGUUUGUCCAUCAUGUCAACACAUUUAUAAUUAAAACUUCUUUUUUGGUGAGGUUUCAAUUUUUGUCACUGUAACAAGACCACAAUUGCCAUUCAGUAUGCUAACAUUGUCACUAUGUUUGCCAAUUGCAUAUUAUCUAGAACAUAAAGGCUUUGGUGUUUUGUAUAUCCUCGGGGUGCCAAACCUGUCUUUAUAAAAAUGGUCCUUAUGAUACUACUUUAACAACAAAAAAAUAUAAUAAACUAGGCCUUUGUAGUCACUGAACGAAUGUUUUCUCAUAGAUAUGACUAUUUAAAUGUAAUUACGGGAUUAAAACAUUAUAAUAAAUUGGAGUGAACCAUAACAUUAUAUAUGAUCCAAUCCUUUUCAUAUAUUUUUGUUCAAGACUUUGUUUUAGAAUGCUCUUUUACUAAUUUGGUACAGGUCCCUAAAAUCUACGCCUUUAUGAGGCAACGUCUUUAUUUCUUUGGUUAUUCCAGUUUAGAAUAUAUUUGUACAAAUGAGAUGACUCCCAACAUAAAGUCACAUUCAACCAAAAAGCAUGAAGUCACACACAAAAAGAACACGGACAAUUGCUAAGUUUAUCUUGUAUCCUUAUUUUAUUGAUCCAACCCAAUUGAAAAAUAAAAAAGAUGAUAUAAUAUAUUGUUCACUGCUUACAUCCAUGAGUAAAGUCCUCCAUUUGAAAUUGCGUGAUUAUACAAAAUUGGAAUGAAAAAAGAAAAUCCUACAACUAAAUUUGAUAUAUUCCUUUUCAUUUUAUGUUGGAUGUUAAGUUUUCUUGUUUCUUGUUGAAAAGAAAAAUGAAAAGAAAUAAAUAAAUUACACAGCUAGCAACUUCUCCACCUUCCCUUCUUCCCAUGUACUGACAACAAGGGAGGCCUUCAAUCCAAAAUAAAGACAAGGGAUGCCAGGUCAGCAUCUCAGAUAAGUAUCCCAACCAAAACCAAUCAAAUAAUGACAUAUGUAUCUCUUUUUGUGUUUUGUUCUAUUUCUCUUUGAAUUAACUGCGAAGUUUCAUAAGCGUGUCCUCCUUUUGAAAUUGUGUAUUAUUCAAAAUUGGAAUUUGCUGGUCAUACUUGAUAUAAGCUAAAACAGUUUCCAACAUCUUGUACCAUUUUUUUCCAGUGUGGGUCAUAACUUGAAGAAGCCCACCGACAAUUUCUCAAAAGCUAUUACCAUCCAACUUUGAAAAAUAAAAGUUUCAAAAGUUACCCCAAACAACAGCCCUUGAAAGAGAGUUUUCCAAGGCUAAAGAUUACAAGGAUGUUAUUGGCACAUGCAUUAACGUGUGACAAGAAGUUAGUUAUAUUUAUAAAGUAAAAGAACGAAGUACAUAACAUGUAAGUUGAUGCCAAAUAUUUGAUCAACAGAGCUAAACAUAAAACCACGACAAUAUAACGUUGUUCACCAAAAAUUGUGUUUCGUUGAGGGUCAGUAGUGUAGGUUUCAAGAUACGAUUUAUUUUGUUAAAGAAUAUUCUGAUAUUCUAACAAUAAAAUUGGCUCAAUUUGAUAUGUUUCUUUUUUUUUUUGUUUUUGUUUUCCCUUUCAUUUUAUGCUUUGUUGUGCUAUUGCUAAGUUUAUCCUAGAGACCAGGGAUGCUUAGCAAGUUUCUUCACCUGCCCUUCUUCCCAUGUACUAACUAGGGAUACCAUGUCAGAAUCUUAGAUAAGAAUCCCAACCCAAUCAAACUAUGACAUCUGUAAGUAUUCAAAAUUGGAAUUUGCAUUGUGAUAGUUGAGUGGAAGAAUCGAUUAAGGCUUGAGUGGAAGACAAACUUCAGUGGAGGAAAGUAAUUAAUCUCACAAGACAUAGCCCAUCAGUUGGCUCAUUUUUCUUGAGUGUGUAGUCCUGGCCUUGAGGCGAGGCCACAUUGCUUUGGAGAUUUCUUUCUACUUGGUGAAAUUAUAAUUUAGAAGAAGCAAACUGCGUUUUGCAAUUUGUGCGAUUCAAGCAUAUCUGACACUAGUAAUUAGACCAUAAUCUUUGUCCGACCAGAAAAUAAGAAAAGUUGUCUUGUACCAUUUCUGCCAGUGUGGGUCCCACCCACCCCAUACGAGUAAUUUGAAGAAGUCCACCGACAAUUUCCCAAAAGCUUUGGCGUCCAACUUUGCCGACCCCAUCCCCAUGUGAGGCCAUAGAAAAGUUUUCAGCCACAAUCAAAGAAGGGAACAGUCCUUGAAAAGAGAGGGUUUUCCAAGGCCAAGAUUACAAGUUCAUGUUAUUUACAGUCUCAAAAAGCUUCCAUACUUGUUUACAAACCUGUAUUUUCAAGUUGUGCUAGCCUAGCUAUUUGCAAAUCUUGGAAUAUUUUACUUCAUCCAAAUCCCUUGCAGUCUGCAGAGAAGAUAAAAGACAUGGCUUUGAUUGGAGAGGCUCUUAUCUCUGCUUCCGUCCAGGUGUUGUGCGACAGAAUUACUUCACCCGAGUUCGUUGACUUAUUUUGGCACAAGAAACUCGAUGAGCCACUCCUCAGGAAGCUGAGGACGACACUGUUGGCCUUGAACUUGGUGCUCAAUGAUGCAGAGGGGAAGCAACUUGUGAACCGAGAUGUGAAAAAGUGGCUUGACGAGCUCAGACAUGCUGUCUUUGAUGCGGAGGACUUACUGGAUGAGAUUGACACUGAAGCUUUGCGAUGCAAGCUGGAAGAAGGUGAAGAUCAAACUCACAAAUUUACCAAUAAGGUGCGGAACUUGCUCUUUUCUCCUCGUAGUCAUUUUUAUCAGAGCAUGAAUGAUAAGAUAAAAGAGUUACUAGCAAGGUUAGAAAACUUUGUACAACUGAAAAGUGCUCUUGGUCUGGGAGAAGUUGCUGGGAGGAAGGUUUCGCAAAGAACUCAAACAACCUCCUUGGUUCUUGAACCUUAUGUAUAUGGUAGAGAUGAAGUCAAAGAAAAGUUAUCAAAAGUGUUGCUAUCUGAUGAAGCAGGCAAGGAUCCUGUGUCUUUCCUCACCAUUGUUGGAAUGGGUGGGGUUGGCAAGACAACCCUUGCUCGAAUGCUUUACAAUGACGAUAAGGUGAAAGGGCAUUUUAAACUUAAAGCUUGGGCUUGUGUUUCAGACUACGAUGAUUAUAUUAAAAUUACUAAAACUCUCCUUGAGGCAGUCACUUCAAAGCCUUGUAACACGGCAAAUCUGAAUUUGCUUCAAAAAGAUCUAAGAGAGCAAUUGAGGGGAAGGAAAUUUUUAUUUGUGUUGACCUAUGGAAUGAGAAUAAUGAGGAUUUGAACUACCUUAGAGCUCUUUUUAUUACUUUAGGAACAAUGGGAAGUAAAGUCAUUGUAACAACACGGAACAAAAAUGCAGCAUCUGUCAUGCAAAAUGUUCAUAUUCAAUACUUAGAACCAUUGUCGUAGGAGGACUGCUGGUUAUUACUUGCAAAACAUGCAUUUGGAAAUGAAAAGUGUAGUGCACAUUCAAACUUGGAAGACAUUGGAAAGCAAAUUGCACUCAAGUGCAAAGGGUUGCCUUUAGCUGCACAAACACUUGGGAGUUUGUUACGUUGCAAUAUGGAUUUCGAGUACUGGAAUAGAAUACUAAAUGAUAGUUUUUGGGACCAACCCUAUGAUAAAACUAACAUUCUUCCGGCUCUAGGGUUGAGUUACCAUUAUCUUCCUACUCAGUUGAAACGAUGCUUUGCUUAUUGUUCAAUUUUUCCAAAGGAUUAUGAGUUUGAAAAGGAAGAUAUAGUUCAAUUAUGGAUUGCAGAAGGUAUAAUUCCACAAGCUGAGAAUGGAAAAAGGAUGGAAGCAUUGGCUAGAAUAUACUUUGAUGAGCUGUUAUCACGAUCGUUGUUUCAAAAGUCAAGUAAAUUCAGCUUCAUUAUGCAUGAUCUCAUUAAUGACUUGGCUAUGUUCAUGUCUCAGGGGUUUUGCCUUAGGCUCGAAGAUGGGGUAUCCCGUGAAGUUAAAAGAGCUCGUCAUUUGUCAUAUGCUAGGGGAGAAUUUGAUGCUGCUCCAAGAUUUGAACCAUUAUAUGAGGCUAAAUGUUUGCGGACCUUCCUACCUACCAUUUGUUGUGGGCAAAUCUACUGGAUCAGGCAUAAGAGAACUGAGGCAGUUCCCGCAACUUCGAGGAAAACUAUCAAUUUUGAAGCUACAAAAUGUAGUUGAUGCGAGGGAUGCACUGCACGCCAAUAUGAAGCACAAGAAAGAUCUCAAGGAGUUAGAGCUUUCAUGGGGUGCGGAGGAUGCUGAUGAUUCCCAAAAGGAGAAAGAUGUACUCGACAAGCUCCAGCCUUGCGUGAAUUUGGAGAAAUUAACCAUCAAAUUCUAUGGUGGAACUAAUUUUCCGAAUUGGUUAGGAGACUCGUCUUUUUCUAACAUACAAGUCAUGCAUCUCAGUGACUGUAGUUAUUGUUGGUCGCUCCCACCAGUUGGACCGCUACCGGCACUCAAACAGCUCUGUAUAAGAAGAAUGAAGUUUGUGAAGACGAUUGGCGUUGAAUUCUAUGGCAGAAAUGGAGCUUAUCUGACUCAGCCAUUUCGAUCUCUGGAGAAGCUAGAGUUUAGGGAGAUGCCAGAGUGGGAGGAAUGGGUACCAAGUGGAAGUGCAAGUGGAGGUGAAUAUGGUCCAGACUUUCCUCGUCUCCAGGAGCUGAUUCUAUACGAGUGUCCGAAGCUAAGAGGAAGUUUGCCUUGUGAGUUGCCUUGCUUGAAGAAGCUUACGGUGUAUGGGUGUAAGGUUUUACAUGAUGGAAGGGCCAUUACCGCAACUACCAAUAGUCUUAACUAUAAAUCUCUGGAAGAAUUGAAUAUAAGUGGUGGAUGCCAAACUCUGUUAUCAUUAUUAGAGACAAAGCUCCUGUCCGGACUUGAGAUUCGAAAUGUUGUUGACAUACAGUGCUUGCCCAACUGCAGUCGUCUUCAACAUUUGACUCUUUCGAAUUGUCCAACGCUGUCAUCAUUUCCCAAAGAUGGCCUACCCACUACAUUGACAUCACUUUAUAUAAACAAUUGUAGGAAAUUAGAAUUCCUACCUCAUGAGAUGUUGGCCAAAUUAACAUCGCUUGACUAUUUGUGCAUACAAAAUAGCUGUGAUUCAAUGAGGUCCUUCCCGUUGGGCAUUUUUCCCAAAUUGACGAGGCUUGAAAUUCGUGGUUGUGAGAAUCUGGAAUCCCUUUCCUUGAUUGAAGAAGAAGGAGCUGUUGAGAAUCUCAGCCAUCUCAAUUACUUGCAAGUCUAUAACUGUCCAAAAAUGGUGUGUUUUCACGAGGGAGAAUUGCCCACUCCCAACCUGAGUCACUUUGUAGUCGGUGGUUGCGAGAAUUUGAAGUCAUUGCCCAAAAGCCUUCACACCCUCACUGCCCUUCGAUCUUUGUCGAUAUGUAAUCUUCCGAAUCUGGAGUCAUUUGCAGAAGAUGGGGGUUUGCCUCCCAACCUCCGACAAGUAAGUAUUAGGAAUUGUGAGAGACUGAGGGCUUCAUCAGUGGGUUUGCAAGCACUUGACUCCCUUGAGAUCAGUGGAAGUGACCAUGUAUUCUCUAUCACACUCUUCACAUCUAUUCUCUAUCAACUCUGAAAUCUUUGGACGGAAAGGGUCUUGGACACCUCACUUCUCUUCAAGAGCUAGAUAUUAACAGGUGUCCAAGUCUGGAAUUCCUGCCAGGAGAGGAACUUCAACACCUCACUUCUCUUCAAAAUCUAUACAUUUGGAACUGUCCCAGUCUUCAAUGCUUGCCAGAAGAGGGUUUUCCAUCAUCUCUUUCUCAUCUGAGUAUCCGCCGGUGUCCUACCCUGGAGGAAAGGUAUAAGAAUAAAACGGGACGAGAUUGGGCCAAGAUAUCUCACAUUCCUUGCAUCGAGAUAGGCAACGAAGUGAUCAUAUAAUAUGAGCUAUUCCAUAUUUCACGCUCAACCCUCAACUCUCAAAUCAAAGUCAGGUGAGGUAUGUGCCUUCUCUUACUUUAAAAAACUGCUGCUCAAUAACACUCUUCGCACUCUAUAUAUUAUGGCCUGUCAGUCUAAAAUUCCUGCCAGGAGAGGAACUUGAACGCCUCUCUUCACUGCAAAGGCUACAUAUUUGUGGGUGUGACAAUAUCCAAUUCCUGCCAGAAGAGCGUUUGCUGCAAUCUCUUUCUUAUCUGUGCAUCGACCAUUGUUUUGCCAUGUAGAAAAGGUAUCUCACAUUCCUUGCGUCAAGAUAGGUGAAGAAGUGAUCAUAAGAUAUGAGCUCUCUCUCCCUCUCGCUCACAUACAAAGUACUUAAAACACUCAAUCUGAUUUCUAUUAUUAUUUUGCUCAGUAAAUUUUGUUUAAAUUUGCUUUGUUUCUCAUUGCGCUUGUUCUGCUUAUCACAACUUAUAUCCUAUUUAAAUCUCAAAUGCUGAAUAGUUAGCAGUCUUUUCGCAGGACAGCAUAUCUUCUCUUGGAGAGCUAUUCAUUUGCAAGGUUUCUUUAUGUGUCAUUUCCAGAGGAGGGUUUACUAUUUAAUAGAAAGGUUCACCUGGAAUAUCUCAAAUGACACAUUCCCAAAUACAGGCAUUGAAUGCACAACAUUUUGAGGUACUAUUUUUGUAAUAAAAAUGUACUUGAGUCUCAUUUGAGCUAGUUUAAAUUGUAUUCAAUGUCUAUGGAUAACCUGUGAGCUUAAGUUGUAAGAUAAAACUCACAGUAUAUUAUUAGGGUUUAGGGUUCAACAGGUGAGCUUAAGUUGUACUUUCCUAGGUACUGCAUGUAUAUUAUCUUAGUAUCAACACUUGGUCUUAUGUGGACGAGAGAGAACAUUUGAGGAAUUACAAAAUCUUCUUAGUGAAUUAAGCUUGUUUCAGCUCUGUUUGUCAUCCCUCACAUUUUCUUUGUUAAGCCUUGAUUUUUUAUUAGACAUACGAAAAAAUGCUUUUAUAAGACAGGAGAUGAAUGCUUUUAUAUGUUGAUGUCGUAGUCAGUCUUCAACCACACUCUGUUUUUAGAAUUCAUUUAUGUUACUAGUUGAGAGCUGCUGUAUUUUAUAUUUCGUUCCUGUAAUGUUUGGAUGUUUAGCUUGAGCAGUCUAGCUUAUCCAGUAGAUAACUUGUCCCCUGUUUUGUAAUGUUUUUGUUUCCUCUAAUGAAAGCAGGUUUUACUUAUCUUGAACUGCAGAAGCCUACUUUUUGACAUAGGUGGCAUGGCACAAACUCGCAUCCGCAUUUCCAUCCCCAUUGGCAUGCUGUCUCAUCUUUUCUAUUCUGUUACCAGCUUGAAGCUUGUGUGGACAUGUUAUGCUCUUGUAAUUCUGAUCACAAACAUCACUUGACAAAUGGAAAGUCACAAUCAGAUCUUUCAGGUGAUCUGGAGGUUUACUUUCUAACAUUUGUUUUCGUGGGGGGGAGACAACAAUACAGAAUUUAAAAUUUCUGAUAAUCAAUAGUAGUUUGCAUAUAUCAGCUGGGACCUGUAUGACUGUAUUAUGUAAUUAAUUAUUUCUCUUAUUGUUUGGGUACUGUUAAAAGGAGUUAGCCACACAACAUAAAAAAGGAGGUCUCUUAUUUCAUACAAUUUUUCAAAUGUGAUCAUUAAUCCGUUUCUUUUUCAACAAUAGAGGAAUGUAUACUAAUCGUCUGGUCCAUCUGCUGCUUCACUCCCUAGUAGCUUCAUCUCCUGUCCUUUGCUUUAUUUCUGUUGAUGAAUGUUUUGUCUGGGUUAUUUAUUUUCAUUUCAUGUCCAUUGCUUUAUUUCUGUUUGGAUUCUUAAUUAAAUCUGUCCUGGACUUGAACAAGGGUUAGGUUAGCUGUAUAAUUUGCGGUUUUAUAUACACAACUGUCUACAUUGAUUAAAACCAGCAUUAUUCUAAGGUUCAUUUAGAAUGUAUUAUCACCAAAAUUAUAAAGAAUACUUCUAUUACAAUUAAUUUGUUGAUUCUAAUUUGGACUUGUAGGAACAGACCAAACAUGUUCAUGCGUGGCAUUGCUCAAGUCAUCAUCAUUCGAGACAGAGAAUAAGCCUUCAAGUGUCUGCUGAGUCAAUGAACCUUUCUAGAUAUCUCAAGUGUAAUGGAAAUUGAUGAGUUACAAAGGAUUUGUAAACAUUUUCUACUGGAGGCUAGAAAUGCUUCAAAUAAAUGACCGUGUUGCAAUUAUUUUGUAGGAUCAAAGACUCUGCAAAGAGGUAAGAAAGUCAUCAUCAAGUAACUUUGCUCUUCAAACUUUUUAUUUUUAUUUUUAAAUAUCAGUAAUAACUGGGAAAGCUUGCAUCUCCUUAAAUUGCUCAUUCUUACAUCUUUUAUAGUUUGUUGAUCUUGGGCAAGUGGAGAGAGAGGCGUCAAGUGAUACGCAACAACCAUUUUCUGUGAGCUGAUUUGAUAAAGAGAAAUGGUAUGCUUUCUUGUCUUAAGCGGUGUGUUCUGCAAUUAUUUGAAACAAAGGAUGCCGCACUUCAAGUUCGAGAAAAUCAGGUAUUUUAGUAUUUUAUUCUUGAGAAAUUUGAUUUAUGUAGAAACUUGAACAUGUAAAUAAAAUAAAUAAAAUAUAUUAUAUGCUGUUAAUGAGUUAAUAUGGUGCUUGCUUCUAGUUGGAAAUUUAUGUAGUCAUCUACCUAUGAUCAAAUAAAGAUGAAGAAUAAAAUAUAAUUGAGAGCAUCUUCCUCUCCCCUGCUUUGCUCAUCCCUUGUUCUUCCACUUCAGCCCCACUAUUACACCAUUUUUUCAGCCACAAUUAUAAUAGCUCCAUGAGCAUUAAGUCCUUUUCAAAUUCUGCUGACAUUCAAAAUUGGAAUUUGCUGGUGAUAUAUGAUAGCAUCUUUGUCCGACCAAAAAGAGAAAAAAAAAAAGUUGAUAGCAUAUUGUACCAUUUUGGCCAGUGUACGCAAUAUUAUUGCAUCCAACUUUGCAUAUUAACAUCAGUGGCCACAGUUCCAUGAUUUGAGUGCACAGAAAAGUUUCAAAAGUUGUCCCACAAAGAACAGUCGUUCAAAGUGAAAGAGAGAUUUCAAAGCUUAAUUACAAGUUCAUGUUAUUUACAAUAUCAAAAAGCUUUCAUACUUGCUUACAAACCUGUAUUUCCAAGUUCUGCAAACCUUGGAAUAUCACUUCAUCCAAAUCCCCUUCCAAAGCAGGAAAAAAUGGCAGCAGCUUUGAUUGGAGAGGCUCUCAUCUCUGCUUCUAUCGUGGUGUUGUGUGACAGAGUUACUUCAGCCGAGUUCAUAGACUUAUUUCAGCAGAAGAAACUUGAUGAAACACUCCUCAUGAACCUGAAGACGACACUGUUGAUUUUGUUUGCGGUGCUCAAUGAUUCAGAGGAGAAGCAAAUUGUGAACCCUGAAGCUUUGCGAUGCAAGCUGGAAGGUGAGGAUCAAACCCACAAUAAUUAACCAAAAAGGAUCUUUUUGAUUGUUUGAAAGGAGGGUCUUGAUGAUUUGAAAGGAGAGGGUUGCUUUAUUUCUGUUGGAUGCUUAAUUAAAUCUUAUUUGGAGUUGAACAAGGAUUAGGUUAGCUGUAUAAUUAGUGGUAAACGCCUUUUUCUAAGGGUCAUUUAGACUCCUAUUACGAUUAAUUUGUUGUUUCUAAUUUGGACUUGUAGGAACAGACCAAAUAUGUUCACACGUGGCAUCGCUCAAGUCAUCAUCAUUUCAGACUGAAAAUCAGCCUUCGAGUGUCUGUUGAGUCAAUAAACCUUUCUAGAUAUAUCAAGUGCAAUGGAAAUUCAUGAGUUACAUAGAGAUUUUUAAACAUUUUGAAGAUUGCAACACCUGCAAGUGAGAUAGGCGGUGACGAAAUCAGAGCUGAUUUUGAAGCCUCUGAUGCCCCUGUUGUUGCAAGUUGCACCUGAGAACAAGUUUUUUUUUUCUUUGGGGUAAAAAACUGGCAACAUGUUCGGAGCUGACAAUUCAAUCCCUGAUGAACUAGAGAAGCAAAGCUCCGGUAAGGAAAUUGGUCAAGGUUGUGACAGGGAUGAUUGAUGGUGAAAUGGAUGCUAUUUCUUAUUGCAGCCUGUUCUCAAAGUUCUUGUUGGCAAAUGCAAUUGAUGGAGUAUUUUGAUUGGGAGGAGAGAUAAUGACAUGGCUUGACAAUUCUAGAACAGCCCAUCAUUAAUCCCAGAAAAAAUCCCGUUUCUGCUAAACAAUCACUUAUGGCAAGGCCAACUCUGUAAAUGGAAUUUGUGAUCCCUUCAAAUUGUACACAUUUUUUCUUUUUGAGGAAUUUAAUCAAACAGUAUUCUAAUGCAUUAUGAUAGCACUACACGCUUUUGUUGUAACAAAUUACAAGGAGGAAUUUGGAUUGAGUUUCUUGUAUAAGCACACCUUACACAAAUUUCGUAUAUUUUCUUCCAGCAAGUCUGUUUAUUAACCCCCUUAUCUGAAAUUAAUUGUUAAAAGUUUUGAUUCAUCUUUAAUCAGUGUCUUACCCUUGUUGAAUAACACUCCUCUUUCUAAUUUAUAUUUGAAGUUUGAGCUUUCAAUUUCAAUUGUGGGCUUUGAUUUUUCAGAUUUUGUUUGUCAAUUUCAGUUUGGACAAAGCAUAUAUGCAAACAAAGUAAGCAUUUUAUGUUAUACUUUUGAACUAGGUGUUGAUUUGAUUUAAUCAUAAGUUUUGCUGGUGCAUUUACUAGGCUAAUCAUUCAAUACUUUUGAUCAUAGAACUUCUUUGGUUGAUAUUAUCUUUGUUAAGUUUAACCAUAACUUUAGAGAGGGGACUUCAACAGAUUUAUAAUCUCAUCAUUAUAGUAUUAAAAAUUAGAGAUUAUUUAAGGCAUUGUCUAUUAUCUGAAUUCUGCUUACUUUUAGUUCAUAUGUUUACAUCUUAGCAUAUUCAUGUGAUUAGUGCGGCUCAUACCACAAAGGCAAUUUUAGGCUCAUCAAGUGCUAAGCAAUGUCAAGCUUCCAAAUGACAAGUUCUCUACAUAGUUUGAGACCUACACUUACUAGAUAUUAGAUCAUUUCGAUCAUUUCCAUAUGUUUAUAUGUAAUUGACAUGUUAUAACAUUUUUGUAGCGUUAUAUAAUUAUUUAGCAAUUUAAUUAUUUCUUUGCAACUUAAUUUUUUUUGUCAAUCAUACUAUUGUUGACUGCUAAAAACCAUCAAGAAAUAGUUCUCAAGUUAUAAAAAAAAAAAAAUUUUAAAAAAGAUUUGUUGAUGCUUAAAAAGCAUCAAGAACAGAUAGUUUCUUGACGGUUUUGUGACAUUUCAUAACUGUAGGGGGCUUUUUCUUCCGACAGCUGUAAAUGGGCUGGGCUGCCGUAAAGGGCAGACUGAUGAAAUUGUCCCCUUUUGUAUGAGCUCAAAAAUUAAGCCCCAAAAUACUUUGAAAGGGCAGCAGAGCCUUAGGAAGUAUUUUGGUUACCCUCACCAACUAAAACAACAACAACUUACAGGUAAUUACUUAAUGCUUAUGGAUGAACUCUUGAGCUUGGCAUGAGAGACAUAUGGCAUGGAAGCAAAAUCAACAUGAGUUUAGCACUGAGGGGAAAUUUAGGCUCUCUUGGGGGAAAAAGGGAAGUGUUAAGGUGAGAGAGGAGAAGUUUGUAGGAGAUUUAGCUAAGAAAGGAGAAAUAUAGAACAAUGCUCUUUUGGCAGCUUGACAGAUGCUCUGUUUGCCAGAAAAGGAAGAUGGAGAAGAAAUGUGAAUAGUGCAAGAGUUUGCUAGAUUUUUGCAGGUAAGAGAGGAAGCUUGCUCUCUGGGUCUGAGUUGAGUUUUUUUGUGUGGAAGAGACCUCAUUUUAUAGCCCUUGGAAACCAUCACUUCCCAAGAAACCCUAAUGGCUUCUACCCAUUUUGGCCAAGCUUUUCCCUUCCUUUCUCAUUUCCUUCCUUGACUUUACCCCUCUUGAUGAAAUCCCCUCUGCCUAUUUGCACCAUAUCAGAGUUUUUUGAAGCUCAAGGCCCCUUUUUCCCGCAGUUGUCUCAAUGGGAGACUUCCAUUCCCAGUCAUCUCCUUUAUUGCUUUCCUUUCUUUUUUUCAUGGCCAAGUUUGGUGGGGAAAGGAGUUGGGAUAUAUAUGCUGGUUUGAAGGGUGCUUCUCUUCCUGGCAUCUUACACACUAAUACCCCUUGGUUCCUUGAAUGUUUUGGCUUUGAAACUUGCUCUCCCCCCCCCCCCCCCCCCCCCCAUGUACUGGAACCUACCAGCAGCUCUAUUCAAUGAAUCUUCAGACCUUCUCUUCGUGGCUUUUAUUUUUUAUCAACGGGCUGGGGCUUUUGUGGCUCAUUGUGGCAAUUGUAUGGGCUAAGGUGGUUCAUUAAGUAAGUGGGCUAUUUUUAUUAAACAUUAGGCUUUUUGGUUGAGUCACUAGGCUAUUUUGAUUGGGCUAUUGGGCUAUUUUUUUCCUCUCUUGUGCUCACCCACAUGUUUGGACCAAAGAAAUGAGCUUGAGUCCUGAGGCUCCCAAGCGACCCGAGACUUUCCAUUUCUGGCCCAUCAAUGGGCCUCAUGUUGAUUUAUUACCAUCCAUACCACAACCCACUCAAGCAGGCUCCGGGCAUUUGAAUGACUUGGGCGCACUUAGGCUUGUAGUGUGGUUGGGUGCGAAAUAACGAUUUCGUGCUUGGCAUGUUUUAAUUUUAUCAUCCUUGGGAAAGGCUGCGAUGUUUGAUUUCGGCAUGGGCUUGUAGAGCUGGUAUGCUUUAUUUCAACUCCUAGCAUGACGAAUUAUUUAUUUAGCAUGGCACGUGAAUUACAACUCGCAUGUGGUGGGUUUUUGUGUACUACACCUUACGCCUCUUCUUAAUAGAACAUCGUUUUGGGCUGAUAAUUUAUUCGGGCCAAACCGUGAAUUUUUUGGGUCUCAAUAAUAACCAUCAUGAAACAUUACAUUUUGACUGACGUCAAGAAAUGGGGUAUCCCUUUCCUGAUAGUGGCAUCCAUGAUGCCUUCCAAGCAGUCAAUUAAGGGCUAUCGUGAUGCAUUUUAGUUGUCAGCAAAAGGUGUUUUUCUUGUACUGUAUUCACUCAAAGUCGUGUUUCAUUUAAGAUUAGUAGUAUGGUUGAAUACCAUUUGUUUUGUUAAAGAAUAUUAUACAUUAGGGAUUUUUGUAGAAAUGUCAUUUGAACUUAUACCUUAGUUUCAAUUUGUCACCUUGAAGAAAAAUUUAAGAGAAAUGUCACCUUAAUUUUUAAAAAUCCAUGAUUUGUCAUAUGACUUUAAAAUCAUCCAAUUUUCCAUCCAUUUUAAGGGUAUUUUAGUCUUUUCAUUUUGAAGGAAAAAAAAGAGAUGAAAAAAGAGACCUCUCUCUUACUUUGUCCCUCAACCCAACCCCACCCGCCCCCCAAAACACAUCACAUAGGAUUGCCUCCCCCUUCCCCACUUUUCUUUUUUCUUUUUGUCCUACUUUUCCACUAUGUUUAUGUUGAAGGAUCUAAAGUUUGCUUGGUCACCAUCUGUUACGUAGGCUUCCCAAUUGUUAGUUUGGGUGGGUUGUGGGAAUUUGUGUGCUCGAAACCCGAGACGAAUCUUGUGGAAUUCCCGACAUCACACCGAUGCCGGGCCCACUUCUGAACUAAAUUCUCUUUUCCAAAAUUAAGGAAAAAGAGUACGAGGCUUUCUGCCGAAAUUUCGACAGAGUAUUCCCUAUAAAUUUAACAUUUCAGCUUUGGUGGCCGUUCUCUCAUUUCAGCUUUGGUGGCCGGAUGAGAGAACGGUCGGCUAAAACGUGGCCAGCUGGCACUGCCGUCGCGAGAGAGAGAGAGAGAGAGAGAGAGAGAGAUUUUUAUCAAAUCAUUUUUGCCAAAAUUACGAUUAUGCAACUGAGGGUAUUUUGAUCGUAUCUUUUUCAUUAUAACUCUGAUUCAAGCCCACUACGUGUUUACGGACUCAUCUCGCCGUGCUCUAUGCAAUUGUAUAGUUGAAAUUCCCAAAUUCCACCCCAGUCAAAAAUUCAACUUUAAACCCUACAAAAUAUUAUAGGGGCAAAAUGGUCUUUUAUCUAAUUAAAUUAAUAAUUGAAAAUUUAUUUAGGACCGGGUUGUUACACUGUCGUUGAUGGACUGUGCGAUGACACUCACACAAAGUCCUUGAGAAUAAAACACACACACACCAUGAAGAGAGUAAAACAAAUACACAAGUACACAAAGAUUUAUAAAGGUUUGGCCUUCUGCCUACGUCCUCUUGGUGAUCCACCCGAGAAAUUCACUAGUACGUAAGAACAACUUUGGUUACAACUAAACCCCCUUAGCUUUCAUAAGAACCCUAGAUCUCUUUUCUCCCACCCUUGCUCCAACCCUUUGAUGCCCUUGUAAACACUCAAGAAUUCACCCUUGAAUUCUGUCAUGUGUUACAUCUUCUCUUCUCCCCUUUGUUAACCUAACCCUAAAAGUUAUAUUUAUAAUUCAUAGGACUUUAAGUACAAGUUAACUAGGAAUAGGAAACAUAAUAGACCUCAAAAAUUGGAGAAAAUAUGUUUAGAUCUCGUUAGGAAAUUGCACAACACGUGCGAUCCGCUCGAGCGCCUGCAAAAUGAUCCCUUUGUCGCUCAAGCUGCCGAUAGCUCAUGGGAUGGGGGAAUUAGAGAUUUUUUUUUUUUUCAAUUUUAAUUGUUUAAAAGAUAUACAAUUUUUUAAUAAUAAUUUUUCCAUUUUUAAAAUACCCUUGAAAAUAGAAAGAUUAAAAUGCCCUUAAAAAUGGAUGGAAAAUUGGAUUGCGUUAAGGUCAGUUGACAAAUCAUGGAUUUUGAAAAAUUAAGGUAACAUUUCUCUUAAAUUUUUCUUUAAAGUGACAAAUUAAAAUUGAGGUAUAAGUUCAAGUUACAUUUAUGCAAAAAUCCUUAUACAUUAUGAUAUUCUAACAAUAAAAUUGGCUAAAAUUGAUAUGUUCCCUCUUUAUUUUCUUUUUCUCUUUUCCUUUUCAUUUUAUGAUCCAAUCCUUUUCAUAUAUUUUUGUUCAAGACUUUGUUUUAGAAUGCUCUAUUACUAAUUUGGUACAGGUCCCUAAAAUCUCGGAGCCGCCUUAGUACAUUCAUAAUGUACAUGUUCAGAGUUCAAGAAUAAUGUAUAGAAUGUGAAAUUGACGAUGCCGGCCUUUAUGAGGCAACGUCUUUAUUUCUUUGGUUAUUACAGUUUAGAAUAUUUGCACAAAUGAGAUGAUUCCAAGCAUAAAGUCACAUUCGACCAAAAAGCAUGAAGUCACACACAAAAAGAACACGGACAAUUGCUAAGUUUAUCCUUGUACCCUUAUUUUAUUGAUCCGACCCAAUUGAAAAUUAAAAAAAGAUGAUAAAAAAUAUUGUUCACUACUUUAAAAUCUAUGAGUAGAGUCCUCCAUUUGAAAUUUCGUCAUUAUACAAAAUUGGAAUGAAAAAAGAAAAUCCUACAGCUAAAUUUGAUAUAUUUCCUUUUCAUUUUAUGCUGGGUGUUAGGGCUUGUCAAUGGGCCGGGCUAGGCUAGCCCGGCUCAAAUUUAAUGGGCUUGGGCUAGGCCGGGCCAAGCUUUAAAGAGGAGAGAGAAAAUAUCCGGCCGAGUUUUUUAAGAAAAUUCAAAGCCCAAGCCCGAAUCACUGCUGUCUAGCCCGGCCCAAAUUUAAUGAGCUUGGGCCAGGCCGAGCCAAGCUUUAAAGAGGAGAGAGAAAAUAUCCGGCCGAGUUUUUUAAGAAAAUUCAAAGCCCAAGCCCGAAUCACUGCUGUCAUUUCAUUGAUUUGUGACGAGCACAACCACCAAAUCAGAAUUUACUCACGAAAAUAUCAAGUAUGUCUAGCAAAUUUCAAUUUUGAAUAAUACACAAUUUCAAAAGGAGGACAUGUUGCAAGACAGCAUACCUUCUCUUGGGGUGCUUUUCAUUUUGCAACAUUUCUUUACGUGUAAUUUCCAGAGGAGGGUUUAUCAUUGUAUAUAGCUUUUCGGGUGGUUUGUCUACAAAACAAAUGUCACAAAGAAGGAGGAGAAACGGAAAAGAUUUACUUGGAAUGUCUCAAGUCUCCUUUGAGAUAAAGGCAUCGAAUGCACAACAUUGCUUUUGUGCUAUUUCAUAAUUAAAGUGUGCUUCCCAAGUCUCCUUUGUGUUUUGUAACUUGUAAUGUUUGUUUUUUUGUUUCCCCUGUUUUCCCUCUUAUAAAAGAAAUACAGGUCCAAACCACACGGAUCUACUUGCAUAAUAAUGGACCAAAUUUAUGAUUUUUAGAAAGAACCUUCUGCCGGUGGAAUCUUGGGCUACUGUUGUGGCUCUCCUCUGUGUGCCUCCUUUUUAGAACGGUAAAAUAUUCAAAAUACUAGAAAAUGUUCGUGAUUAAUAUAAAUAUUAAGAAUUGAAAUUAUUAAUUAAAUGAGGAUAAUAUGGUAAAUUCACACUUUUUUAUAUUAAAAAAAUUAAAAUUAAAAGAAAAAUCAGAUAAUUGAUAUUAUUUUUAUGGAACACAGCUACUCAUUAUCUUUUUUAAUUCUAAAAUAAAUUUAAAUUAAAGAAAAAAACCCCUCUCACAGGCACGGAAGCGCGUGCUCAGAGGCUAGUUAAAAAUAAUGAACUUUGCUUCUGAAGACGUCUAUACCAGACCCACUCAACCUGCUUUAUGAUUAUACAAAGAACAAACUCGUCCUUAGACUCAUUUGGUUAAACUUAGAAAAUAAUGAAACAAAAAUAUGCACUCCCACAAGUAACACAGCCAGGAUUGAAAACAACUGGACAAAGAAAGGCAUGUUAAAACAGAAUUUUCAACAACUCAUCACCAUUAGACAAGAAAAAGAAAAAUCAAUACAAAAACAGAAAGAACAGAGAAUAAAUGUGGUGGAAGAAAAACGUUGAAGCCAUUUGUGAAUCCAACAACACUACCACUCUGUUUCUCUCCUUUUGUUCAGGCGGAUCUGCAUAUAUCCUAAGGCGUAUUACGGAAACAACUUCUUGCCGUUAUACUUGAAUGUUGUGGAUGCUUCAACGUUGCCAUCUGGGUGGAGUGGAUUUGUCCAAUUCACCUUCACUAUGGUAUAUACGUCCAAAUUGUUGUUAUUUGAAAGGCUUCUAAAUUUUAACAUUUUGAUUUUUAAAUUUUGUUUAAAUAUUUCGGCCCACUUAGUUCUUCUCAAAAUAUGUCAUCAAUAUCGUUGAAAGGUUGAACUUAGUGAAUUAUUAUAGUGCAGUACUGUAGAAUAGACACAUGAUAUAAUUUGUCCACAUGUUAUAAUAUAAGUAAAUAUUUAUUGAUAUUAUUUCUAAAAAUAAGAAAUAUCAACCAUUAUAUCCUCCCAUAUUAUAAUACAUAUACAAAUUAUACCACAUUAUCAUACUCUAAUACCAUUUUAUAAUUUCUCGUACUUAGAGCGAGUCAAUGACAUUACAUAAUAUAUAAUUGUUCAUAUAAUGGGGCAACUAACGUGAUCAACAAGUUGUGGUGAUUAAUUUAACAUAAUAAAAAAUAUACCAUUUACUUGAGUGAUGUAACAAUUUGUUCUUUUAAAUUGGAUUGCCAUCACUUUAAUAUGAUAUGUUUCUUAUUAUAGUGUCCCAUGUUAAGUGCUUCAGCAUUGUUUGUGGUGUGUACACAAAUUUUCUUAUAAAAUGUUUUAAUGCUUCUCACAUGUAUAUCAGAUAUAGACAGUUGAUGUGACUUAGAAAUCAAAUUGUCAAUAAAGCAAAAAAAUAUAAUUGGUGAUUGAGGUCCAAUUUAAUAGAAAAUAGUCUUAACUUGUAUAUUAGAGGUUUCAGAUUCGAAUCCUCACUGCAUUAUUGUUGUAUACGUACACGAGAAAUCCUCUUCUCCAAUAAUUUAGACUAUCACUUAUACUAAAAAAAUAUAUAUAUAUAAUGACUUUUACGGAUGCAAACAUAAAAUUACACCAAACAAUAAUGGAAUAGAAAGAUGCAAGUUAUUUUUUUUUUUUUUACAUCUAAAGUAUACUUUAUAUAUAUAUUUAUUAUGGGUGUUAUAACCGUUUAAUUUUCAGUUUUUAUUUUCUAUUUAUUGUUUUAAUUUUUAUGGUUUAAUGUGUAUGAAGAUUACAAGUAUUGGAUGUCUACCACUCCUCCUUCACAUCUGAAACAAACCACCAUCUCAUUUCUGUAUUUUCAUACUUUCAUAUAUUUUCUACUUUCCAGAUUAUUAUUUUUGGGCAACGGUUCUGUGACUUGCAGAUUUCUAUCCGAUUGUUAACAUGCUCAUAGCGGACCUUGAGCUUGCGUAUUGGGGAUCGUAUCUUGGAGCCUUAUAGACCUUUAUUACCUGCAUGUAGGGAGGUUAUAAAUGCUUUAGGUCAGCAUCUUUGACGUGCUUUUGCUUUCUUUUUUUUUUUACUUAUUUCUUCGUUUCUUUAUUUUUACUUUACUUUUAAAUUUUUAUUUUAUGUAUUAUUUAUAUUUAAAAGUUUUGAAUAAGAGUUUUACAGAAAAGGAAAAACACAAUUUCAAAUAACACAAAUUUCUCGUUUUUGGUUCUUAAAAUAAAUGAAUUUUUUACUUAUUUGUGAACUGAAAUGCCUCUAAAAAAAUAAUGAUAGUUUGAAGAAUUUGAUAGAAAUUAAAAAAUAUCCUCAAAUUACUUGGAAUUGAAGACCACAUAGGCAAAAACACCAUUUUGGACAAAGGCUGGUGAUAAUAGUCGAUAUCAUCUUUAAGUACUUUAAUAUGAUAUGUUUCUUAUUAUAGUGUCCCAUGUUAAGUGUUUCAGCAUUGUUUGUGGUGUGUACACAAAUUUUCUUAUAAAAUGUUUUAAUGCUUCUCACAUGUAUAUCAGAUAUAGACAGUUGAUGUGACUUAGAAAUCAAAUUGUCAAUAAAGCAAAAAAAUAUAAUUGGUGAUCGAGGUCCAAUUUAAUAGAAAAUAGUCUUAACUUGUAUAUUAGAGGUCUCAUAUUCGAAUCCUCACUGCAUUAUUAUUGUAUGCGUACAUGAGAAAUCCUCUUUCCUAAUAAUUUAGACUAUCACUUAUACUAAAAUAUAUAUAUAAUGACUUUUACGAAUGCAAACAUAAAAUUACACCAAACAAUAAUGGAAUAGAAAGAUGGAAGUUUUUUUUUUUUUUCCUACGUCUAAAGUAUACUUUAUACAGUCCCGAUCUCUUGGACCACAGGAGUCCAAGAGAUUGUGGUCACCCACCGUUGGAUAUUAAUCCAAUGGUUCAAAAUGAUAUAUAUAAAUGCAAUAUGACAUAAAUGAUUAUUACCCGAUCCAAGUCAACCGUUGAAUUUACAUUCAACGGUGGGUGACCAUAAAUCUCUUGGACUACAGGGGUCCAAGAGAUCAGGACUGAUACUUUAUAUAUAUAUAUAUAUAUAUUUAUUUAUUAUGGGAGUUAUAACUGUUUAGUUUUCAGUUUUUAUUUUCUAUUUAUUGUUUUAAUUUUUAUGGUUUAAUGUGUAUGGAGAUUACAAAUAUUGGAUGUCUAUAAAGGGCCACUCCUCCUUCACAUCUGAAACAAACUACCAUCUCAUUUCUGUAUUUUCAUACUUUCAUAUAUUUUCUACUGUCCAGAUUAUUAUUUUUGGGCAACGGUUCUGUGACUUGGAGAUUUCUAUCCGAUUGUUAACAUGCUCAUAGCGGACCUUGAGCUUGCGUAUUAGGGAUCGUAUCUUGGAGCCUUGUAGACCUUUAUUACCUGCAUGUAGGGAGGGUACAAAUGCUUUAGGUCAGCGUCUUCGACGUACUUUUGCUUUCUUAUUUCUUCGUUUCUUUAUUUUUGCUUUACUUUUAAAUCUUUAUUUUAUGUAUUAUUUAUAUUUAAAAGUUUGAAUAAGAGUUUUACAGAAAAGGAAAAAUACAAUUUCAAAUAACACAAAUUUCUCGUUUUUUGUUCUUAAAAAAGAAGAAGCAUUGAUUGGGGAGUUAUGGUAAACUCAAUUUCAAUGGUUGCGAUGAGAGGCGGUGGCGGCGAGGAGAGGACGAAGGCUUUGCUGCCGACGGGGUGGUGUGGGUGGGUGGAGACCUCGGCUGGCUGCUUGGUCCUGGGUUCUCCUUUAAUUCUCUGUUUUCUUUUUUCUUUUUCUUUUUCUCUUAGAGUUAUUGAUGUUAAGUGAAUGGACAGAUGCCAAAAUAGGGACAGAAGUAGGGGUGGGCAUCAAUCCGGCCGAUCCGGUCAAUCCGGCCGAACCGAUUAUAUUGGAUUGGUUUGGUUUGGUUUUGACCAAAGAAAAAGUCAACAUUUUGAAAAACCGAACCGAACCGGUUUGGUUUGGUUCAGCUGUGGUUUGAGAGUUUUAAAAACUGUCCUAAACCGAACCGGACCGAUUAUAAAUCAAUUUAUUAUUUAUUUAAUUUAGUUUACAUGUGGCAAGGUUUGUGUGCGUUUUGUGAGUCCGCGUAUCUGAAUGUUGGUGCACGUUUUGAUCUUCUAAUUUGCAUAUCCCAGUUAUUUGUGUGUGCUUGUAUUUCCCUCUCUUUCUAUCUCUACUAUGUGUGUUUGCUCUUUGUGUUGUGUGGCUCUUCUUACUCUAUCUAUCUUAAUUAAUGGGUCCAUUUCAUAAUUUCAUACGCAUUCAAACUCCACCUCUGUGAUAAAAACAUUUACCUCUUUGUGAUAAAAGCUUUUCAUUUGUUUGUAUUUCUCUUUGGCUUUUUGACUCACUCACUGUCUUUCUUUCUUUUAAUGCUACUUGUGAUGAAUGCAAUGAGUAAAUUUAAUGCUACUUGGUUAAUGCAAAUUUUGUAUAUGUUUGUUUUGAUGGAAAUUGUGAACUUAGAUGCAUGCUAGACAUUGGACAACCUUUGAAUAAAUGGAAUGAUGUUGUAUUAGCCUUUGAUGGAAUGAAAUGAAAUGAUAUAAUGGCAAAAUGUUAGCAUUAUAAUGUAAGAGCAGGUUGAAAAAUGCAUGGUUUUGUGUUAGGCACAAACCGGCCGAACCAAUCCGAACCAAACCGAUUACAAGUGGUUUGGAUUGGUUCGGUUUCCAUUAUGAUUUUAGGCUAAUCCGAACCAAACCGGACCGUUAUUUUCUUAUUGGUUCAGCUGUGGUUUGAGAGUAAAACCGAACCAAUCCGGACCGUGCCCACCCCUAGACAGAAGAUGUGAACCCAAUUAUAUACAGCUGAUUACAUAAAGUAACAAAUUAAUUAAUACUUGAGUGGAGGACAGGCUUGAGUGGAAGAAUUGAUUAAGGCUUGAGUGGAAGACCAACUUCAGUGGAGGAAAGUAUAGAUAAGGAAAGCAUGCCUCGUUUAACGGCUUUAUCUAAUAAAGAUUAGUUGUUGGCACUUGGAGUUUCUUAGGAAUGCUGGUUUUGUUUCCUUGGUGGACUUGAAAGGUGGUGCGUUGGCUCGGACAUCUCCCUAGUAAUUAAUCGAAGGUGGAAUCUUACAAGACAUACAGCUGCUCAUUAGCUGAAUAUCUCGCUCUCUUUAAAGAGAUCGAAGCAAACUGCAAUUUGCAAUUUGUGUGAUUCAAGCAUGAAUAUCUGAUAUAGUAACUAUACCAUUUGUUGGUUUGAUAAGAAAAGUUUGGUUAGCGAGGAUGAAACCAUAAAGUUCUCCAAAACACACAAAAAACACGAACAAUUGCUAAGUUUAUUCUUGAGUUCACACAUAUUUGUACAAAUGAGAUUACUCCAAGCAUGACUAUACCAUUUGUUGGUUUGAUAUGAAAAGUACGGGCAACGAGGAUAAAACCAUACAAACACACACAAAGAACGUGGACAAUAUACUAAGUUUAUCUUUGCGUUAUUGAUCCGACCUAACUGUAAAAUAAAAAAGAUAAAAAUAUAUAAUGUUCACUACUUAGAUCUAUGAGCACUAAAGUCCUCCUUUUGAAAUUGCACAAAACAUCACUUUUGGUCUUUGGUAAAUUUUUAAAAUAAAUGAAUUUUUUACUUAUUUGUGAACUGAAAUGCCUCUAAAAAAAUAAUGAUAGUUUGAAGAAUUUGAUAGAAAUAAAAAAAUAUCCUCAAAUUACUUGGAAUUGAAGACCACAUAGGCAAAAACACCAAAUUGCAACCUCACUUUAAUGAUAAAAAUGGUAAACUACAAAGACAAAAAUGACGUUUUGCCUUAUACAUAAUUGGAAUUUGCUGGUGAUAAUAGUCUACCAUCUUUUGUCGAUUUGCUGGUGAUAAUAGUCUAUCAUCUUUUGUCGGUCCGACCUAAAAAGAAGAAAAAGUUGAUGGCAUCUUGUACCAUUUUUGCCAAUGUGGGCCCAAACAAUUUGAAGAAGUCCACCGGCAAUUUCUCAAAAGCUAUUGUGUGAGUGUGAAGCUAAACCAAUAUUAUUUUGCAUAUACGACUCCACAUCCCCAUGUGAUGUGAGGCUACAAAAGUGUUUCCAAAACGAAAUAUGAUAUUUCAAAACGAAGCUAUGUAUAGAGUCAUUUGUAUUUGCUUUCACAAUAACAUUUGAUUUGUGAAAGCAUUUUAUAUUUAUACAUUCUGAUAUUCUAACAAAUAAAUUGACUAAAUUUGGCCAACAGGAUUUAGCCGAAUAGAAAAGUCCUUAUUUAUAGACUAGUGGUUUCAAAUUUAAAGUUUAGACUAUCGCAUGUAUUUAAAAAAAAAAAAACAAUUGGCUUAAUUUGAUAUAUUUCCUUUUUUUCCUUUUUCAUUUUAUACUGGGUGCCGUUAUUAAGUUUUAUCCUUAUUUUUUGUUGAAAAGAAAAUUGAAAAAAAAUAAUAAUUCCUACAGCUAGCAACUUCUCCACCUUCCCUUCUUCGCAACUAGGGAUGCCAUUGCAAGGUCACCAUCUCAGAUUAAGUCCUCCUUUUAAAAUUGUGUCGUUAUUCAGAAUUGGAAUAUAAUCCUGUACCACUUUGGCCACUUUUGAAGAUGUUCACCGACAAUUUCUCAAAAGCUAUUAAGCUGUACAUCCACAAUAUUAUUGCAUCCAUCCCCAUGUGAGGCUACAGAAAAAUUUUGAAAACGAAACUGGAUAUUUUAUCUCUAACAACAGCUUUCAUACUUCGUUUACCCUGUGUUUCCAAGUUGUGCUAGCUAUUUGCAAACCUUGGAAUAUUACUUCAUCCAAAUCCCUUGCAGAGAAGAGCAAGAUAUGGCUUUGAUCGGAGAAGCCCUCAUCUCCGCUACCAUCCAGACGUUUUGUGACAAAAUUGCUUCGCCUGAGUUCACCGACUUAUUUCGGCAGAAAAAGCUCGAUGAACAACUCCUCAACAAGCUGAAGACGACGCUGUUGACCUUGUCCGUAGUGCUUAAUGAUGCAGAGGAGAAGCAAAUUAAGGAACCUUUAGUGAGAGACUGGCUUGACAAUCUCAGACAUAAUGUCUUGGCUGCGGAGGACUUACUGGAUGAGAUCGACACUGAAGCUUUGCGAUGCAAGCUGGAAGAAGGUGAAGGUCAAACCCACAAUUUAACCAAGAAGGUACGUGAUUUUUAUCAACGCAUGAAUGUUGAGAUGAAAGAUUUAUUAGAAAGAUUAGAACAAUUUGUACAAGAGAAAAGUGCUCUUGGUUUGAGAGAAGGUGCUGGGAGGAAGGUUUCACAAAGAAGAACAACUUCCUUGGUUCAUGAACCUUGUGUCUAUGGUAGAGAUGAAGUCAAAGAAAAUCUGUUACAAAGAAGAGGAUUUGCCGUCAUCUCUUUCUCAUCUGAGUAUCUCGCGGUGUCCUGCCCUGGAGAAAAGGUAUAAGAAUAAGACGGGACAAGAUUGGGCAAAGAUAUCUCACAUUCCUUGCAUCAAGAUAGGAUACGAACUGAUCAUAUAAUAUGAGCUAUUCCAUAUUUCACUCUCAACCCUCAACUCUCAAAUCAAAGUCAGGUGAGGUAUGUGCCUUCUCUUACUUUAAAAAACUGCUUCUCUUCUUCUAAUUGAAUACAAAAACCAAAACACAUAUUCUCUUUCUCUUCCAAAAACCCAAAUACAUGUUGAACAUUGCCAAAUUUGAUCUCCAAAUUCCUAAUUAUUUCACGCUUUUUGUUAUUUUGUUGCUUAGUAAAUUAUGGUUGCUGGUCACAAAUUAUAGUCUGUUAAUAGGUUCAUGCCAUGAAUUAAUCUUUGGACUUUCCCAGGUACUGCAGGUUUGUUAUUAAUGUUGUGGCCUGAUAUUCGUCGUAUCAAUAGGUUGUCUUACGUUGAGGAGAGAGAUCGAUCAGCAAUUACAAAAUUGUUAGUGAAUUUAGCUUGUUUAUCAUCUCUCUCCUUUUGUUUGUUAAGUUUGGUUGUUCUAGGUUAAACCCUUGUCCCCGCAUUUCACAGCAACUCUAUGUUAUUCCACUCUGUUUAGUUUCAUUUAUGUUGUGAUUCGACUGCUGCUGUAUUUUAGAUUUCGUUCAUGUAAUGCUAGGAUGUUUAAUCUCUUAUCUGUGGUGGUAGUUGAGUAGUCUAGCUAAUCCAAUGAUAACUUGUCCCCUGUUUUGUAUUGUUUUUAUUUCUCUGGUAAUGAAAGCACGUUUCUUAUAAAUAAAUAAAAAAUAUUUCAUUGAUAUUCAUUGCUUAUUUUGAACUGCAGAAGCCUACUUUUGUCAGAGUCAGUAGAUGCCAGAAUGAAGUCAUUGCCUAAACACAUUGGCACCCUCACAGCCUUCGACAUUUUGGGAUAUAUGAUCUUCAAAAUCUUGUGUCAUUUGCCUCCCAACCUGCAAUAUUUUCAUAUUUUAAAUUGUGACAGACUGAGCCCUUUGGUGGGAGAUUACUGGGGUUUGCAAGGACUUGGUGGCAAUAUCUUGUAGACGUUUCUCAAGGAACAGCUGCUCAAUACCACUCUUCACACUCUAUAUAUUAUGGCCUGUCAGUCUAUAAUUCCUGCCAGGAGAGGAACUUGAACGCCUCUCUUCGCUGCAAAGGCUACAUAUUUGUGGGUGUGACAAUAUCCAAUUCCUGCCAGAAGAGUGUUUGCUGCCAUCUCUUUCUUAUCUGUGCAUCAACCAUUGUUUUGCCAUGUAGAAAAGGUAUCUCACAUUCCUUGCGUCAAGAUAGGCGAAGAAGUGAUCAUAAGAUAUGAGCUCUCUCUCCCUCUCGCUCACAUACAAUGUACUUAACACAAACACUCAAUCUGAUUUCUAUUAUUAUUUUGCUCAGUAAAUUUUGUUUAAAUUUGCUUUAUUUCUCAUUGCACUUGUUCUGCUGAUCACAACUUAUAUCCUAUUUAAAUCUCAAAUGCUGAAUAAUGAGCAGUCUUUUCGCAGGACAACAUAUCUUCUCUUGGAGAGCUAUUCAUUUGCAAGGUUUCUUUAUGGGUCAUUUCCAGAGGAGGGUUUACUAUUUAAUAGAAAGGUUCACCUGGAAUAUCUCAACUGACACAUUCCCAAAUACAGGCAUUGAAUGCACAACAUUUUGAGGUACUAUUUUUGUAAUAAAAAUGUACUUGAGUCUCAUUUGAGCUAGUUUAAAUUGUAUUCAAUGUCUAUGGAUAACCUGUGAGCUUAAGUUGUAAGAUAAAACUCACAGUAUAUUAUUAGGGUUUAGGGUUCAACUGUUCAACAGGUGAGCUUAAGUUGUACUUUCCUAGGUACUGCAUGUAUAUAAUCUUAGUAUCAACACUUGGUCUUAUGUGGACAAGAGAGAACAUUUGAGGAAUUACAAAAUCUUCUUAGUGAAUUAAUGUUGUUUCAGCUCUGUUUGUCAUCCCUCACAUUUUCUUUGUUAAGCCUUGAUUUUUUAUUAGACAUAAGAAAAAAUGCUUUUAUAAGACAGGAGAUGAAUGCUUUUAUAUGUUGAUGUCGUAGUCAGUCUUCAACCACACUCUGUUUUUAGAAUUCAUUUAUGUUACUAGUUGAGUGCUGCUGUAUUUUAUAUUUCGUUCCUGUAAUGUUUGGAUGUUUAGCUUGAGCAGUCUAGCUUAUCCAGUAGAUAACUUGUUCCCUGUUUUGUAAUGUUUUUGUUUCCUCUAAUGAAAGCAGGUUUUACUUAUCUUGAACUGCAGAAGCCUACUUUUUGACAUAGGUGGCAUGGCACAAACUCGCAUCCGCAUUUCCUUCCCCAUUGGCAUGCUGUCUCAUCUUUUGUAUUCUGUUACCAGCUUGAAGCUUGUGUAGACAUGUUAUGCUCUUGUAAUUCUGAUCACAAACAUCACUUGACAAAUGGAAAGUCACAAUCAGAUCUUUCAGGUGAUCGGGAGGUUUACUUUCUAACAUUUGUUUUCAUUGGGGGGAGGACAACAAUACAGAAUUUAAAAUUUCUGAUAAUCAAUAGUAGUUUGCAUAUAUCAGCUGGGACCUGUAUGACUGUAUUAUGUAAUUAAUUAUUUCUCUUAUUGUUUUGGUACUGUUAAAAGGAGUUAGCCACAAAAUAAAAAAGGAGGCCUCUUAUUUCAUACAAUUUUUCAAAAGUGAUCAUUCAUCCGUUUCUUUUUCAACAAUAGAGGAAUGUAUACUAAUCGUCUGGUCCAUCUGCUGCUUCACUCCCUAGUAGCUUCAUCUCCUGUCCUUUGCUUUAUUUCUGUUGAUGAAUGUUUUGUCUGGGUUAUUUAUUUUCAUUUCAUGUCCAUUGCUUCAUUUCUGUUUGGAUUCUGUCCUGGACUUGAACAAGGGUUAGGUUAGCUGUAUAAUUUGCGGUUUUAUAUACACAACUGUCUACAUUGAUUAAAACCAGCAUUAUUCUAAGGUUCAUUUAGAAUGUAUUAUCACCAAAAUUAUAAAGUAUACUUCUAUUACAAUUAAUUUGUUGAUUCUAAUUUGGACUUGUAGGAACAGACCAAACAUGUUCAUACGUGGCAUUGCUCAAGUCAUCAUCAUUCGGGACAGAGAAUAAGCCUUCAAAUGUCUGCUGAGUCAAUGAACCUUUCUAGAUAUCUCAAGUGUAGUGGAAAUUGAUGAGUUACAAAGGAUUUUUAAACAUUUUCUACUGGAGGCUAGAAAUGCUUCAAAUAAAUGACUGUGUUGCAAUUAUUUUGUAGGAUCAAAGACUCUGCAAAGAGGUAAGAAAGUCAUCAUCAAGUAACUUUGCUCUUCAAACUUUUUAAUUUUAUUUUUAAAUAUCAGUAAUAACUGGGAAAGUUUGCAUUUCCUUAAAUUGCUCAUUCUUACAUCUUUUAUAGUUUGUUGAUCUUGGGCAAGUGGAGAGAGAGGCGUCAAGUGAUACACAACAACCAUUUUCUGUGAGCUGAUUUGAUAAAGAGAAAUGGUAUGCUUUCUUGUCUUAAGCGGUGUGUUCUGCAAUUAUUUGAAACAAAGGAUGCCGCACUUCAAGUUCGAGAAAAUCAGGUAUUUUAGUAUUUUAUUCUGGAGAAAUUUGAUUUAUGUAGAAACUUGAACAUGUAAAUGAGAGAAAAAAAAAUUUAUAUAUAUAUAUAUUAUAUUGUAUAUGCUCUUAAUGAGUUAAUAUGGUGCUUGCUCCUGGUUGGAAAUUUAUGUAGUCAUCUACCUAUGAUCAAAUAAAGAUGAAAAAUAAAAUAAAAUUGAGAGCAUCUUCCUCUCCCCUGCUUUGCUCAUCCCUUGUUCUUCCACUUCAGCCCCACUAUUACACCAUUUUUUCAGCCACAAUUAUAAUAGCUCCAUGAGCAUUAAGUCCUUUUCAAAUUCUGCUGACAUUCAAAAUUGGAAUUGCUGGUGAUAUAUGAUAGCAUCCUUGUCCGACCAAAAAGAAAAAAAAAAAAAGUUGAUAGCAUAUUGUACCAUUUUGGCCAGUGUACGCAAUAUUAUUGCAUCCAACUUUGCAUAUUAACAUCAGUGGCCACAGUUCCAUGAUUUGAGUGCACAGAAAGGUUUCAAAAGUUGUCCCACAAAGAACAGUCGUUCAAAGUGAAAGAGAGUUUUCAAAGCUUAGUUACAAGUUCAUGUUAUUUACAAUAUCAAAAAGCUUUCAUACUUGCUUACAAACCUGUAUUUCCAAGUUCUGCAAACCUUGGAAUAUCACUUCAUCCAAAUCCCCUUCCAAAGCAGGAAAAAUGGCAGCAGCUUUGAUUGGAGAGGCUCUCAUCUCUGCUUCUAUCGAGUUGUUGUGUGACAGAGUUACUUCAGCCGAGUUCAUAGACUUAUUUCAGCAGAAGAAACUUGAUGAAACACUCCUCAUGAACCUGAAGACGACACUGUUGAUUUUGUUUGCGGUGCUCAAUGAUUCAGAGGAGAAGCAAAUUGUGAACCCUGCUGUGAGAGAGUGGCUUAACAGCUCAAGCAUGCUGUCUUUGAUGCAGAGGACUUACUUGAUGAGAUUGACACUGAAGCUUUGCGAUGCAAGCUGGAAGGUGAGGAUGAAACCCACAAUAAUUAACCAAAAAGGAUCUUUUUGAUUGUUUGAAAGGAGGGUCUUGAUGAUUUGAAAGGAGAGGGUUGCUUUAUUUCUGUUGGAUGCUUAAUUAAAUCUUAUUUGGAGUUGAACAAGGAUUAGGUUAGCUGUAUAAUUAGUGGUAAACGCCUUUUUCUAAGGGUCAUUUAGACUCAUAUUACGAUUAAUUUGUUGUUUCUAAUUUGGACUUGUAGGAACAGACCAAAUAUGUUCACACGUGGCAUCGCUCAAGUCAUCAUCAUUUCAGACUGAAAAUCAGCCUUCAAGUGUCUGUUGAGUCAAUAAAACUUUCUAGAUAUAUCAAGUGCAAUGGAAAUUCAUGAGUUACAUAGAGAUUUGUAAACAUUUUGAAGAUUGCAACACCUGCAAGUGAGAUAGGCGGUGACGAAAUCAGAGAUGAAGCCUCUGAUGCCCCUGUUGUUGCAAGUUGCACCUGAGAACAUGUUUUUUUUUCUUCUUUGGGGUAAAAAACUGGCAACAUGUUCGGAGCUGACAAUUCAAUCCCUGAUGAACUAGAGAAGCAAAGCUCCGGUAAGGAAAUUGGUCAAGGUUGUGACAGGGAUGAUUGAUGGUGAAAUGGAUGCUAUUUCUUAUUGCAGCCUGUUCUUAAAGUUCUUGUUGGCAAAUGCAAGAGAUGGAGUAUUUUGAUUGGGAGGAGAGAUAAUGACAUGGCUUGACAAUUCUAGAACAGCCCAUCAUUAAUCCCAGAAAAAAUCCAGUUUCUGCUAAACAAUCACUUAUGGCAAGGCCAACUCUGUAAAUGGAAUUUGUGAUCCCUUCAAAUUGUACACAUUUUUUCUUUUUGAGGAAUUUAAUCAAACAGUAUUCUAAUGCAUUAUGAUGGCACUACACGCUUUUGUUGUAACAAAUUACAAGGAGGAAUUUGGAUUGAGUUUCUUGUAUAAGCACACCUUACACAAAUUUCGUAUAUUUUCUUCCAGCAAGUCUGUCUAUUAAACCCCUUAUUUGAAAUUAAUUGUUAUAAGUUUUGAUUCAUCUUUAAUCAGUGUCUUCCCCUUGUUGAAUAACACUCCUCUUUCUAAUUUAUAUUUGAAGUUUGAGGUUUCAAUUUCAAUUGUGGGUUUUGAUUUUACAGAUUUUGUUUGUCAAUUUCAGUUUGGACAAAGCAUAUGCAAUCAAAGUAAGCAUUUUAUGUUAUACUUUUGAACUAGGUGUUGAUUUGAUUUAAUCAUAAGUUUUGCUGGUGCAUUUACUAGGCUAAUCAUUCAAUACUUUUGAUCAUAGAACUUCUUUGGUUGAUAUUAUCUUUGUUAAGUUUAACCAUAACUUUAGAGAGGGGACUUAACAGAUUUAUAAUCUCAUCAUUAUAGUAUUAAAAAUUAGAGAUUAUUUAAGGCAUUGUCUAUUAUCUGAAUUCUGCUUACUUUUAGUUCAUAUGUUUACAUCUUAGCAUAUUCAUGUGAUUAGUGCGGCUCAUACCACAAAGGCAAUUUUAGGCUCAUCAAGUGCUAAGCAAUGUCAAGCUUCCAAGUGACAAGUUCUCUACAUAGUUUGAGACCUACACUUACUAGAUAUUAGAUCAUUUGGAUCAUUUCCAUAUGUGUAUAUGUAAUUGACAUGUUAUAACAUUUUUGUAGCGUUAUAUAAUUAUUUAGCAAUUUAAUUAUUUCUUUGCAACUUUAUUUUUUUUGUCAGUCAUACUAUUGUUGACUGCUAAAAACCAUCAAGAAAUAGUUCUUAAGUUAUAAAAAAAAAUUAUAAAAAAAAAGAUUUGUUGAUGCUUAAAAAGCAUCAAGAACAGAUAGUUUCUUGACGGUUUUGUGACGUUUCAUAACUGUAAGGGGCUUUUUCUUUCGACAGCUGUAAAUGGGCUGGGCUGCCGUAAAGGUCAAGACUGAUGAAAUUGUCCCUUUUUGUCUGAGCUCGAAAAUUAUGCCCCAAAAUACUUUGAAAGGGCAGCAGAGCCUUAGGAAGUAUUUUGGUUACCCUCACCAACUAAAACAACAACAACUUACAGGUAAUUUCUUAAUGCUUACAGAUGAACUCUUGUGCUUGGCAUGAGUGACAUGUGGCAUGGAAGCAAAAUCAACAUGAGUUUAGCACUGAGGCGAAAUUUAGGCUCUCUUGGGGGAAAAAGGGAAGUGUUAAGGUGAGAGAGGAGAAGUUUGUAGGAGAUUUAGCUAAGAAAGGAGAAAUAUAGAACAAUGCUCUUCUGGCAACUUGACAGAUGCUCUGUCUGCCAAAAAAGGAAGAUGGAGAAGAAAUGUGAAUAGUGCACGAAUUUGCUAGAUUUUUGCAGGUAAGAGAGGAAGCUUGCCCUAUGGGUCUGAGUUGAGUUUUGUUGGGUGGAAGAGACCUCAUUUUAUAGCCCCUGGAAACCAUCACUUCCCAAGAAACCCUAAUGGCUUCUACCUAUUUUGGCCAAGCUUUUCCCUUCCUUUCUCAUUUCCUUCCUUGAGUUUACCCCUUUUGAUGAAAUCCCAUCUGCCUAUUUGCACCAGAUCAAAGUUUUUUGAAGCUCAAGGCCCCCAUUUUCUUGCAGUUGUCUCAAUGGGAGACUUCCAUUCCCAGUCAUUCUCCUUUAUUGCUUUCCUUUCUUUUUUUCAUGGCCUAGUCUGGUGGGGAAAGGAGUUGGGAUAUAUAUGCUGGUUUGAAGGGUGCUUCUCUUCCUGACAUCUUACACACUAAUACCCCUUGGUUCCUUGAAUGUUUUGGCUUUGAAACUUGCUCCCCCCCUCCCCCCAUGUACUGGAACCUCCCAGCAGCUCUGUUCAAUGAAUUUUCAGACCUUUUCUUCAUGGCUUUUAUUUUUUUAUUAACUGGCUGGAGCUUUUGUGGCUCAUUGUGGCAAUUGUAUGGGCUAAGGUGGUUCAUUAAGUAAGUGAGCUAUUUUUAUUAAACAUUGGGCUUUUUGGUUGAGUCACUAGGCUAUUUUGAUUGGGCUAUUGGGCUAUUUUUUCCUUUCUUGUACUCACCCACAUGUUUGGACCAAAGAAAUGAGCUUGAGUCCUGAGGCUCCCAAGCGACCCGAGACUUUCCAUUUCUCGGCCCAUCAAUGGGCCUCAUGUUGAUUUAUUACCAUCCAUACCACAACCCACUCAAGCAAGCCCCGGGCAUUUGAGUGGCUUGGGCCCACUUAGGCUUGUAGUGUGGUUGGGUGCGAAAUGACGAUUUCGUGCUUGGCAUGUUUUAAUUUUAUCAUCCUUGGGAAAGGCUGCGAUGUUUGAUUUCGGCAUGGGCUUGUAGAGCUGGUAUGCUUUAUUUCAACUCUAGCAUGACGAAUUAUUUAUUUAGCAUGGCACGUGAAUUACAACUCGCAUGGGGUGGGUUUUUGUGUACUACACCUUACGCCUCUUCUUAAUAGAACAUCGUUUUGGGCUGAUAAUUUAUUCGGGCCCAACUGUGAAUUUUUUGGGUCUCAAUAAUAACCAUCAUAAAAUAUUACAUUUUGACUGACGUCAAGAAAUGGGGUAUCCCUUUCCUGAUAGUGGCAUCCAUGAUGCCUUCCAAGCCGUCAAUUAAGGGCUAUCGUGAUGCAUUUUAGUUGUCAGCAAAAGGUGUUUUUCUUGUAUUGUAUUCACUCAAAAUCAUGUUUCAUUUAAGACUAGUAGUAUGGUUGAAUACCAUUUGUUUUGUUAAAGAAUAUUAUACAUUAGGGAUUUUUGUAGAAAUGUCAUUUGAACUUAUACCUUAGUUUCAAUUUGUUACCUUGAAGAAAAAUUUAAGAGAAAUGUCACCUUAAUUUUUAAAAAUCCAUGAUUUGUUAUAUGACUUUAAGAUCAUCCAAUUUUCCAUCCAUUUUAAGGGGAUUUUAGUCUUUUCAUUUUCAAGGAAAAAAAAGAGAUGAAAAAAGAGACAUCUCUCUUACUUUGUUGCCCAACCCAACCCAACCCCACCCGCCCCCCAAAACCACAUAGGAUUGCCUCCCCUUUCCCCACUUUUCUUUUUUCUUUUUGUCCUACUUUUCCACUGUGUUUAUGUUGAAGGAUCUAAAGUUUGCUUGGUCACCAUCUGUUACGUAGGCUUCCCAAUUGUUGGUUUGGGUGGGUUGUGGGAAUUUGUGUGUGGAGGGCAAGACCCUAUCUGACAGGACCUGCCUCGAAUUCCUCGAAACCCGAGACGAAUCUUGUGGAAUUCCCGACAUUACACCGAUGUCGGGCCCACUUAUGAACUAAAUCCUCCUUUCCAAAAUUAAGGAAAAAGAGUACGAGGCUUUCUGCCGAAAUUGCGGCAGUGUCUUCCUUAUAAAUUUAACAUUUCAGCUUUGGUGGCCAUUCUCUCAUUUUAGCUUUGGUGGCCGGAUGAGAGAACGGCCGGCUAAAACGUGGCCAACUGGCAUUGCCGUCGCGAGAGAGGAGAGAGAGAGAGAGAUUUUUAUCAAACCAUUUUUGCCAAAAUUACGAUUAUGCAACUGAGGGUAUUUUGAUCGUAUCUUUUUUGUUAUAACUCCGAUUCAAGCUCACUACAUGCCUAUGGAUUCAUCUCGCCGUGCUUUAUGCAAUUGUAUAGUUGAAAUUCCCAAAUUCCAUCCCAGUCAAAAGUCAACUUUAAACCCUAUAAAAUAUUCUAGGGGAAGAAUGGUCUUUUAUCUAAUUAAAUUAAUAAUUGAAAAUUUAUUUAGGAUCGGGUCGUUACACUGUCGUUGAUGGACUGUGCGAUGACACUCACACAAAGUCCUUGAGAAUAAAACACACACACACCGUGAAGAGAGUAAAACAAAUACACAAGUACACAAAGAUUUAUAAAGGUUUGGCCUCCUGCCUACGUCCUUUUGGUGAUCCACCCGAGAAAUUCACUAGUAUGUAAGAACAACUUUGGUUACAACUAAACCCCCUUAGCUUUCAUAAGAACCCUAGAUCUCUUUUCUCCCACCCUUGCUCCAACCCUUUGAUGCCCUUGUAAACACUCAAGAAUUCACCCUUGAAUUCUGUCAUGUGUUACAUCUUCUCUUCUCCCCUUUGUUAACCUAACCCUAAAAGUUAUAUUUAUAAUUCAUAGGACUUUAAGUACAAGUUAACUAGGAAUAGGAAACAUAAAAGACCCCCAAAAUUGGAGAAAAUAUGUCUAGAUCUCGUUAGGAAAUUGCACAACACGUGCGAUCCGCUCGAGCGCCUGCAAAAUCAUCCCUUUGCCGCUCGAUCUGCCGAUAGCUCAUGGGAUGGGGGAAUUAGAGAUUUUUUUUUUUUCAAUUUUAAUUGUUUAAAAGAUAUACAAUUUUUUAAUAAUAAUUUUUCCAUUUUUAAAAUACCCUUGAAAAUAGAAAGAUUAAAAUGCCCUUAAAAAUGGAUGGAAAAUUGGAUGGUGUUAAGAUCAGAUGACAAAUCAUGGAUUUUGAAAAAUUAAGGUAACAUUUCUCUUAAAUUUUUCUUUAAAGUGACAAAUUGAAAUUGAGGUAUAAGUUCAAGUUACAUUUCUGCAAAAAUCCUUAUACAUUAUGAUAUUCUAACAAUAAAAUUGGCUAAAAUUGAUAUGUUCCCUCUUUUAUUUUCUUUUUCUCUUUUCCUUUUCAUUUUAUGAUCCAAUCCUUUUCAUAUAUUUUUGUUCAAGACUUUGUUUUAGAAUGCUCUAUUACUAAUUUGGUACAGGUCCCUAAAAUCUCAGAGCCGCCUUAGUACAUUCAUAACGUACAUGUUCAGAGUUCAAGAAUAAUGUAUAGAAUGUGAAAUUGACGAUGCCGGCCUUUAUGAGGCAACGUCUUUAUUUCUUUGGUUAUUCCAGUUUAGAAUAUUUGCACAAAUGAGAUGACUCCAAGCAUAAAGUCACAUUCGACCAAAAAGCAUGAAGUCACACACAAAAAGAACACGGACAAUUGCUAAGUUUAUCCUUGUACCCUUAUUAUCCGACCCAAUUGAAAAAUAAAAAAAGAUGAUAAAAAAUAUUGUUCACUGCUUUAAAAUCUAUGAGUAGAGUCCUCCAUUUGAAAUUUCGUCAUUAUACAAAAUUGGAAUGAAAAAAGAAAAUCCUACAGCUAAAUUUGAUAUAUUUCCUUUUCAUUUUAUGCUGGGUGUUAGGGCUCGUCAAUGGGCCGGGCCAGGCUAGCCCGGCCCAAAUUUAAUGGGCUUGGGCCAGGCUGGGCCAGGCUUUAAAGAGGAGAGAGAAAAUAUCAGGCCGAGUUUUUUAAGAAAAUUCAAAGCCCAAGCCCGACCCAUGAGCCCGGCUUGAGAAAGCCCAUCGGGCCGGCCCGGGCCUAAACAGGCCCUACUUCGUUAAAAAAAAAUCAUAAACUUAAUCAUAAGGUCAUUUUAGUCCAAAUUUGAGAUUAAACUCACUUAAUUCCAAUAUUUUCACUUCAAACCAAAUUCAUAAAACACCCAAUAAAGUCACACAGCUUGUAAGAUUUUCCACAAAAAUAAUAAAACCAAGUACUAUUUUUGAGGUUAUUACAUAAUUAGAUCGUAAUAUGUUUUAAGAAAUAAUUUUAAAAAAUAAUAUUAAUAAGUAUCAAAAAAAUAAUUUUUUAAAGGAUGGUAUGAAUAAAUAUGCAAAUAUUUGGUGAUGUGUUCAAGAAAAGGAUGAUUAUAUUUGGUGGUACGAUUAUGUUUCGUGAUAUGAUUAUAAUUAGUGAUGUGAUAUGUUGUUCAUCUUAUAUAUAUAUAUAAUUGUUGAAUUAAUAAUUGACACAAAUUAAUGUGUUAAUCAUCCAAUUAUAAACUAGGAAUGAAUAAAGAAAAGUAAAUGAAAUGAAACAAAUUAUAUAUGUGAUUUAAGUGAUAUAAUCCUAAACCUAAACUCUUAUUUAUACAUAAUUAUAUAUGUAUGCGGGCCUAACGAGCCGGACUUUUGUGGGCGGGUAGGGCCGGGCUUUAUUGGGCUUAAUCGGGCUUUAUUGGACUUAAUCGGGCUGGGCCUAUAGGUCGGACCGAGCUUCAGACAUCCAAGCCCACGCCUAGCCUCGCCCGCCUUGGGCCGGGCCAUUCUUUUUUUGGGGUUCUAUUUCUCUUUGAAUUAACUGCUGAGUUUCAUGAACAUGUCCUCCUUUUGAAAUUGUGUAUUAUUCAAAAUUGGAAUUUGCUGGACAUACUUGAUAUUUUCGUGAGUAAAUUCUGAUUUGGUGGUUGUGCUCGUCACAAAUCAAUGAAAUGACAGCAGUGAUUUUGCAAGACAGCGUACCUUCUCUUGGGGUGCUUUUCAUUUUGCAACAUUUCUUUACGUGUAAUUUCCAGAGGAGGGUUUAUCAUUGUAUACAGCUCUUCGGGUGGUUUUUCUACAAAACAAAUGUCACAAAGAAGGAGGAGAAGCGGAAAAGAUUUACUUGGAAUGUCUCAAGUCUCCUUUGAGAUAAAGGCAUCGAAUGCACAACAUUGUUUUUGUGCUAUUUCAUAAUUAAAGUGUGCUUCCCAAGUCUCCUUUGUGUUUUGUAACUUGUAAUGUUUGUUUUUUUGUUUCCCAUGUUUUGUCUCUUAUAAAAGAAAGGCUUUUUAUCACAAAUGGUCCUUCAGGUUUACAAAAUUAUCACAAAUCGUCCUUCAAGUUUUUUUGUGACACUAAUAGUCCUUCAGGUUAUCAUUUACCCAUCAAAAUGGUCCUUCUGUCAGUUUCUGUCAAAACUGACGUUAAAUUCCUGUGCUCAGCCUGCUUUUGAAAUGAUAAUCUCAUCUUUUCCACUCAACCUUCAACCAAACUCAACUGUCAGAACCCUUUCCCUCCAUUUCCUCAUGGUCCUUCCAGUUUGGCGCCCCUGUAAUAUAUAACCAAUCUUAAAAAUUAAACUUCUGAAGAAAUUGAAACAAUCCAAGCUCAAGAGAAAGACCAACAAUUGAGAACUGCAGAGAAAGAUCAAACUCAUGGAUCAAUAUGGUAAAGCCAAAUUGAAAAACAUAAUUUGCUAAAGAUAAAGCCAAACUGAAAAACCAAACUGAAAAACAUAAAGAUAUCAUUGACAAAUAUAAAAAGUUAAAAAAUAUUGCACAAUCAAAAUACAACCACAUGUUUCACAAAACAAAACAAAACAACCACAUUUGCAGACAAGCUGUAGUUUACACUUUAACAAAGAUUAAAAAACUAACCUGUAUACUUUGGUUGUUUCCCCCCCUUUCGAAAGAACUCCUCGGACUCAUCCAUCUAGUCACUUUUGUAAGAAGAAUAAUGCGUAUUUGACUCUUACGAACCCAGAUAUUCCUUUUGCAGACCAGCUUUAUCAAUUAAAAACCCAAAAAACCUUAAUUGUGCAGGGCCCGAGGAUGAAAUGGAGGGAAAAGGUUAUAUAUGCGGUUUAGAGCGCCAAAAUGGAAGGCCCGAUGAAGAAAUGGAGGGAAAGGGUUAUUUCAGUUGGGUUUGGUCGAAGGUUGAGUGGAAUGAUGCGAUUAUCAUUUCAAAAGGCAGGCUGAGCACGCGACUUUAACGUCAGUUUUGACAGAAACUAACAGAAGGACUAUUUUGAUGGAUAGAUGUUAAACUAAAGGACUAUUAGUGACACAAAAAAACCUAAAGGAUGAUUUGUGAUAAUUUUGUAAACCUGAAGGACCAUUUGUGAUAAAAAGCCUAAAAGAAAUACAGGUCCAAACCACACGGAUCUACUUGCAUAAUAAUGGACCAAAUUUAUGAUUUUUAGAAAGAACCUUCUACUGGUGGAAUCUUGGGCUACUGUUGUGGCUCUCCUCUGUGUGCCUCCUUUUUAGAACGAUAAAAUAUUCAAAAUACCAGAAAAUGUUCAUGAUUAAUGCAAAUAUUAAGAAUUGAAAUUAUUAAUUAAAUGAAGAUAAUAUGGUAAAUUCACACUUUUUCAUAUUAAAAAAAUUAAAAUUAAAAGAAAUAUCAGAUAAUUACUCUUAUUUUUAUGGAACACAGCUACCCAUUAUCUUUUUUAAUUAUAAAAUAAAUUUAAAUUAAAAAAAAAAUCUCUCUCACAGACACGGAAGCGCGUGCUCAGAGGCUAGUUAAAAAUAAUGAACUUUGCUUUUGAAGACGUCUAUACCAGACCCACUCAACCUGCUUUAUGAUUAUGCAAAGAACAAACUCGUCCUUAGACUCAUUUGGUUAAACUUAGAAAAUAAUGAAACAAAAAUAUACACACCCACAAGUAACACAGCCAGGAUUGAAAACAACUGGAAAAAGAAAGGCAUGUCAAAACAAAAUUUUCAACAACUCAUCACCAUUAGACAAGAAAAAGAAAAAUCAAUACAGAAACAGAAAGAACAGAGAAUAAAUGUGGUGGAAGAAAAACGUUGAAGCCAUUUGUGAAUCCAACAACACUACCACUCUGUUUCUCUCCUUUUGUUCAGGCGGAUCUGCAUAUAUCCUAAGGCGUAUUACGGAAACAACUUCUUGCGGUUAUACUUGAAUGUUGUGGAUGCUUCAACGUUGCCAUCUGGGUGGAGUGGAUUUGUCCAAUUCACCUUCACUAUGGUUAAUCAACUAGACAGACAUAAGUCAGAAACAAUAGGUAUAUACGUCCAAAUUGUUGUUAUUUGAAAGGUUCUAAAUUUUAACAUUUUGUUGUAAAUGUGGAGAGAAAAAGUAGAGAAUUGGAAUAGAGAGGAGAGACUGAUUUUCUCAUUCAUAUGUUCAGAUGAAUGUCUUCAGUGUAUAUUUUACAAGUAGGGGGAGGUAUCUAUUUAUAGGCUAAGGUUUUGGUAAAAUACAGGGAAGGAAAGUUCCUGGAAGAUGCAAGGAAACUUCCUCUGUGGGCUCCACCUUCAAACUUUUACAACACUCCCCCUUGGAGACCACAAAUGAUAUGGAAUAUGCCUCGUUAAAAACCUUGCCAGUAAAAACCCAGUGGGACAAAAACUGGUCAAAGGGAAAAAGAGUACAUAAUGAUGUGUAACAUAAAAUUCUGUGUAUAUUGACGCGCGUGCGACACUGCCUCGUUAAAACCUUGCCAGGAAAAACCCAGUGGGAUGAAAACCUGGACGAAGGAAAAAGAGUACAGUGUUUGAAGAUCUUUAUUGAUAGCAUGCUCCCCCUGAUGCUUGGUAAAAUAUCUUUAAGUCAUACUGUUGAUCACCUUUCUGAAUAUCGUAGUUGACACUGCUGCUGUGAGUCAAUCUUGAGCGACACUGCCUCGUUAAAACCUUACCAGGAAAAACCCAGUGGGAUAAAAACCUGGAUGAAGGAAAAAGAGUACAGUGUAUGGAGGUCUUUAUGAAAAACCACGCUCCCCCUGAAAAAUAUCUCCCCCUAAAAAAUUUCAUGACUAGCUUUUCCAGUAUGCGACCAUAGAAAUUUUCAUAGUAUACUCUAAACCCUUGAGCGACACUGCCUCGUUAAAACCUUACCAGGUAAAACCCAAUGGGAUAAAAACCUGGAUGAAGGAAAAAGAGUACAGUGUGGAGCUGACCUCUAUCUGGUCUAGUAUACUUCCGGAAAAACAUUUAAGGUGUCCAACGGAUAAUCCUCAUAAAAAUGCUUCAAUACUUUCUUAGUAUAAGCAAGAAUCUCGUUGGCAUAAUGCUCGAUCUUUAAGUCGAGACAAAUAUUUCGUGACUUCUGCAGAAGCUUUAAUGUGUUGCAAACACAUUAUAAACAAUGUACUCACUGAGGUAAUUUAUGCAUAUUAAUAUUGAGUACAAAUUUUGUGCUUCAAGCACAUGUCCUUUAGGGACUUGCUUUAUGCAAUGUCAAUCCUCUCAACGGAUUUUGUUUAAAAGGGGAUUAAACUUUAUGACACAUUAUAUAGCUUUAACCCAGCUAUUUAUACAUCUUUAGGGAAUCACUUCAAGUGAUAUGCUCUGUGCAUUUAAUAACCCUUAAAGAUAACAUGUUGGUCUCCGUAAUUGUGCAGUAAGGGGGGAGGCACAAUUGAAUCUGUAAAUAUGGAAAAGACCCAACAUUCAUUGUUUCUGCCAGAAACAUUGUGUCAUACAAAGUAGGUAUAUUCCCUUUUAUUCCGAACACCCAAGUAUAAGUUUCAAUAUUAACAUCUUUUGGGGUUCGUACUGUGGGUUUGUUCUUUCACGUUCAUUCUCAUCUAUAAUGGAAUUACCUCUUUCCAUUUUGGCCAAUGAUAUUGUCGACAUCUAAUAAUUGAACGUGGUUCCAAUCAACACAGCCCAUUGAUGAUUUGAGUAGCUACUCCAAAACCAAAAAUUGUCAUUCAUCAAUUCAUUAUCCCACCAUUCUCAUGUGCAUGCGCAUGCAUCAAUUAUAAGCAUUUCUUUGCUUUUGGGUACCCAAGCCACUUCAGGGGGCUUUUAUUAUGUGAGAAUGUGGAUUAUAACCUCCAAUGGAGCGUUAUUUUGCAGUAGGGCGUGGAUAAUCUCCAUUUAGGGAGUUGGAACAUUUAGAACCCAUAUAUCUGUCAUGCUGCAGGCAUGCCACAGAUUAAUACAUACAUGUCAAUUAGUUUAUGGGACUUUAACCCAUAUGAUGGGACUUUAACCCAUGUAAUUUGCUACGCAUUCGGCGUGCAUAAUCUCAAUAUUGACAUGUCAAAGGAUUGUCCAUUCGGGACUUCAAUCCACAUCAUUUGCUACGCAAUAGGCGUGCAUCAUAUUGAUCACUGCUAUACCCAUAUUCUGUUCUUAUGGGACUUUAAUCUGUGCAAUGUAUUAUCAAUGUAUCCAACUUGCAAUCUGUAAAAUUUGCAUUAAUAAUACAUGGAUACAUACAAGCCAUUCUUUUGGGACGGACUUAUCUCCCCAUUUGGUUACCUUUCAAUAUAAAAUAUCAAAUAGGUAUAUAAGCAUAAAAUAACACAAGUAUUGCUUACAUCCUUAGGUGGGAGAAACUUUUCUCAAGUAUCGCUUGAUGAUCUUGUUAUAUCCUGCAAGAGCAAAAAUCACAAUUCCUUUCUCUGUCAAAAACAAAUAAGAGGAAUAGGUAGAACCGGUGAAUUUCAAAUUAACCAUAGGAAAAUUGCGAGAUUCUCGGGAUGCUUUUGAAAAAGUAGCUCCGUGAAAUCCGUAAAGCAAGAUUGGCUUUGAAAAUAAUACUUGAAAACGCCGAAAGUGCCGACAGGCAUUAUUAGAGGCCACGUGAAGUUUUGGACUUCUAGGAAAGAAAAAGAUAAUAUGGGGAUUCGAGAAGAUAUUGGGGUCUUGAAAAACAGUAGCCAUAUUUCCUCCUAUAGAUAUGGCCUUUGCAACAAUUGCGCACCUUCUUAAACUUGCACCUGUGGUUUUUACGCCUUUUCAAAAUGACGGUUUGGAACCUUGUGCCUUAUAGGUUCAAAUAACCACAUUGUUUCUCCCAAAUUUCAUAUUUUAUCGCAUGGUAGCCCGAAACUUUUGGCCUGGGCACAAAUUCAGAAUUUAUUUGCCCUUUUCAAAUGGACAUGAAAUAUGAAUUGAGUAAAAGCCAUGAUAAUAUCGCAAUAUAGUAGUGAAGAGCAUUAACUACUAUAUACCCACAACUUCAAGUUCAGGAUCUCUCAUAUAUUUGGAUCCAUGGGUUUCCGGCCCAGAUAUAACAAAAUAUGUGGGGAGCCUCAAUUCAUCAUUUGAGGUUCAUACUGAUAUUAUCCAUUUCACGGUGUAUUCUUGACAACCGGAAUUCACAAAAUAUAUUUCUUCCUUGAAGUGUCGAUUAUAACAAAAUCGAACUUUAAAUUCAUCAUCUUCUUAUGCCAAAGAAAUAUGUGGCAUACCACAAUUUGCAAUAAUACCUCAAGGGUUGUCCAUUUAAUUGUUGGAACUUCAGGUUCUCAACACUGUUAGAUUUUGAACUUCUGGCCAAAAUCACAUAUUCUCAUGGUAUGGACAUUCAAUCCCCUUAGAUUUUGAACUUCGGGCCAAAAUCACAUAUUCUCAUGGUAUGGACAUUUUUACAAUUUUCUGUACAUAUUUCUGGACUUCAAGCCCUUACAUAAUUGUCCAUAUUUUGAGGAACUUCUGGCAUCUCAUUUAAUUGCUCAUCCAUGAGUUUAAGGAACUGCAGGUUCCCUUUUGAAUGGUGAUGGUUUACCCAAAAUGGUAAAUACUUAUGCAUACAUCACUAUUCAUGUAUACGGCACUAUUUAUGUAUACAGUACAUUUGCCAGUACAGUUAUCAUCCAUGUGUACGGCAUUAUGAACAAAUACGGUACUGUUACAUCAUUAAGGAACCCCAUGUCCUUAUUUACAUGUCAGGGAUCAAGGACCCUCAAGUCCGAUCACAUGUUUACAAAUAUAGUACCGGAGAGACUGCCAGCUCUCAUAUUAACAUCAUCAUCAAGGAUCUUCAAGUCCUGAUGUAAUUGUAUGAUGAGGAUCAAAGAACUUCUGGUCCUGAUCUGUAUACUGUAAAAACUCAUCAUACAGCACAUUUAAUCCAUAGAAUAAAUUGCUGGUAAAUAAAUUACUGGUAUGGACGAUAAACUCGCACCAUACUUUAAAUAAAUAUUGCCUUACAUACACUUACAGCAUCAAUAAUUGAUAUCCAUCCAUGAUCCACCUGUAUAAAUGUAUAUAUAUAUAUGUAUAUAUAUAUAUAUUAUUUUUAUUUGGACUUAAACAGAAACAGGCAUUUUCUAUAGCUGUAAGUAUAAUUGUACCUGCCUACGCUGAAGAUUCCUUUCAUUGUUGCAGGAUGGUGGGCAUUCAGUUUAAAUAAAGCAAACACACACAUUUCAAAUUUUAAUUGAAUUUCAAAUUAGCAGUUUACUUACAUGCCCAUCCAUGACGUAAAAAGCAGAGACAAGUGAUUGUCUUUCGACAAUGACAUGAUAUCACAGUAGUGGGGAUAACGCUAUGAUAUUGGCCGAUCGGCUUCGCUGUAUCCCUGCACACCUUUAAUAAUUAUAUAAUAUUAAAAUAAUAUAAUUAUGUACCUGCACUAUAGACCUGCAUCUUAAGCUUCUUCCCUUUAUGGGGUCUGCCGCUUUGCCUUUUGUUUCCUUUGCUUUGCUUUCCACUGAAGCAAGUUGGCCAGCACCAAUAAUGCCGCCCACAAUGCAAAAAUCAAGUUGGCCAGCACCAAUAAUGCCGCCCACAAUGCAAAAAUCAAGUUGGCUACUUUUGCCUGUUGCUUUCUCAAUUUCCUCCACCCUUUCAUUGUCUUUUCUUCUUUCACUACUUCUCAUCUUCUGCCUCUCUCUUGCCUUUUUUUUUUCUUUUUUUUUUUUUGUAUUCGAUUUUCUGGCAAGCCUCCAAAGACAGCAACGACCAAGUUGCCUUGUCAUGGCUGGCGGCCAUUGCAAAAGCCUUUUCCAUGAAGAAAUGGACUUGGACACGAGGCUGGUUGAUUAUGUAGUUGGAGAUGAAGAAAGCAGCUGACAGUCUAGGGAGGGAGCGAACCAGAGAGUUUGUUACUCCACUGGUGUGGUUGGGAGGUAGGGAUCGUCUGUGGUUGGUACAGAGUUUUCUUCCUCAGCUCAAGCAAGGCAAUAGAGGUAGGUUUGUUUGCUCAGCUCAGCUCAACCUGUGCUCUCUGUGUUUGUUUGCUGGGUUAUCUGGGAGAGUAAUUUUCUUCGGGUUCGGUUCUGGUAUGCUUUUGCAUAUAGAAAACAGAGAACCCAGAAAGGAAAUCCAAGAGAGAGACUUUGGUUGAGAAAAUGGCAAUUUUUGAGAAAAAUGGAGAUGCUGAGGUUGGUUGGACAACACCGAAUGGAAGUUGUUGGGCUCGGAGCAGAGAAUUGGUUCUCUAGAUCGGAGGUUUUGUGUGAAAUUUUACUGGCAAGCAAUCCGUGUGGCUCUGUACAAAACUGGGUUGGUUUUGGGUGGGCAAUCUGGGCUUGGUUUCGAACUGGGUGUCUUGAUCAAUUUCUGGGAUCAAGAAAUCAGAGAUUUCAGCCGGUUAAAGACUCGUGCUGAUAUCGUGUUGUAAAUGUGGAGAGAAAAAGUAGAGAAUUGGAAUAGAGAGGAGAGACUGAUUUUCUCAUUCAUAUGUUCUGAUGAAUGUCUUCAGUGUAUAUUUUACAAGUAGGGGGAGGUAUCUAUUUAUAGGCUAAGGUUUUGGUAAAAUACAGGGAAGGAAAGUUCCUGGAAGAUGCAAGGAAACUUCCUCUGUGGGCUCCACCUUCAAACUUUUACAACACAUUUUGAUUUUUAAAUUUUGUUUUAAUAUUUCGGCCCACUUAGUUCUUCUCAAAAUAUGUCAUCAAUAUCGUUGAAAGGUUGAACUUAGUGAAUUAUUAUAGUGCAGUACGGUAGAAUAAGCACAUGAUAUAAUUUGUCCACAUGUUAUAAUAUAAGUGAAUAUUUAUUGAUAUUAUUUCCAAAAAUAAGAAAUAUCAACAAUUAUAUCCUCCUAUAUUAUAAUACAUAUACAAAUUAUACCACAUUAUCAUACUCUAAUACCAUUUUAUAAUUUCUCGUACUUAGGAGGUAUAGAGCGAGUCAAUGACAUUACAUAAUAUAUAAUUGUUCAUAUAAUGGGGCAACUAACGUGAUCAACAAGUUGUGGUGAUUAAUUUAACAUAAUAAAAAAUAUACCAUUUACUUGAGUGAUGUAACAAUUUGUUCUUUUAAAUUGGAUUGCCAUCACUUUAAUAUGUUAUGUUUCUUAUUAUAGUCUCCCAUGUUAAGUGCUUCAGCAUUGUUUGUGGUGUGUACACAAAUUUUCUUAUAAAAUGUUUUAAUGCUUCUCACAUGUAUAUCAGAUAUAGACAGUUGAUGUGACUUAGAAAUCAAAUUGUCAAUAAAACAAAAAAAUAUAAUUGGUGAUCGAGGUCCAAUUUAAUAGAAAAUAGUCUUAACUUGCAUAUUAAAGGUCUUAUAUUCGAAUCCUCACUGCAUUAUUGUUGUAUGCGUACACAAGAAAUUCUCUUCCCCAAUAAUUUAGACUAUCACUUAUACUAAAAAUAUAUAUAUAUAAUGACUUUUACGAAUGCAAACAUAAAAUUACAUCAAACAAUAAUCACUACUACAAAAAAGCAAAAAGACGACGGUAAAUCACCGUCGUGUAUUGGGGUUUUCAAUGGUCGUGGAAUCCACCGUCAUCUUUUCCCUCAUAAACCACGACGCUAAAUAACCGUCGUUGUUAAAAUAUACAACGUCAUCAACAAAUACAAAACGACGUCUUUGUACUGCAAAAAGAUCUAAAAAAAGCAAUCGAGGAUGAUAAUAGACGACCAACUCUCUAAAAAAACCGUCGUUAAAAAGAAAAAAUAUGACACAUAUUAAGAGAACAAGGCCGCAAGAUAGACAUACAACGACGAAAAUAAAAAUACGACGACGUUAAAUAUAAUUUUCACGACAAUAAAAAAUAUGACGUCUUUAAAUACAUUAGAAGACGACGUUAUUGAUACAUACUACGUCGCAUAUAUAAAAACAACCGUCGUAAAAUUAAUUUUCCACUUCGAUUUUUCGAUAAAAGAUGACGUGGAAAUAGUUGUCAGUGUCAUUAUUUACGACGUAUGUGUUUAUAGAUUAGACGUUGAAAAACUAAACAACGUCGGUUACAAAUAUAUGAGAGUCGUAUUACAAAAUUUAUACGUCCUAUUUUCAGAAACAAACAACGACGAUAAAUAUUAGACGUUGUUAAACAAAACAACGUCGGAAAAAUAAAAACAGACGUGUUUAGUCUGCUAAAGUUCUAGAAAAUAGUCGAGGAUGAGAAUAGACAACCAACUCAAAAAAAUCACCGUCGUUAAAAAGGAAAAAUCUGACACAUAUUAAAAGAACAAGGCCGCAAGAUAUACAUACAACGACGACAACUAAAAUACUACGCCGUUAAAUAUAAUUUACACGACAAGAAAAAAUAUGACGUCUUUAAAUACAUGAGAAGACGACGUUAUUGAAAUCUACUACGUCUCUUAUUUACAAAAAACCGUCGUGAAAUAAAUUUUCCACUUCGAUUUUUCUAAAAAAGAUGACGUGGAAAUAGUUGUCAGUGUCAUUAUUUACGACGUACACAUUUAUAUAGUCGACGUUGUAUUUAUAUGUAUUCAUUACUCACGACGCACUUAAUAAUAUAGACGACGUUGAACUUCUAAACAACGUCGGUUCCAAAUAAAUGAGAGCCGUAUUACAGAACAUAUAGACGGCGUAGAUUAUGAUGAGAGCCGUAUUACAAAUAACGUCGUUUAAUUGUUAUUAGACGGCGGUUAUAAUGAAUUUCCGUCGGAAUUCAUUUCGUUCCUCUUCGUUUAUAAAAGAACUUGCGACGUGGAAAAUGUAUGAUGACGUCGUAUUUUUUAACGUUCAGAUUAUAUAUCUCGUUUUUAGACGUCGGUAUUAUGGGAUUGGAGUCGUGUUAUUUUGAAUUACAUGGCGGUUCUUAAUCCUUCACCGACGUGAUAUCCUGAAUAAUUGCUUCACAAUAGCGUCGUGGUUCUUCAUUGUUACGUUGCUUUAAGACGUCGGUAAAUAUGCUGAAUAACUGAUUCACAAUAACGUCGUGUUUUAUUUGAACGUAGAAAGUGAAGAAAUCACAUUACAAUAUAUUACAAAAUUAAUGUCAUACACUGCCAAUUACAUAAGCAUCAUUCAAUCCAUAUAUCUUCACACCCAUCUCGAAUAUUUUGACCGCCUAACUCACCCACCAGUUCAUCAAAUGUGUCAACAUUUGGCAUCCCUCUAGUAAAUGGCUCACACUCAAUUAUCACAUCACCUAAGACUUCAUCACCAAUAACAUCAUUAUAUUCUCUAUUAGGCAUUGAUAACACUACCGACCAACCACGAUGCAUCGGGUCGUCAACAAAAAAUAUUUGUUUGACUUGAGAAGCCAAAACAAAUUGGUCAUUCCUAUGUCCAAUUUUACUCAAAUCUACAAGGGUAAAUCCAAGUUCGUCGACUACAAGACCAGAACUAUCUAUCCAAUCACACCUAAAGACUGGGAUUGUAAACUUUUGGUAGUCAAGGUCCCAAAUUUCUUGAAUGACACCAUAGAAACCCAUAUUUGAGAGAAUUGGGUUUUUAUCCUUGGCACUAGCAACUUGCAUGGUAUGUGCAAGUAAAUAAACUCCACUAUUUUGAGUUGUCCGCACAUCAUCUUGUGCCUUGAUAUUGAAUUUAAUACCUUUAAUAAGAUAGCUCCUAUAUAAUGGCACUGACAUGUUUGGACCAGCUGCUAGCCACCUUAAAUUUUCUGAUACGCCAUGAUUGUCUUCCUCAAGUUCACUUUGAACCUGCAAAUUAAUCAUAUCUUAAUUCAAUCUAACAUAUAAAUAAGAAGAAAAUUAAAAGAGAAAUAUGUUAUUCAACAACAUAUACCUUGAAGCGUAGCCAUUGAAUGAAAGUGCUAUUGUGCUUAUCCUGCAGCCACUUUGUUCUCUUUCUAAAUUUUGGAUAAGCAGUCUUGAUGUGGAUCAUAUGUUGCCCACAUGACACGAAAAAUUCAAGCAUUACGAUCCUAAAUAUAGAAGAUAAACAUAAGAAAUAAUUUAAAAUGGAAACUUAAAGAAUAAAGCUCAUACGUACUCGAUAUAAGGUAGGACUUCCUCCGUAUUCUCCAAGACAUAUAGAUGUGCUUGAUUCAACAGGUCCUGAUCAACUACGCUCACUGUGCAACCUGAUAAUGGCUUUGAAAGCCCCAUCUUUUGGCUUGAAGGCACUCCAACUGUACUAACAUCAGAUAAAUGCUGAGUACAACACUCUACCGCUUCUUCAGCUAUAUACCGCUCAGCAAUGCAACCUUCGGGACGAGUACGAUUCUGAACAUACCCCUUCAGCACUUUCAUAUAUCUUUCAAACGGAUACAUCCACCGAAAAUAUACUGGCCCACAUAGACGAACUUCUCUGACAAGAUGUACUACUAGAUGAACCAUGAUAUCAAAGAAUGAAGGGGGAAAGUACUUCUCAAGCAAACACAGAGUAACUACUACAUCUUCUUCCAACUUAUCUAGCUUGGAAACAUCAACAGUCUUUGCACAUAUAGCAUUGAAGAAGAAGCACAAACGAGUUAUUGCAUACCUUGCAGGCUUCUCCAAAACAGAACGAAUUGCCACAGGGAGCAAUUGUUGCAUUAAGGUAUGACAAUCAUGUGAUUUAAGGCCAAGAAGUCUUGAAUCUUGUAAAGAUACAAGAUUUUUAAUAUUUGAAGAAUAACCUUCAGGGACCUUCAUACCAUAGAAAGAAUUGCAAACCUCUCUCUUCUCUACUCUUGACAAAUUCCAAGGCCCAGGAGGCAAACGAGUACGUCUUUCUCCAUACUCGGGUUGCAAAUCAGUUUUGACCCCCAUGUUCAAUAAAUCUAAUCGAGCAGCAAUCCCAUCUUUAUUUUUUCCAGGGAUCUCCAGCAAUGUACCAAUGAUACUAUCACAAACAUUCUUCUCAAUGUGCAUAACAUCUAGGGCAUGCCUUACAGGAAGGUAUUUCCAAUACUCGAGAUCAAAGAAUAUUGAUUUCUUCUUCCAACAAACUCUGUCACCAUUUUCAACCAUAUGCAGCACUUCUUCUCCGGUUAAUGGCUCGGGAGGUAUGCCAUAUUCAGGUUUCCCAUUAAAAGCUGCACGUUGCCUCCUAUAUGGAUGAUUGAUUGGUAACCAUUUUCUAUGCCCAAUGUAACAAAUUUUGUGGCCAUUUUUCAACCUGUGACUAGGUGUAUCAUCGCCGCAUAUUGGACAAGCUUUAUAUCCUUUAACAACACAACCAGAUAAGUUUCCAUAGGCGGGGAAAUCAUUAAUUGUCCACAUUAAUGCAGCUCUGAGUGUAAAGUAUUCUCCAUUAUGUGCAUCAUACACUCCUCUAAUCCCAUCCCACAAAGAUUUUAAAUCAUCAAUCAAAGGCUCCAAGUAGACGUCUAUAUCAUUUCCGGGUUGUUUAGGACCGAAAAUCAAUAAGGUUAACAUCAUGAACUUUCGUUUCAUGCACAGCCAUGGAGGGAGAUUAUAUGUAACUAAGAUAACCGGCCAACAACUAUAUCUGCUACUUAGAGAACUGUGGGGAUUGAAUCCAUCAGAUGAAAGAGCCAAUCUCAAGUUUCUCGGCUCAUUACCAAACUCAGGCCAUUUAUCAUCAAGAAGUUUCCAAGACGGGGAAUCCGCCGGAUGAGACAUCUGACCGUCAAUUGAUUUUCUAGGAGCAUGCCAAGUCAAACUCUUAGCUGUCUCAUGUGAUUGAAACAUCCUUUUAAACCUUGGAAUUGGAGGAAAAUACCACACCACCUUCGCUGGCACACCCUCUUUCAAGAUUGAAUCUUUGCCUUCCUUCCACCUUGAGAUACCACAAGUAGGACAAUUAGUUGAAUCCUCAUACUCCUUCCUAUACAAGAUGCAAUCAUUGGGGCAUGCGUGCAUUUUCUCAUAACUCAGCCCCAAUGCACACAAAGUCUUUUUAGCCUCAUACAUAGAGGUUGGUAUUGUAUUUCCUUAUGGAAGCAAAUCGCCUUGAAGUAUCAAUAAUUCUGUAAAACAGACAUCACUCAUCCCAUGUUUUGCCUUCAAAUUAUACAACUUCACUAAUGCCGAUAACUUCGUGUACUUUCUACAACCAGGGUACACUGGUUGAUCUCCAUCCCCAAUCACAUUGGCAAACUCAUACGGAUCGGAACCAAAAUCAUUAUCAUCCAUAUCAAUUUCUUCAGACACAAAACUGUACCUACUAUGGCCAUCAUCUUCUUCAACAUUUCUACUAGCAUUAGUAGUUGCUUCCCAAGGUUCUCCGUGAAAUGUCCAAUUCUUAUAGCUUUGGUCAAUUCCAUUAAAGUAUAAGUGAUCCCUUAUAAUUCCAACCCCAAACAACUUCAAAUUAACACAUUUAACACAUGGACAACGGAUAUGUGUUGUAGUUAGAAGAUUUUCUACAGCAAAGUUCAAAAAUGCUUCCACCCCAAACUCAUAUGCCUUCGAUCUUCUAUCCGAGUGCAUCAUUGACUUAUCCAUCUCCGACACUAUAACCUAUUAUCUAUAAUAAAGUGAAAAUACAGGCAAUGACCAUCACUAUAGCAGAUUAUACAAAGAUCUAAUAGCAAGUAAUACACAACAAAGACGACGGGUUUUAAACAAAAACAGACGUAUUUGGCAUAUAUAGACGACGGAUUUUCAACAGACGUCGUCUAAUAUAAGUAAUACAAACGACGGUUUAUGAAAAAACCGUCGUGUAUAAGUAAUACAACGACGGUUUUUUCAUAAACCGUCGUGUAAUCGUCGGCGUAUGCCUAAAAAGGCGUCGUGUCUCAGUUUAUUUUCAAGAACCCAAAACCCAUUAAGAACACAACAUAUAUAUGAAACCAAGCAAGAAAACAACAUAUACAUGAAACCAAGCAUGAAAACAAUAAAUCCAUUCCCAAUUCAACAUAACAUAGGGUGAUUAAAAGAUCCGACAAAAUUAAAUCCAUUCCCAAUUCAACAUAACAGAUAAUGUAAUCCAUGAACCCAUUAAACAGAAAAUCCAUGAACCCAUACUUAUAAGCACAUUAUUAACAGAUCGCAAAGCAUAUACCUAAAACCCUUUAACAAAACAACCUAAUAUCAUUCAAUGAAUUUACAAGGGGAAGAUAGGGUUUGUACUUACAGGUUGGACGAGCUCACAGAUUCGACGGAGCAGAAGUGAGAGAGCAACUUUUAAUUAGAGCAGAAGUGAGAGAGCGAAAUGUUAUGUUGCGCGAAAUCUGAAAAUUUUAGGGUUCAGGGUUAGAAGAAUAAGAAUAAGAGCCAAAUAUAAAAAAAUUUAGGACGCGUGAAAAUUUUUAGAGCGCGCGCUCUUUAAAACUUCGAAAGAAAAACCAUGGCGAAAGUUCUACAAGAACCGACAUAAAUGUAAUAUUCCACGACGGAAACACUGAACGUAACGCCGUUUAUUUUGACGCUUCAUUUUUCGGAUUAAUUUUAAAUUUAUUUUCAAUAUUUUGAUAUAAAGACGACUGAAAAACCACGUCGGGGUUAAGAAAUUGAAAACGUUGUAAAUUAUAAUAGACGACUUACAUAUUAAAAUGACGUCGUUUAAAGUAGAAACUAUGUCGGAUAAUUUACUGCACGACGUAACAUAUGUAUUCCACGACUCAACCACCGUCGUUAACAAUUAAUACCCUAAACCCUUAAAACUAAAUUAUAUAAUUUUAAAAAUUAACUUUAUAAAAGGGUUUAUGGUUUUACAGCCUAAUAUAUACCCUAGACUACCCAAAAAUUAUACUUUAAAAAUAAACCCCAAUAAAUAACAACCCUAAUCUCUAAACCCUAGACUCUAAACCCUAAACCAUAAAACUAGAAGUGAUUUUAUGACUCAUCAAAACAAUUUUGUUUUGGAUGUUCAUUUUAAAUUUUUGUAAUUCAAAAUGAAUUUUUUCAAGGUUUAGGGGGAAGAAAAUAUAUCAAUGACUUCAUAGGAGUUGACUUUGCAUUUUUCUGAUUUAUUUUAAAUUUAUUUUGAAUAUUUUGAUAUAAAAAUAAUAAAAUAUUCUUAUCACAACAACAAACCACGUCGGUGUUGAUAAAUUGUAGACGUUGUAAAUUGUAAUAGACGACUAAGUUGUUAAAAUGACGUCGUUUAAAUGAGAAACGAUGGCGGAUAUUUAACUAUCCGACGUAAAAUAUAUAUUCCUCGACUUAACCACUGUCGUUACAAAGUACUACCCUGAACCCUUAAGAAAUUGAAGACGUUGUAAACCAUAAACGACUCCAUUGUUCAAAGAACGUCGUCUAAAUAUCCUUUUACGCCGGAUUUGUUUAAAACGAAACCACAAAAAACGACGGCUUUUGACUUUAUUACGUCGUUGGAAAAUUAUUACACGUCGGUUACGCAUUUUGUAUGUUUGUUUUUGUUUUUACUUUAAGAAAACCUCAACAAAUUUUUACAUUAUAUAUUAUAGACAAAAUUUGUACAUUAUACAUAAAUAUCAAGUGUUCAAUAAUUCCCCUAUUCCAGUUGAAUGCAAACAAACUCUGCCCAUUCAUUCCGGACUUCAUCAAUUGCUUCUUGGGGGUAUGGCUCUUCCUGUUUUCCCUUCGCAUACUGCAUAAAAACAAUGACUAUUAGGGUUUAUAAAUAAAAGGAAAUUCAAUCACAGACGACCAUAACCGACGUAGUAUAUCUAUUCAACGACGGUAAUUUUACAUGACCGUCGUUGAUAAUACAAAAAACGACGUAAAAUGUUUGAAGGUUAUUUCUUCUUACCUUCUUCUCAAACCCCAAGGAAGGAUCCAUGAUGAUGUCCUUCAUGAAGCGCAUCACGUAAUACCCGCAUUCGACAUUGCUGGGUUGCUUUGGUGUGCCUGACAGGGUUUUCCAAAUGACUGCCUUACGGCCUGAUCUGGCUAUGUGGGAAUUAUAAAUUUUUAUGGCACUGUUCACGAUGUCUUUGGCCUCUUCAUCGACCACACGAUUUCCUGGCAGAGGAUCCAGAAAAUAGACUGUUUCCCUCUUUGCUCUUACAAUCAGCAAGAUCCAAUGACGGCUGCACAAAAUUAAUAUAAAAACGACGGUUAUUUACAAAAACGACGUAUUAUAAUAUUUCACACGACGAAAUAAAGUAGCAAUCGACGACAUUAUAUAUUUAUAACGACGAUAAAUAACUACCGACGUGGUUAGUCGUUUCAAACGACUCAAUAAAAUAAAACACCGACGUGGUUAGUUUAUACGCUGUCAUUUAUUGAAAAUCAUAAAAACAAAAUCCUGUUAAGGAGACUAACCCUGGAUUGUAAGGCAUGAGGAAAAUCUGUUCACCGUCAGUCUUCUGAAGUCGUGAUGCUACAAGCCGUGAUCUGUCAGCUAUUGUGCCAGAGCUGGCACUAACUGUAGCAGGGUCGAUAAAGCCAACCAUUGUGCACAUAUUUGCUUGUUUUAAAACAUCGUGUAAGUACCUAAAUAUAUAAAAUAAUAUAAACAAGUCAGCGCAAAAAAAACACACGACGGUUAUGUAUAACAAAACGACGUAUUAUAAGGUUUCACACGACGUACUGAAAUAGACAACGACGUUAUAAUAAAUUUAUCACGACGGUACAUACUAACGACGUGGUUAGUUAGUUAAGACGACGCAAUAAAUAAACCAACGACGUAUUAUUUUAGAAUGACAAACCUCAUAUAUACAGCAAUGACUGUAGCUCCUAUUUCCUCCAUGCCUGCAAAUUGUGUAAUAUCUUCAGGCAGGAGGAAGGUAUCGCGCUCUAGACCAAACACCUCCUUAUCAAUUGUAAAGUGCAGGGUCUUAUCUUGAGUUACGAGUGUCGUUUCCACAUAACGACAAAGGGUUUGUAAAGAAGAUGGCGCCUCCAUAUUUGAAUAAUCAACAACUUUAGUAACCUGUUUAAAGAAAUAAAAAAAUGACGUGGUAAUUCAAUAAAAACGACGGUUUAAGGAAUAAAAUGUCGUUUGAAAACAAUUUAAACGACGGUGAAAAAACCGUCGUGGUGAAUUAUUUAUUACGUCUUAGAAAACAAUUCCGCCGUCUAAGUUGUAAACAAACGACGGUUUAAAGAAAAAUAUCGACGUCUGGAAUUUUGAAAACAAAUAAAAAAGGUAAAGUUAUGUGAACAUACCUGGUCGUCAUCUUCUUUCUCCUUUUCAUCUUGUUUUUCUUCCUUAUUCUCUUCAUAUAUGACGUCGGGAAUGAUUAACUCCGUCAUCUAAAAACCACAAAGUUUUAAAAAUAACGACGUUUAAUGGCGUGUAAAACAAGUAAACUAAAUACGACGUGGUAUUGAAAUACAAACGACGGUUUAUUUUUAAAAUCGUCGUGGUAUGUAUUUCAAACGACGGUUUUAUUAAAAAUAACGACGUCUAAUGGUUUUUAAAAAAACAGAGAAUUCAAAGUUCAGAUAUGUUACCUUUUCUUCCUGAUGUUUCCCAUUUUUGGCAGUAUCAUCCUCAAAAUGCUGGGAUCUCACAUCACCUCCAGAGCAGCUUGCUUUGUCAGACAUUGGAUUUUUGGGACUUUGGCUAAUUCUGGGUUUAAGCAUGCUUGGAUCAAAAUUGGGAAUUAAUUGGGAAAGCUGACUCAGGAAAUGCUCCCUCUCAGCCUCUACCAAUUGUUUCGUUCUAGCCUCCAUUCUUAAAGCCUCUUCCCUUGCCUUAGCCUCCAUCUUUUUAGUCUCUUCUUGAAGGAGAACUCUUAAACUGUCCUUCAAACGGUCGUCAAAGCUCACUCUCUGUGGUUUGGGUAAAUUGAAAUAUUGCUUUGGUGAGAUCCCAGCACCUACUCCUCUGACUCUGCCUGGAUGCUCGGGGCCCAAAGCCAUGGUCAGCACAUCAUUGCUGCCAGAGACGGUGACUUUGCCUUCCGAGACUUGUUUUUGCAAAUCAUCCUAAAACAAAGAUAUAUAAAAAAGUAAGAACAAAAACACACGACGGUUAUUUAUAUACAAACGACGUAUUAUAUAAUUUCACACGACUCAAUAACAUAUAAAUCGACGUUAUUAUAAUUUAUCACGACGGUAGUUAUACCGACGUGGUUAGUUCUUUAAAACGACGAAAUUAAUAAACCACCAACGUCUUAUGUAACAGAGGGAUGAUUCAAUAUUCACACCUUUAACGACGUUGUUUAAAACAUUUCGACGUAGUAAUUUAAUACAGACGACGCGAAAUUGAACCACCGACAUCUUAUGCUAUAAUUACAGAAAACAGAGUUCUGAUUCCUAUUUAGACCUUUAACGACGUGUUUUAAAAAAUGUCGACGUGGUAAUAUCAUUCACACGACGCAAAAUAUAACAUAAGACGUAAUAAGAAUUAUUCACAGUUUAAUAAAAAUUUAAAACAGAGUGAGUAGGCUUACAAUUAAUUUUGCUUUCUCUGCCACCUUUGGAUCAGGGAUGUUACCAUGUUUGUCAUGUCUAGCUCUCUUCCAUAAGGUAGAUCGAUCAAUUUCUACCCCAGGCAUGGUUUCCUCUAAUUGAUCCUCCAAACCGGCAUAUCCUUUUCGAGACAAUCGAUGAUUGUACUCGAGUUUCUCCCUAAUCUGUGCAUGUUGAGAAUGCACAGACUCAAAAUCUUUGGAUAGCCUUGAAGCUACAAAGGCAUCCCAUUGUGCUUUCUCUAUGAAUUUAUAUGUUUCAGGGGGUUGGCUUAAUCUCUCCCUGUCAUUGGUGUAUGGAAGGAUAUAAUGCCUCGUUAGUGUAGACUUGAAAUCCUUCCAUUUCUUGGCAGCAGAAGCUAAGACAGAGUUCUUGCCCCCUUGACCUACUACAAAAGCAAUGUCAACUGCUUCCCAAAUCUGCUCCUUUAUAUCCUUGGGGAUUUGAGCCCAUUUCAAGUCCACAAGUGGAACUCUGGAGCGUGCCAACACACCAAUAUAGGACUGCAUCUCACUAUGAGCUUGGCCAAUUCCUUUCCCCCUUUUAUUGUACUCAACAAUUGGCCUCAGUUUCUGCAGUUUUCUCUUCACAACACGAGGCAUUGUGCUCAUACCUCGACCAGCCUUUGAAUCAUCAGAUAUUGUUGUCCCGCUGGUUGGUUCUGUAUCAGCAGAUGAUGAAGCAAACUUCAUCUUCUUCGAAGACUUCAUUAUCUUCGAAGACUUCUCUUGAGGAGGUACUUGCUCCUCACCUCCAUUUUUCUUGGAGCCAGAAUCCUUACUUUAGUCUUGUUGAGAAACCAUUUUUACAGACAAAACUGCAAGUGAAAAUAUUUCAAGAAAAGAUUAAGAACACAAACGACGGUUAUUAAUAAAAUACGACGUAUGAUAUGAUUUUAAACGACGCAAUGAAAUAAUAUCAGACGUAAUAAAUUUUUAAAACGAAGGUAAUUAAACAACGACGAAAUAAUUGACUACAAACGACGAGAUAAUUAACUAUAAACGACGGAAUAUUUAUAUAACGUCGUGGUAUUGAUGUUCACACGACGUCAGUAGUAAUAUACCGUCGUCUAUAUAAGGAUCCAAAACCCUUCUUUCUUUCUCUGUGAAUGUUUGAUUGCAGAUUUGAUUUUUCUGAACCAUGGUUUUUGUUUUCUAAUUUGAUAAAAUACAAGGCCAAGAAAGAAAGUUUUGGAAUCUUAUAUAGACGACGGUAUUUUAAUAUGACGUCGUGGUAUUAACAUUCACACGACGUAAAACAAUAAGAUACUGUCGUCUAUAUUAGAUACCAACCCUAAUUUCUUUUUCUUUAUAUUUUAUCAAAUUAGGGAAAAACAAAAACCAUUGUUCAGAAAAAUCAAACCUGCAAUUAAACAAGCAAAUAAAAAAAAGACUAAAAUUUUAAAAACAACUUUGUCAAUUUUCAGACGACGCUAGAACGACUGACGAACCGUCGUGGUCUACAUAUUUAACCACGUAAAUAAGAAGCUACCGUCGUCUUAUUUAGUUAAGGUAGUUGUCUUCAAAGUUGGAAACUUUCCCUCUUUGUCUGUAUAUUUUAUCGAACUUGGAAAGAAGUAAAAUGAUUUUGGCCAGAAAAAAGGUAAAAAGAUUUUUCAAACAAAAAACGUAUGAGCAUGCAAAACAGCAACCAAAAUAGUGAAAAUGAAAGCUUACCUUUUGUGUGCAAUGAAAGCAAGAGGAAGACGAUCGAUGUUUAAAUUCAGAGACGACGAAGAAGACGAGAGGAAGACGAUGAGAUACUCUGAAAGUGCUCUGACAAGGAAAAAAGUCUAAAAGUUUUCUCUGGGAGAUUGAAAUUUUUAAUCGGGUUUGGAAAAAGUGCAUGUGUAAGUCAGGUAGACGAAAAGUUGCUUAUAUAUAAAACCAUUUCAAAAAAAUAAUACGGCGGUUACAUAUAACUACGACGUAUAAAUUACAAAAUACGACAGUACGUUUAACUUCGGACGUGGUAAAUAAUUACGACAGUAGUGUUAUAGGUACCGUCGUAGUAAACUCAAAAUUAAAGUACAUAAGUAAUAACUCGCGUCAUGGUAGAUCAUUUAACACGUCGGUUUUAUUAAUGUACCGACGUGGAUUUAUGUAAUAUACGUCGGUAAUACCGACGUUGAUUUUACAAUUUAAACGGCGGUUUUUUUGUAAGGACCGCCGUUGGUUUUAAAAAUUUAUUCUAUAAAUUUGUUGCUUUCAUUCAUUUUCGGUUUACAUUUAGGGUUCCAAGUUCUUCCUCUCUCAGAGACACUAUCUCUCACAUCUCAAAGACAGUAAUUUGGAUGUCUUUCUCAAAGAGAAAUUGAGCUUACUCGCAUCAAAUCUAUGUCCACAAGAAGAAGCUUGUCAACUAGCCUUCUCACUUCCUUGAUCAAGCCUGAUAGGACACUUAGUGCUUCUGAAUACUCCUUGCUUUCCAUCAAAAGAGAUGCAAGCCUGGCCUCCACUCGCUGUCGAAGGAAAGUUCGCUUCUCAGGGAAAUCUGAAGAUCAGAUGUGCCUGAUCCUCUGCUUGAUUUUCUUGGCUAAGAAGAUCCGUCAGAUUUGUGAUAGCCUCUUCCUUUAUCCGUAGAGCUUCAGAAGAAGAAGAUGGGUUUCAAGAAUGCGAUAAAGAAUAGAAAUGGCUUCAGAUGGCCUCUAAAGCAUGAGCAAUCGAAUCAGUGCUUUGAACUAUACUUUGAACUAUACAAGUCAAUGCUUUGAACUAUACAAGUCCUGCAGAAAGAUAAAGGACCAAACUAUUAAAGAAACCCCAAACUAACACGACGCAAUAUUUGUUUUGCGACGUGGAAUCUUUUCAUUUAACGUCGUUAGGUUUAAUAUAACCGACGUGGAUUUGAAUUUUUAAAUUAUGAAUAGCAUUUUUUUUCCCGUGACCUUUCAGUUUAUUUUUCAAUUACAGUGCGUUAUAAAUAGAGUUUUUUUUCCGGAGGAAAUUUAAAAUGAAGGAAAUUAAUGUUCUGGAAUAUGUAAAAUUUCUUUUUUGGAUGACAGAUUUAAAUAAAAUAAGAAUAUAAAAACAACGACUGUUUUUGUAUUACUGUCGUCGUUUUUCGUCGUCUUAAGUAAGACUAAGACAACGUAAUAUAUUUGUUGAGCGACGUUGAUUUGUGUUUUAAACGUCCUUAGGUAUAAUAUAACCGUCGUUGAAAAUUGUCUCUCUGAUUGCAAAUUUGCAACGACGUUAGGUAUAAUAUUUGUAGAUACACAAACGCACACACAUCAUCAACUUCCAAAAAAUUGUCUCUCUGAUUGCAAAUCUGUGUCAUCUGUUAAGAUUAUGAUGUGGAACAAAGUUCCAUUUGGUAAGAUUUCGUAACCCUUGGGAUCUCAGAAAAAUCUGAUUAUGUCGGCGAUUUUCUAUAUAAACCGUCGUGGUUAUUUCAAUUCUUGUCAUUAAGUAGAUCUACCGACGUAGGAUAAGAAAAUCAAAGAAAAAAAUUGUUAACAAAAAUUCUUAUUAAGACGACGGUUUAAAUUAAAGGUAAGACGUAUAAAAUGAAUAAAUACGACGUUAAAUUUUAUAGUACGAUUUAAAGAUAACGUCGUAGAACUAUACCAGAAUGACGUCGAUAUAUUUAUAUUUUUCGUCGUUGUACAUUAAUUUAAUACGGCGAUAUUUUGUAUUUUAAAGUCGUGGAUUUGUUUGUAAUUAUACAGCGUCUUAUACGAAAACCUCGUCGUGUUAUUUUAUGAGUAAAAACGGCGGCUUUUAUUGAAAUCGUCGUCUUUACUUUCUACGUCGGUUGAUUCAUAACUUCUGUCGUUCUUUGUUGGCUUUGAUUUUACACUGCGGAAAUCUGUUUCAAAUAGACGUCGGUUGUUUAAUUAAGUACGUCGUUGUUUUUGAACAGCCAUUUGAAUCUCCAUUUUUUAGUUGUCUAAGGUGGUAUUACACGACGGUGUUUUUAGAACCGUCGUCUUUUUAAAAACCACGACGGUUUUCACUGAGACCGUCGUUGUUUUCUGGUCGUCUUUUUCACUUUUUGUAGUAGUGAAUGGAAUAGAAUGAUGGAAGUUAUUUUUUUUUUUUCCUACGUCUAAAGUAUACUUUAUAUAUAUAUAUAUAUAUUUAUAUUUAUUAUGGAAGUUAUAACCGUUUAAUUUUCAGUUUUUAUUUUCUAUUUAUUGUUUUAAUUUUUAUAGUUUAAUGUGUAUGGAGAUUUCAAGUAUUGGAUGUUUAUAAAGGGUCACUCCUCCUUCACAUCUGAAACAAACCACCAUCUCAUUUCUGUAUUUUCAUACUUUCAUAUAUUUUCUACUUUCCAGAUUAUUAUUUUUGGGCAACGGUUCUGUGACUUGGAGAUUUCUAUCCGAUUAUUAACAUGCUCAUAGCGGACCUUGAGCUUGCGUAUUGAGGAUAGUAUCUUGGAGCCUUGUAGACCUUUAUUACCUGCAUGUAGGGAGGCUAUAAAUGCUUUAAGUCAGCGUCUUUGACGUGCUUUUGCUUUCUUUUUUUUACUUAUUUCUUCGUUACUUUAUUUUUACUUUACUUUUAAAUCUUUAUUUUAUGUAUUAUUUAUAUUUAAAAAUUUUGAAUAAGAGUUUUACAGAAAAGGAAAAACACAAUUUCAAAUAACACAAAUUUCUCGUUUUUUGUUCUUAAAAAAGAAGAAGCAUUGAUUGGGGAGUUAUGGUAAACUCAGUUUCAAUGGUUGCGAUGAGAGGCGGUGGCGGCGAGGAGAGGACGAAGGCUUUGCUGCCGACGGGGUGGUGUGGGUGGGUGGAGACCUCGGCUGGCUGCUUGGUCCUGGGUUCUCCUUUAAUUCUCUGUUUUCUUUUUUCAUAUUUUUCUUUUUCUCUUAGAGUUAUUGAUGUUAAGUGAAUGGACAGAUGCCAAGAGAAGAUGUGAACCCAAUUAUAUACAGCUGAUUACAUAAAGUAACAAAUUAAUUAAUACUUGAGUGGAGGACAGGCUCGAGUGGAAGAAUUGAUUAAGGCUUGAGUGGAAGACAAACUUCAGUGGAGGAAAGUACAGAUAAGGAAAGCAUGCCACGUUUAACGGCUUUAUCUCAACAAAUUAGGAAUGCUGGUUUUGUUUCCUCGGUGGUUGAAAGGUGGUGCCUUGGCUCGGACAUCUCCCUAGUAAUUAAUCGAAGGUGGAAUCUUACAAGACAUUCAGCUGCUCAUUAGCUGAAUAUCUCGCUCUCUUUAAAGAGAUCGAAGCAAACUGCAAUUUGCAAUUUGUGUGAUUCAAGCAUGAAUAUCUGACAUAGUAACUAUACCAUUUGUUGGUUUGAUGAGAAAAGUUUGGUUAGCGAGGAUGAAACCAUAAAGUUCCCCAAAACACACAAAGAGCACGGACAAUUGCUAAGUUUAUCUUUGAGUUCACGCAUAUUUGCACAAAUGAGAUUACUCCAAGUAUGACUAUACCAUUUGUUGGUUUGAUGUGAAAAAUAUGGGCAACGAGGGUAAAACUAUACAAACACACACAAAGAAAGUGGACAAUUACUAAGUUUAUCUUUGCGUUAUUCAUCCGACCUAACUGUAAAAUAAAAAAGAUGAAAAUAUAUAAUGUUCACUACUUAGAUCUAUGAGCACUAAAGUCCUCCUUUUGGAAUUGCACAAAACGUCACUUUUGGUCUUUGACAAAUUUUUAAAAUAAAUGAAUUUUUUACUUAUUUGUGGACUGAAAUGCCUCAAAAAAAAUAAUGAUAAUUUGAAGAAUUUGAUAGAAAUUAAAAAAUAUCCUCAAAUUACUUGGAAUUGAAGACCACAUAGGCAAAAACACCACUUUGGACAAAGGCUGGUGAUAAUAGUCGAUAUCAUCUUUUGUCGGUCCGACCUAAAAAGAAGAAAAAGUUGAAAGCAUCUUGUUACCAUUUUUGCCAAUGUGGGUCCAGACAAUUUGAAGAAGUCCACCGACAAUUUCUCAAAAGCUAUUGUGUGAGUGUUUUGAAGCUAAACCAAUAUUAUUUUGCACAUACGACCCCACAUCCCCAUGUGAGGCUACAGAAGUGUUUCCAAAACGAAACAUGAUAUUUCAAAACAAAGCUAUGUAUAGAAUAGAGUCAUUUGUAUUUGCUUUCACAAUAACAUUUUAUUUGUGAAAGCAUUUUAUAUUUUUACAUUAUGAUGUUCUAACAAAUAAAUUGACUAUAUUUGGCCAACAGGGUUUAACCGAGUAAAAAAGUCCUUAUUUAUAAACUACUGGUUUCAUAUUUGAACUCUAUGACAUUCUCUUUACCCUUAAAGUUUAGACUAUCGCAUGUAUUAUAAAUAAAAAAAAACAAUUGGCUUAAUUUGAUAUAUUUCAUUUUAUGCUGGGUGCCGUUAUUAAGUUUUAUCCUUGUUUCUUGUUGAAAAAAAAUUGAUAAAAAAUAAGAAUUCCUAUAGCUAGCAACUUCUCCACCUUCCCUUCUUCGCAACUAGGGAUGCCAUUGCAAGGUCACCAUCUCAGAUUAAGUCCUCCUUUUAAAAUUGUGUUGUUAUUCAAAAUUGGAAUAUGCUGGUCAUUCUUGAUAUAAUCUGUUCCACAAAAAGAAAAAGAAAAAAGUUGAUAGCAUCUUUUACCACUUUGGCCACUUUUGAAGAUAUUCACCGACAAUUUCUCAAAAGCUAUUAAGCUGUACGUCCACAAUAUUAUUGCAUCCAACUUUGCAUAUACGACCCCAUCCCCAUGUGAGGCUACAAUAUUGUUAAAAAAAUAUGCUAACAUUGUCAUUCAGUAUGCUAACAUUGUCACUAUGUUUGCGAAUUGCAUAUUAUCUAGAACAUAAAGGCUUUGGUGUUUUGUAGAUCCUCAGGGAGCCAAACCCGUCUUUAUAAAAAUGGUCCUUAUGAUACUACUUUAACAACAAUAAAGUAUAAUAAACUAGGCCUUUGUAGUCACUGAACGAAUGUUUUGUCAUAUAUAUGACUAUUUAAAUGUAAUUACGGGAUUAAAACAUUAUAAUAAAUUGGAGUGAACCAUAACAUUAUAUAUGAUCCAAUCCUUUGCAUAUAUUUUUGUUCAAGACUUUGUUUUAGAAUGCUCUAUUACUAAUUUGGUACAGGUCUCUAAAAUCUAUGCCUUUAUGAGGCAACGUCUUUAUUUCUUUGGUUAUUCCAGUUUAGAAUAUUUGCACAAAUGAGAUGACUCCCAGCAUAAAGUCACAUUCAACCAAAAAGCAUGAAGUCACACACAAAAAGAAUACGGACAAUUGCUAAGUUUAUCUUGUAUCCUUAUUUUAUUGAUCCAACCCAAUUGAAAAAUUAAAAAGAUGAUAUAAUAUACUGUUCACUGCUUACAUCCAUGAGUAAAGUCCUCCAUUUGAAAUUGCGUGAUGAUAUAAAAUUGGAAUGAAAAAAGAAAAUCCUACAGCUAAAUUUGAUAUAUUUCCUUUUCAUUUUAUGCUGGGUGUUAAGUUUUCUUAUUUCUUGUUGAAAAGAAAAAUGAAAAGAAAUAAAUAAAUUCCACAGCUAGCCACUUAUCCACCUUCCCUUCUUCCCAUGUAGUGACAACAAGGGAGGCCUUCAAUCCAAAAUAAAGACAAGGGAUGCCAGAUCAGCAUCUCAGAUAAGUAUCCCAACCAAAACCAAUCAAAUAAUGACAUAUGUAUCUCUUUUUGUGUUUUGUUCUAUUUCUCUUUGAAUUAACUGCAUAGUUUCAUAAGCGUGUCCUCCUUUUGAAAUUGUGUAUUAUUCAAAAUUGGAAUUUGCUGAUCAUACUUGAUAUCAGCUAAAAAAGUUUCCAACAUCUUGUACCAUUUUUUUCCAGUGUGGGUCAUAACUUGAAGAAGCCCACCGACAAUUUCUCAAAAGCUAUUACCAUCCAACUUUGAAAAAUAAAAGUUUUCAAAAGUUACCCCAAACAACAGUCCUUGAAAGAGAGAGUUUUCCAAGGCUAAAGAUUACAAGGAUGUUAUUUACAGUCUCGACAACGACAAGCUUCAUAUUUGUUUACAAACCUGUAUUUUCAAGUUGUGCUAGCCUAGCUACUUGCAAAAAAUAUCCAGUUGGCACAUGCAUUAACGUGUGACAAGAAGUUAGUUAUAUUUGUAAAGUAAAAGAACGAAGUACAUAGCAUGUAAGUUGAUGCUAAAUAUUUGAUCAACAGAGUUAAACAUAAAACCACUGACAAUAUAACGUUGUUCACCAAAAAUUGCAUUUCGUUGAGGGUCAGUAGUGUAGGUUUCAAGAUACGAUUUAUUUUGUUAAAGAAUAUUCUGAUAUUCUAACAAUAAAAUUGGCUCAAUUUGAUAUGUUUCUCUCUCUUUUUUUGUUUCUGUUUUCCCUUUCAUUUGAUGCUUUGUUGUGCUAUUGCUAAGUUUAUCUUAGAGACCAGGGAUGCUUAGCAAGUUUCUUCACCUGCCCUUCUUCCCAUGUACUAACUAGGGAUACCAUGUCAGAAUCUUAGAUAAGAAUCCCAUGCUUUGUUGUGCUAUUGCUAAGUUUAUCUUAGAGACCAGGGAUGCUUAGCAAGUUUCUUCACCUGCCCUUCUUCCCAUGUACUAACUAGGGAUACCAUGUCAGAAUCUUAGAUAAGAAUCCCAACCCAAUCAAACUAUGACAUCUGUAAGUAUUCAAAAUUGGAAUUUGCAUUGUGAUAGUUGAGUGGAAGAAUCGAUUAAGGCUUGAGUGGAAGACAAACUUCAGUGGAGGAAAGUAAUUAAUUAGACCAUUAUUUGUUGGUUUGAUGAGAAAAGUUUGCUGGUGAUAGUCCAUAAUCUUUGUCCGACCAGAAAAUAAGAAAAGUUGUCUUGUACCAUUUCUGCCAGUGUGGGUCCCACCCACCCCAUGCGAGUAAUUUGAAGAAGUCCACCGACAAUUUCCCAAAAGCUUUGGCGUCCAACUUUGCCGACCCCAUCCCCAUGUGAGGCCAUAGAAAAGUUUUCAGCCACAAUCAAAUAAGGAACAGUCCUUGAAAAGAGAGGGUUUUCCAAGGCCAAGAUUACAAGUUCAUGUUAUUUACAGUCUCAAAAAGCUUCCAUACUUGUUUACAAACCUGUAUUUUCAAGUUGUGCUAGCCUAGCUAUUUGCAAAUCUUGGAAUAUUUUACUUCAUCCAAAUCCCUUGAAGUCUGCAGAGAAGAUAAAAGACAUGGCUUUGAUUGGAGAGGCUCUUAUCUCUGCUUCCGUCCAGGUGUUGUGCGACAGAAUUACUUCACCCGAGUUCGUUGACUUAUUUCGGCACAAGAAACUCGAUGAGCCACUCCUCAGGAAGCUGAGGACGACACUGUUGGCCUUGAACUUGGUGCUCAAUGAUGCAGAGGAGAAGCAACUUGUGAACCGAGAUGUGAAAAAGUGGCUUGACGAGCUCAAACAUGCUGUCUUUGAUGCGGAGGACUUACUGGAUGAGAUUGACACUGAAGCUUUGAGAUGCAAGCUGGAAGAAGGUGAAGAUCAAACUCACAAAUUUACCAAUAAGGUGCGGAACUUGCUCUUUUCUUCUCGUAGUCAUUUUUAUCAGAGCAUGAAUGAUAAGAUAAAAGAGUUACUAGCAAGGUUAGAAAACUUUGUACAACUGAAAAGUGCUCUUGGUCUGGGAGAAGUUGCUGGGAGGAAGGUUUCGCAAAGAACUCAAACAACCUCCUUGGUUCUUGAACCUUAUGUAUAUGGUAGAGAUGAAGUCAAAGAAAAGUUAUCAAAAGUUUUGCUAUCUGAUGAAGCAGGCAAGGAUCCUGUGUCUUUCCUCACCAUUGUUGGAAUGGGUGGGGUUGGCAAGACAACCCUUGCUCGAAUGCUUUACAAUGACGAUAAGGUGAAAGGGCAUUUUAAACUUAAAGCUUGGGCUUGUGUUUCAGACUACGAUGAUUAUAUUAAAAUUACUAAAACUCUCCUUGAGGCAGUCACUUCAAAGCCUUGUAACACGGCAAAUCUGAAUUUGCUUCAAGAAGAUCUAAGAGAGCAAUUGAAGGGAAGGAAAUUUUUAUUUGUGUUGGAUGACCUAUGGAAUGAGAAUAAUGAGGAUUUGAACUACCUUAGAGCUCUUUUUAUUACUUUAGGAACAAUGGGAAGUAAAGUCAUUGUAACAACACGGAGCAAAAAUGCAGCAUCUGUCAUGCAAAAUGUUCAUAUUCAAUACUUAGAACCAUUGUCGCAGGAGGACUGCUGGUUAUUACUUGCAAAACAUGCAUUUGGAAAUGUAAAGUGUAGUGCACAUUCAAACUUGGAAGAUAUUGGAAACCAAAUUGCACGCAAGUGCAAAGGGUUGCCUUUAGCUGCACAAACACUUGGGAGUUUGUUACGUUGCAAUAUGAAUUUCGAGUACUGGAAUAGAAUACUAAAUGAUAGUUUUUGGGACCACCCCUAUGAUAAAACUAACAUUCUUCCGGCUCUAGGGUUGAGUUACCAUUAUCUUCCUACUCAGUUGAAACGAUGCUUUGCUUAUUGUUCAAUUUUUCCAAAGGAUUAUGAGUUUGAAAAGGAAGAUAUAGUUCAAUUAUGGAUUGCAGAAGGUAUAAUUCCACAAGCUGAGAAUGGAAAUAGGAUGGAAGCAUUGGCUAGAAUAUACUUUGAUGAGCUGUUAUCACGAUCGUUGUUUCAAAAGUCAAGUAAAUUCAGCUUCAUUAUGCAUGAUCUCAUUAAUGACUUGGCUAUGUUCAUGUCUCAGGGGUUUUGCCUUAGGCUCGAAUAUGGGGUAUCCCAUGAAGUUAAAAGAGCUCGUCAUUUGUCAUAUGCUAGGGGAGCAUUUGAUGCUGCUCCAAGAUUUGAACCAUUAUAUGAGGCUAAAUGUUUGCGGACCUUCCUACCUACCUCUUUAAAUCCAUAUAGAUUUUAUGAAAGAUUUUUUGUAAGUAAAAAAGUUCUACAAGAUUUGUUGCCAUCACUAAGAUGUUUACGGGUGUUAUCAUUGUCACGUUAUCAAAAUGUUACUGUGUUACCUGAUUCUAUUGCAAACCUCAUUCACUUGCACUACUUGGAUCUUUCCCAUACCGCAAUUAAAAGGUUACCUGGGGUACUUUGCAAUCUCUUCAACUUGCAGACAUUACUAUUGUCAAAUUGUUCCUCACUCCAUGAAUUGCCUGCAGACAUUAGAAAAUUGAUUAAUUUACAGAAAUUGACAUUGGGCGGUUGUAGUUCUCUUAAUAAAUUGCCUGCAGGCAUGAAGGAGUUGACUAAUUUGCAUCAUCUUGAUGUCAGUGGAACUGAAAUAGUAGAGAUGCCGGUGCAAAUGGGUAGACUGAAAAAUUUGAGAACAUUGACUGCAUUUGUUGUGGGCAAAUCUACUGGGUCAGGCAUAAGAGAACUGAGCGAGUUCCCGCAACUUCAAGGAAAACUAUCAAUUUUGAAGCUACAAAAUGUAGUUGAUGCGAGGGAUGCACUGCACGCCAAUAUGAAGCUCAAGACAGAUCUCAAGGAGUUAGAGUUUUCAUGGGGUGCGCAGGAUGCUGAUGAUUCCCAAAAGGAGAAAGAUGUACUUGACAAGCUCCAGCCUUGCGUGAAUUUGGAGAAAUUAACCAUUGGAUUCUAUGGUGGAACCAAUUUUCCGAAUUGGUUAGGAGACUCGUCUUUUUCUAACAUACAAGUCAUGCAUCUCAGUGACUGUAGUUAUUGUUGGUCGCUCCCACCAGUUGGACGGCUGUCGGCACUCAAAGAGCUCUGUAUAAAAAGAAUGAAGUCUUUGAGGACGAUUGGCGUUGAAUUCUAUGGCAGAGAUGGAGCUUAUCUGACUCAGCCAUUUCGAUCUCUGGAGAAGCUAGAGUUUAUAGAGAUGCCGGAGUGGGAGGAAUGGGUACCAAGUGGAAGUGCAAGUGGUAGUGAAUAUGGUCCAGACUUUCCUCAUCUCCAGGAGCUGAUUCUAAACGAGUGUCCGAAGCUAAGAGGAAGUUUGCCUUGUGAGUUGCCUUGCUUGAAGAAGCUUACGGUGUAUGGGUGUAAGGUUUUACAUGAUGGAAGGGCCGCUACCGCAACUACCAAUAGUCUUAACUAUAAAUCUCUGGAAGAAUUGGAUAUAAGGGGUGGAUGCCAAACUCUGUUAUCAUUAUUAGAGACAAAGCUCCUGUCCCGACUUAAGAUUGAAAAUGUUGACGUACAGUGCUUGCCCAACUGCAAUCGUCUUCAACGUUUGACUCUUUUGAAUUGUCCAACGCUGUCGUCAUUCCCUAAAGAUGGCCUACCCACUACAUUGACAUCACUUACUAUACUCAAUUGUAGGAGAUUAGAAUUCCUACCUCAUGAGAUGUUGGCCAAAUUAACAUCGCUUGACUAUUUGGGCAUACAAAGUAGCUGUGAUUCAAUGAGGUCCUUACCGUUGGGCAUUUUUCCCAAAUUGACGACGCUUCAAAUUCUUGGUUGUGAGAAUCUGGAAUCUUUUUCCUUGAUUGAAGAAGAAGGAGCUGUUGAGAAUCUCAGCCAUCUCAAUUCCUUGCAAGUCAUUAACUGUCCAAAAAUGGUGUGUUUUCACGAGGGAGAAUUGCCCUUUCCCAACCUGAGUCACUUUGUAGUCAUUGACUGCGAGAAUUUGAAGUCAUUGCCCGAACGCCUUCACACCCUCACUGCCCUUCGAUCUUUGAAUAUAUGGAAUCUUCCGAAUCUGGAGUCAUUUGCAGAAGAUGGGGGUUUGCCUCCCAACCUCCGAUCUUUUAUCAUUAGGAAUUGUAAGAGACUGAGGGCACUUGACUCAGUGGGUUUGCAAGCACUUGUCUACCUUCAGAUCGAUGGAAGUGACCAUGUCUUGGAGACGUUGCUGCUCCCUACCACUCUUCACACUCUCUGCAUCUCUGAUCUAUCAACUCUGAAAUCUUUGGACGGAAAGGGUCUUGGACACCUCACUUCUCUUCAAACUCUAAAAAUUUACAGCUGUCCAAGUCUUCAAUGCCUGCCAGAAGAGGGUUUGCCGCCAUCUCUUUCUCAUCUGAGUAUCCGCUGUUGUCCUACCCUGGAGGAAAGGUAUAAGAAUAAAACGGGACAAGAUUGGGCAAAGAUAUCUCACAUUCCUUGCAUCGAGAUAGGGGAAGAAGUGAUCAUAUAAUAUGAGCUAUUCCAUAUUUCACGCUCAACCCUCAACUCUCAAAUCAAAGUCAGGUGAGGUAUGUGCCUUCUCUUACUUUAAAAAACUGCUUCUCUUCUUCUAAUUGAAUACAAAAACCAAAACACAUAUUCUCUUUCUCUUCCAAAAACCCAAAUACAUGUUGGACAUAGCCCAACGCUGUACUUUCAUAGGUACUGCAUGUAUAUUAUCUUAGUAUCAACAGGUGGUCUUAUGUGGACGAGAGAGAACAUUGAGGAAUUACAAAAUCUUCUUAGUGAAUUAAGCUUGCUUCAGCUCUGUUUGUCAUCCCUCUCAUUUUCUUUGUUAAGCCUUGGUUUUUUAUUAGGAGAUGAAUGCUUUUAUAUAUUGAUGUCGUAGUCAGUCUUCAACCACACUCCGUUUUUAGAAUUCGUUUAUGUUACUAGUGGAGUGCUGCUGUAUUUUAUAUUUCGUUCCUGUAAUGUUUGAUGUUUAGUUUGAGUAGUCUAGCUUAUCCAGUAGAUAACUCGUCCCCUGUUUUGUAAUGUUUUUGUUUCCUCUAAUGAAAGCAGGUUUUACUUAUCUUAAACUUUUAUUUUUAUUUUUAAAUAUCAGUAAUAACUGGGAAAGCUUGCAUCUCCUUAAAUUGCUCAUUCUUACAUCUUUUAUAGUUUGUCGAUCUUGGGCAAGUGGAGAGAGAGGCGUCAAGUGAUACACAACAACCAUUUUCUGUGAGCUAAUUUGAUAAUGAUAAAUGGUAUGCUUUCUUGUCUUAAGCUGUGUGUUCUGCAAUUAUUUAAAACAAAGAGUGCCGCGCUUCAAGUUCGAGGAAAACAGGUAUUUUAGGUUAGCUGUAUAAUUCGUGGUAAAUGCCUUUUUCUAAGGUUCAUUUAGACUCCUAUUACGAUUAAUUUGUUGUUUCUAAUUUGGACUUGUAGGAACAGACCAAAUAUGUUCACACGUGGCAUCGCUCAAGUCAUCAUCAUUUCCGACAGAAAAUCAGCCUUCAAGUGUCUGCUGAGUCAAUGAACCUUUCUAGAUAUAUCAAGUGCAAUGGAAAUUCAUGAGUUACAUAGAGAUUUGUAAACAUUUUGAAGAUUGCAACACCUGCAAGUGAGAUAGGUGGUGACGAAAUCAGAGCUGAUCUUGAAGCCUCUGAUGCCCCGGUUGUUGCAAGUUGCACCUGAGAACAUGUUUUUUUGGGGUAAAAAACUGGCAACAUGUUCGGAGCUGGCAAUUCAGUCAGUGAUGAAGUUGAGAAGCAAAGCUCCAGUAAGGAAAUUGGUCGAGGUCGCCACAGGGAUGAUUGAUGGUGAAAUGGAUGCUAUUUCUUAUUGCAGCCUGUUCUCAAAGUUCUUGUUGGCAAAUGCAAGAAAUGGAGUAUUUUGAUUGGAAGGAGAGAUAAUGACAUGUCUUGACAAUUCUAGAACAGCCCAUCUGAGUUCUUUUGUCAGGCUGCAUCAUUCAAUCCCGGCAAAUAUCCAGUUUCUGCUAAACAAUCA